CAUGCUGAUGGGGAAGGGCACGCUGACGCCGCACUUGCCGGGCACGCCGGAGACCUUGCCCAUGUUGAUGGCCUUGAUGCUGGUAGCGAGGCUCUUGAGGCACCUGCACGCCGUCUGCCGGUCCGGGCUGCUGCGGGCCAGGCCGUUCAGCCCCUGCACGCCGGAGCAGCACUCCUUGCUGAUCGCAGAAGCCCUCCCCGUGACGUACGCCACGCACGGCGCGAGCUUGGAGUCCACCUGCCCGCACGACAGCGCCGCCGAGGCCUCCCUGCCGGCCAUCAUCAGCACCACCGCCGCCAGGACAACGGCGGCCGCCACAGCCUUGCUGUUGAGACGAGCCAUCGGUUAAGCUAUCUGGCUAGCAGGUGAUCAGAUGAGUGGGUGUGGUGGUGUGGAGGAAAAGGGUGUGGUUUGGAGGGUAUAAAUAGGGGGUAGAGGUGAACAUGCAGGGCAUUUGAUGCCCGUCGCUGCCAGGUCGUUGGCGGGUGGAAUUAAUUCACAACAAUGCCGAUCCACCAUGCAAGUGCAUGUACUCGCUAGAGAGUACGCUGGCUCUCUUUGCAAUUGGCAUGUGUCUCUUUGCUUUUAUUUUGUUUUUUUACACGUUUUUUUUAUUUGCGGGAAGAAAAAUCUUCACGCCGUAGUAUGGGUACAUCCACAUCCAUGAUGCAGAGGGUCAAGUUAGUAAAGCUAUAUCUCCACAGGCUAAUGAGGUGGCGCACGAGAUUACAGAGUUUAGUUUCCUUAUUAAUAAAACAAAUGGUAUUUUGUGCUCCGCCUGGUGUGGCAUUUGCUGUAAUGAAUGAUUAUAAGAAAAUUUUAAUUAAUUGAUACAUUGGAGUGUUGUUAAAAAAAACUAAGAUAAGAGUGGGGAACAGAAAUUUUACUCUACAGGACAAAGUAGUGAUUGUAGUGGCGGAGGCCCCCGGUGAGCAAGGUGUGGCGGCUGCCGCACCUUAAUUUGGUCCAAGUUUUUAAAUACAUGUAUGCAUAUUAUCAUUUGCUAGCUUGCUGGCUCUCGCUAGAUGAAAAAGAAUUGCUGAAAAAAGAAAAAGGACACGCAGCCACCCUAAUUGGGCCUAUGGCAAGGCCAAACGACCCAUGCAGCCCCGCUAUUUGGGCCUAAUCCAUCUCACGAACAAGCCAGGCAGCUCCCUCCAGCGCGCAUGAAGCAAUUCCCCAACCCCAGCAAAGCACGCGCGCCACAAAUUCUAGAUAGCGCGACGGCGGCGAAGCGAAUUGCUGUGGGCGGCGAGCAAGCGGACGCAGUGGAGGACGACGGUGGGCGGAGGACAAACAGCGCAGCUGGUUGCGGCCGAAGUCGGGACUGGGGCACGGACAGGGCACCACUUGCAGCAAACGUCGAGUGACUGCUGUGACCAAGCAAACGACGCGGCGGCGGCCAGCUCCGCCUCCCUUACGAGUCCGGCCAUCCGCGCCUUCGCCUCUCUCUCCACAUAGUCCUCUUCCUCUCUAUUCACUCGAUUGAUCAGAGGACGGGAUUGGAUUGAACGACCGGAUAGUCCUCCGAUGCGCUGGCUGGUGAGCACAUGUUUGCUAAUUGCACAAUAUUUUUAAUUAUUUAUAUAUAUUCGUCGCAUCGUUAUAUAUUGUAUCUAGAAAUUUUCAUGUCCGUAUUUGUGUCUCUACAGGUGCUUCGUAGGUUACACACAUGUUAUUCAUCAAGAUCAAUUGAAUUCGAAAGAAUUGCAUGCUAUUAUGUUUAAGAGUCCGCCGUAUCUUAAUUUUUUUCCCUCUGGAUUGUACGAAAGCAGAAGAGACGAGAACCUCCGGCAGAUCAAAGGAAAGGCAAACCAUGAAUUUGCGCUCAGGGCAGCAAUAAAACAGGCCAGUCGACAUCCAAACUGGUCCCCGGAAUGUCUAGGACGGCAACUGAACUUUCUACAAUUCCGUAACAGAGCGGCACCUCCACAGUAUGAAAAGAAGUAUUAAUAGCUUGAUAGAUCCGUAACCUAACUGUUGAUGCCUGGUUUUAUUGGCCUUGUUACUAGUUCCAUGAAGGAGUAGUUGCCAUCUAGGUAGCUUGCGUCUCACAACAAUACUCAGCUCUGAAACGUUGCAAUAUUGCUCUCGAUUUAUGCACUAGCAGGUGGUCAAGGGAAAGUGUUCUUCUACGUCCGACCUCAAAUGAGCUCGGAUGAACAGUAAAUUCAUAAAAUAUUUUGAAAAUGCUUCAAAAAUCUUAAUUUUUUACAGCAAACUUUGACUAAUGUUUUAGUAGCUUGUAAAUUUCAGUACAAAAUUAUACUUUUUGAAGUCAUGGCAAAAAAAAAAUUAUUAGUGCUUCAAAAUGCUUUUAAAAGUAGCAUUUUUAGAGUUUUGAUUUUGUUAGAGUUGUGUCGAAUAUUAUUGUACAAGGUAUGUUACAGUUGGACUUGAAGUCGCACGGUGUGUAGACAAGGUAAGAGUCGUGUCCUAUUAGGACACCUUACCCUUAUGUCUUUUAUAUAAUGAGAGGGUAGACACACGAUGUAACCUAUGCCAACAUAAUAGCACAGGUACGCGGGGGAGCCGACGACGUGUGCCGGUGUCCGGGCGGCCGGGGUGCGGUAUUGUGACAGUGUCACGGGGAGGAGCGCCCGUAGUCAGGCCCCGGGGAUGUAGCCAUAUCGAUGAACCUCGUUAACAAAUCUCGGUGUCGUGCUCGUGUGAUUGCUUGGUUCUCAGUAGAUCGACGGAUUGCCUCGGAUUAUUCUAACAAGUGGUAUCAUGAGCAAGGUUCGAGGAGGCUACAGAUCGUUGAUCUAGAGGAAAAAAAGUUCGGCUUGGGUCGGUUGUUCGCAGGAAAGAUGUCGCCGACGGAGUGGCAUAGGCGGAUAAGAAAUCGAUUUGAAGCGGACGAUUGCAAAGAGCCAUCGGGAGCGGCUGGUCGGGCCAGCACGGAGUGUUUCUCGACGAGAUCGUAUCUUUCUGAACGUGGAGCGUGUGGCAGCGGCCGCGUAAGCAUGCACGACACAUAUGCAAGCAGCGGUGGUCGAUCGGUCGAUCGUUUGGGUGGAAAGGUGCUCGUUCGGAGGCGUAUGCGAGGCAGAGGCUUCAUCUCGAGCGCUGAGGCAAAUCACGCAGGCUGGGCGGCUAAAAGGGCCCCGCGGGCGUGCUUGGCGCAGCUGUAGGCCCGGACUUGCAAGGGCGGAUGAUUUUCCCAAGUGCUUUGAUGGGUUGCUGCCUAGGCAAGCCAUACGGGCAAGGCAAAGGAUCCGUGUGGUGUUGUGCAUGCAUGUGAGAUUUGUUGGUGAAAAAAAGUAAUCUGCCAUGAUAUGUACGUCCCUUUGGAUGCAACAUGAUUAAAGAAAAGGAGUUUUGGAAGUUAUGGAGAUAUGCUCGGUGUAUCCAUGGACACUAUCAUGAAAUCCGGUUUUCUUUUAGACGUGUUGAGAAUUGCACACGAGAUUUUACCAGGAGGUUGGCAGGUUGACGACGUGCGUAUAAGGUCGGAGGAGUCUGGAGCAUGCCGUGGCAGGGAUCUCGGUUAAAGCAGAAGAUGGCGGUUAUUUUAGCAACGACAACAUAGGAGCGUGAUGUUGAUGGUGGCCAACUUUUGAGGCGUGGAAACACGUGGUGCAUGCAUGAGGGCUUGUACGGCUUUGACGGACUAUGGCGCGGGGUUGAUUUAAGAUUGUGUACACAUGAGAGCUUGAAGUCAACAGGGCGUGGGGUAGCACGGCCAACUACAUGAAGUCAUGUUGAAGGUGGAGUUGGAGUCUAGUGAAAGAUUUCACUCUAAGCUGAUGGAGGGGCUACGGCGUAAAUGCAUGGAUAGUCGAAGCCUAUUUCAGCGGAUAGCGAGAGACGUGUGGAUCGGACUGGGUACCAAUGGUUUGAUGGAGACGUGAUACUCGGCAUCGGUCGGAGAUGAUCGAUGGUUCUCUGCAGUAGGGGUUUGAGUGGUGUGGGUCUGCAGCCCUAGAGACUCGACCAGGACAGCAGAGGCUCGACGCGGGGAUAGCGGCGAGGCGUGCGGUAAGCACGGGACACAGCGACAGACCAAGGCACUGGUGGUCAGACAAACAGUGCAAAGGAUGCUGAAGUAGUGUUGGCCAGUAUCAGAUUCAAGUCGGUGACUAGGUCCAUCGUUGCCGGUUGAUGGACGGGAGUUGACCAUGGAGAAUCUGAGAAAAGUGAAGGAAAGUCUGAAAUUGACAGAAGCGGAGAGAGUACAUGACCGUAUAUUCUGUGGUGUUCAUUGCACAUGGCAAAGUAUGGAUGACAACGGAGGCGGAGUGUUAUAGUUAUGGUAAAUGUGAGAGACUAUCCGGAAAAAGGAUGAGACAACUGCAAAUUUGACUCCGGGGUGACACAGGACGACUGUGAAAUUCCUUCAAGUUUCAGACAGACGGUCAAGAAAGAUCGAGGAUGUUGAGUUCAGGUAACUCUUAUAUAUGACAUUCAAUAUGCGGGUUGUUCAUUUUCACGCAGGUCAGUGAUCAGUGUGUGAUGGCGUUGAACGGAUACUCCGGAAGUUGAAAGCACAAAGUAGAGUAAUAAGGAACUUAACUUUGCUCGAGGGUUGAUUGUGAAGAAGACGAGAAGGGAUUACAGUUGCAGGUGGAGUCACAUGAAGUCUGGGAGUAGCAGUGGUUCUCAUGGUGUAUCUCAAGUCCAAUGUACAUGAAGGUUCGACGCAUGGACGAAUCCAAGGUGGUGGAGAAUAUUCGCCAAGGUGAAGUUUGUUAGAGUUGUGUCGAAUAUUAUUGUACAAGGUAGGUUACAGUUGGACUUGGAGUCGUACGAUGUGUAGACAAAGUAGAAGUCGUGUCCUAUUAGGACACCUUACCCUUAUGCCGUUUAUAUAAUGUGAGGGUAGACACAUGAUGUAACCUAUGUCAACAUAAUAGCACACGUACGCGGGGGAGCUGGCGGCAUGUGCCGAUGCCCGGGCGGCCAGGAUGCGGUAUUGUGACGGUGUCACGGGGAGGAGCGCCCGUAGUCAAGCCCCGGGGAUGUAGACAUAUCGGUGAACCUCGUCAACAAAUCUCGGUGUCGUGCUCGUGUGAUUGCUUGGUCCUCGGUAGAUCGGCGGAUUGCCUUGGAUUAUUCUAAUAGAUUUUGAUUUUUUUUUGUCAUGACUUUCACAAAUGUGAUUUCAUGAUAAAAUUUCACAAGCAUUUAAAACAUUUGUCAAAGUUUGCUAAAAAAUAAAUUUAUUUAAAUAUUUGUACAAUAUUUUUAAAUUUACUGUUCAUUCGAGCUCAUUUGAGCUCGGGUGCAAAAACAAUCCGUGGUCAAGUGGCUUUUCAGCUCAUUAGUCUCUACAGUAGCAGCUAUAAAUUGUUUGUUAAUUCGGCACGUCUCUGCAUUCUUCUGAGUGCACUUCUUCUUUUUCUAGCGUUAAAACUUGCAGCCCAUAUUGCUAAAAAGAUAAGCGUGAUAACUAGCCCACACCCUCAUCCACCGUUCAUCACUCCUUUUCAUCCGACCCUCACUAGCUGCUCUUGGGUUAGUACUAGCUCACUCCAUCUGGGUUUAUUAUGUUCUCUUGUAUUUUCCCGCAAAAAAAAAGGUCCUCUUGUAUUUUCUUCAAACAUUGAUCAUGGAUUUGGUUUCCAAAAUACAUGUAACUGGUAAGUUAUAUGUGCAUAGCACAUGAGAGGCCAGAUAAUCAAAUUACAACCUCAGGUAGACAAAAUGUUAUUUUAUUAAUUAUAGCUUGCAAAUGGAAUUUUGAGGUAUAUGCGUGAAGUAUAAGAUGCGAAAAUCACAUAAAAUAUGUCGAGCAUGUUUUGUCCAGGUAUCUUUUUGGCUAUUCCAAAGUUAUUGUUCUAUCCGGAAAGAUGAAUAUGCUUUAUGAAAGUACAUAGCCUUGAAUAGGAAGUAAAAAUGAAUGAUAGUUUGGAUAUUAUUUUUUGGAGAGUGAUUUUUCAGCUCACGAGUGCCCCUACACCCUCUAUGAAUACUAAAUUCAAAAACAAUUAGAUAACAAAUUCAAUUUUUUUUGAAAAUUUACAACGUCAAACAUGAUCAAACUUCGUAGGUGCUUGCAAGUUCUUAUGCCACGAAAACAUUCGAGGAGCUCUACACAAGAAAACGAUUUUAGUGCUUGAAAUUUUGAGCACUUUUAGUACUGAAAUCUGAAACUUGUGCGUAGACCUUUCUUUACACAAUAUUUUGUUAUGAAAACUUGCAAGAACUUAUAAAGUUUGGCCAUAGAUGAUGUCGCAAAGUUCUGAUUUUUUUUAAAUUAUUUUCUUAUUUUUUUGAAUUUACUGUUCAUAGAGGAUGUAGGGGCACCCGGAAGCUAUCACACCUUUCUCUAUUUUUUAGGAGAGUGUGAGUAUGGAAUAGUAUAGAAUAAAGUAGAAGUGUGCUCUAAGUUUUGUGCAAAAUGUCCAUAUGGAUUAUCCCAAUCUAGAAUGUUCUAAAUAGUACACGUGGCAAAAUCUAGUGAAGUAAUAAGAAGAUCCAAGAGUCGGCAACACUCAGAUUUGCCAUGUCUCAACAGUCGAACCGGCUACAUCCAACAAUUGUUAUUUCAAGUUAUUUAUAACUAUCUAAUGGUAUAUACAGACACAUUAUUAAAAAUAAUUAUUAGAUUCAUAUUCAAUUUUUUUUCAACAGUAGCAUUUUUGCUACCCCCCCCUCCAAGUAAAUAGGGCGCCUAAGGAAAUCCAGCUUUUCCAACUGUACAAGUCGCGAUCACCUCAAUUGCUCCUUGUUUCCAUCAUGUGCCUCAUUUGCUACACCUCCCAUGCAUUUCCGUGUUCCCAUCCCCCACCAUCAUGUUGCCCUUCUGAUAUAUUCCCCUUCUCAUAUGAAACCCUUUUGCAUGCAUUCAUCUCUUCUCCCUCCCGCCCCCCUCUUUGUUUGAAAGAGAUCAUGUGGUAUCUCCAUGGUGUUCCCAUUCUUUUUUAAAUCAAAUCGAGAUGGAUAGAUAUCAUCUCACCCCAUGCUCUUUCCUUCUCAAACUGCCCCCCUAUAAAAAUGGACGACGAUUUCACCAAGCAGGGCUGCUAGGAGGCGGGUGUUGGUGACGGUAUGGACGAUAUGACGAUGGCCAACUAGGCGAGGAAGUGGCUAAAUAGGAGGACACAGAUGGUUGUGAUGGCGAAGACCGUCGGGAAGAAGAUUUACCAGUCAUCACUUGCAGUUCAGGUGUGUGGAGUGACACCAAAUUGGAGAAGGUAGUGGAUCACCUGGAAAUGGCGGAUUAUCUUAUACAAGAGAUGAUUAAGCAUGAAGAGGCCGAAUAUCUAGACACCUUAAGAGUUUGGAGGACACCGAACUUUCUUACUAUGUCCUAAUUAUUGAUAAAGAGGAGGUCAUGGAGUUCCUCGGCAAGAAGCGUGAUGCUUAUGCUCUACUCGUGGAGGAAUCGUUUGAAGAAGAAGAAGAAGAAGAAGAAGANNNNNNNNNNGCUUUCAUGAAAAAACAAAGAUCAAGUUGUCGGUUGGUUUGCAUGAACAAGAAGAAAGCAAACACUUGUGAUGAGGACAUCAAUACCAUUGUUACACCCACAGCCCAAGCUGAUAUACAUACUUUCUAAUGUUCAUGAACAUAUGAUGCUGCCUAAGUUAGAUACUUUUGUUGUACUUAUGAAUGAAGGACCUAGCAUGGACAAGAAGGAUAUCCGUUGGAGCGGGAUCAAGCAUGGAGAAGAACGUGCACGCGCGGGAAAGAACAAUGGAGCUUCCAUUCGUGAUUUUCGUACUUUGAAGCCACCGUAAGGAGAGCAUGAAGGCUUGGACGAAAUAUUCAAGACGUCACUUUAUCAAUUUCGUCCAUUUGCUAUUAUAGGUGCUAUGCCACCUUAUUUUUGGGCCAGGCCCAUGUAAUUCGAAAUACCAUAUUAUAGGUUGUUUUUAGAGUCCGUAUGUGUGGGGAAAUUAAGUUUAGUGUCGUUUUCGGAUCCAUCCUCCAAGGGUCACGAAAAUCCCUUUGUGUUCCCUCAUAUAUACAACCCUUAGGGCACCGAUUAGGCUUGGGUUUUGUUUAGAUUACAAGUUCUUCAUAGCUUCAACUUCGCGUUCUUUGCUUGUGUUCCACGACCUGACAAACGCGUCACAGAACCCCACCUUCAUCAAUAAAGGUGUCCUCUUAUAUUCGCAAUAUCCAGAUUGCAAUCUUAGUUUCAUGCACGCUCUUCAUUUGCGUGCAGGAAACAAACCCUUGUGGUCAGCUUGAUCGUGCUCCGGCAUGGUCAAUAACCUCUCGGAGUUGGUUUAGCGAUUGCUAAGGCACGAUGUCCUCACACAUUCGUAUUCGGGUCAUCAAAGUCUACUCCUCCAAAAACGAUAACCACCAUCUCAUCGAAAGACAGGGACAACUUUACCUCUAUCAAGUGGUAUCAGAUUUCCAGGUUGCUGGGUGAGAUUUUCCAGUUUUUCGUAGUUAGAUCGCAUUUGUUCUUCACACCUAUAGUCCACGGAAAAGACAAAAAAUAGGGUUAGAUCAUCAUAUCCGAACCAAUUUGAGCCUUUGCAUAGUCUUUUUAGUAUUUUGCUUUGUUGAAUUUGCGGUUACAUCGUCGUGUCGAGUUGCUGGUCUUAGUGUCCAGUCCUUUAGAGUUUCGAGUUCUGUUCACAGGUUGUUACGCCGCCACCGCGCCAUAUUUCGUCGCUGUCAUAUACCACCACCACACUACCAUCAUUGCUGCUGCCAUAUACCACCACCACGCCACCAUCAUCCUUGCUGCCAUAUAUCACCACCACAUAUCCACCACCAAUCCUAGUCCAAGUCCUUUACGUAUUAGGUUAAUUUCGAGAUCCUCUUGUUUUCGGUUUUGUGUUUCCUUACCUGAGCAGGUUUCGGAGAAAAAAAAGAGUGUGGCAUGCUUUUCAGAGCACUUUUUAGGCCAAAAUUUCGGAGGGUGAAAGUUUUUUCCCUAUCGUCUUGUUAGGAUUUUUAGAGAGUUUUGGGACACUCGGCACCAUAGUGAUUUUUGUCGCAAAUUUUGGUCGUCGCAGGCCCAAAUUGCUCCGGGAAAAAAAUAGUCAAUUUGUUUUUCGUGCCUAUCAUGUUUUUAGUCCUUUAGAAGAGUUUUGAGACACUCGCCAUUAUAGUGAUUUUCUGGAAAAAAAAUCAGAGUGGCUCUUCCCUUGAUUACGAUUAGGGUUGUGAUUUUGUUCGUGUUCUAGGCUCGCAUCUCUAGUACGGUCUAGCCUAGGACCAGCAUGGUGCCGUCGUUGAGCGUCCUUUCAACUUUGCAUUUCUGAACAGAUUAUUGCUGAUCCUUUUUGCUACCAUAUUAUAAGCCUUUCCAGCUCCUCAUACAUCUACAUCAUGUGUUUGACACCACCUGGCAAUCGCUCUAUCCAAGCUUUGAGAGUUUUUACUACACCGAUUGCCGAUCAUCACCUGCUGCUGGGUAAGAACUGGUAAGAAUUUGAGAUUUACUUGACGGAUUUGUGACACACCACCACCAAAACUACCACCACCUCCACCACUUCCUAGUAGUUUGUAGGUUCAAAUUCUUCUCUAUUCCUAUUGCUGCUAACCAUGCCAGGAUCACCAGCCGAUGAUAUCGACUGGGAGAGUCUCACAAACCAGGAGAUCCAUGAUAAAUUUCAGCAAAUGAUGGCUGACCAGGUACAAGACUUCGUGACCAGCCUUGGAGAGGCCAUGGAGAAGCUCGGCGGUUUGGAGAAUACAUUCGACGCCAAGAUGGACGCCAAGUUCAAUGAGGUGCUUGCCCGUCUACCACCAUCAGUUGCAGCUUCCGUCCCUCUUCAACAACAACAACAACAACAACAACAACAACGAGGCCCGGACAUGGUGGGACGAGCGCGACGUGUGCCUUCCGACCAAGUUCAGAAUUCUGGUGUUUUUCUCCUGCCGCUCCUACUAAGGUUUCCGUGGCUGAGCAAAAUGAGGAUUAUGAUGGUGAUUACGAUGAUGAGGGAGAGGUUGCUCCAAAUCAGCACCAGGGACAACAACCACCACCACAAGCCGCAGGUCAUCCACAUGGAUACAAUCGCAAUGGUAGGGCUGCACCCCCCUCAGGUACGGGAUCAUGACCAUCUCCCUAAACUUAAACUAAAUAUUCCUACAUUUGAUGGUCGAUAUGUUCCUGAUAUAUAUCUUACAUGGGAGUUAGAAACAGAGCAACGUUUUACAUGCUUACAAUUCCGUGAAGAUAGCCGUAUUGCUGCUGGUGUUUGUUCAUUCACUAGUUUUGCUUGUGUUUGGUGGUCUGAACAUUGUCGAAUACAUCAUGCUAAUAUUCCAACUACUUGGGCUGCUUUAAAAACUGUUAUGCGUACUCGUUGGGUUCCACCAUAUUAUCAACGUGAAUUACGUCAAAAAUUGCAGCGUUUAAGACAAGGAAUAAAUUCUGUAGAAGAAUAUCAUUAGAAAUUACAAACUGGCAUGAUUAGAUGUGGUAUUGUUAAGGACAAUGAAGCUAUGCUUGCAUAUUUUAUGGGUGGAUUAAAUAGAGAAAUUUAGACUAUUCUAGAAUAUAAGGAUUAUAACACCAUGACACAUUUAUUCCAUCUUGCUUGCAAAGUAGAACGUGAAGUGCACGAUCGACACACAUUGUCGAGAACUAACUUUUAUUCCUCAUGGAAGCCACGAACCUCAUCUACUUCCAGACAUCCUCCGGCAUCAGCACCGCCUACUUCAGCAGCCAAUUCCAAUAAAGAUACCAAGAAACAGGCCCCUGCCCCAUCCUUCGCCAAGAGCACACCUUCCAGUCCAACAUAUAGCUCAUCUUCAUCCAUGGCAUCCACAGGGCAAACACAUGAGGCUAUCUGUCGUCGUUGCAAGGGCGGAGGUCAUUAUGCGAGAGAGAGUGUCCUUCCAAGCGUGUGAUGAUUAUUAUUGAGGAUGGUUGAUAUGAUUCCGCUAGUGAUUAUGAGGAGGAGACUCUGGCUCUUAUUACAAGUGAAGAAUAGGGUGUAGAUGAUGUUGAAUAAGAGACACAAUACAUGGCUGCUGACUAUGCUGACAGGUAUGAAAGCUUAGUUGUUCAACGUGUUUUAAGAGUGCAUGUAACACAGGCUGAGAAAAAUCAGAGGCACAACAUGUUUCAUACAAAGGGAGUUGUGAAGGAACGUUAUGUUCGCGUAAUCAUCGAUGUAGGGAGUUACAACAACUUAGCUAGCAUGGAGAUGGUGGAGAAGUUGUCUCUCACCACCAAACCACAUCCUCAUUCUUAUUACAUCUAGUGGUUCAACAAGACUGGCAAGGUUAAGGUAACACAUAUUUUUCGUGUGCAUUUUAGCAUUGCUACAUAUUUUGAUUUUGUUGAUUGUGAUGUGGUACCCAUGCAAGCAUGCUCCGUUUUACUUGGUAGACCAUGGCAAUUUGAUAAAAAAAUUGUACACCAUGGUAGGACUAAUCAGUAUACUCUUGUUCAUAACGAUCAAAAUAUAACUUUGAUUCAUAUCUCUCCUGAACAUAUUAUGAAAGAUUACAUUGCUAGAGCUAGUAAAGCAAAACAGGACCUACAUAAGAGUGAAAAUCAGAUUGUAGAAAAGGAAUUUGAGCAACACAAUAAGCUUAAUAAACCAUCAUCUAGUGUUGCAUCUGAAAUAAAACUGAAGAGUGGUUAUUUACUUGCCAGUAAAUCUGAUAUUACUGAUUUGGAUGUUAUUACAUUUGCUUGCUAUGAUUACGUAUGGAAAGAGGUAUUAUUUUCUUUCGAGGACAUGCCUCCCUCUUUGCCUCCUAUCGUUAUUAAAAUUUUGCAGGAGUUCACUAACGUCUUUCCACAAGACGUGCCACCGGGAUUACCACCUAUUAGAGGGAUUGAGCAUUAGAUUGACUUAAUUCCCGGUGCAUCGCUACCCAACCGUACACCAUACCGCACAAUCCACAAGAGACGAAGGAGAUUAUGCAUCAAGUAUAGGAGCUGCUCGACAAAGGUUAUAUACGCGAAUCUCUUAGUCCUUGUGAUGUUCCUAUUAUUCUAGUGCCAAAAAAGGAUGGUACCUCAUGUAUGUGUGUUGAUUGUAGAGGCAUUAAUAAUAUUACGAUUCGAUAUCUUUAUCCUAUUCCUAGGCUAGAUGAUAUGCUUGAUGAAUUAAGUGGCUCUACAAUUUUCUCCAAAGUUGAUUUGCGUUGUGGAUAGCAUCAAAUUCGCAUGAAAUUGGGAGAUGAAUGGAAAAAGACAUUUAAAACUAAGUUUGGAUUACAUUAGUGGUUAGCUAUGCCUUUUGGGUUGACUAAUGCACCUAGCACUUUCAUGAGAUUAAUAAAUGAGGUCUUACGUGCUUUCAUUGGACGAUUUGUGGUAGUCUACUUUGAUGAUAUACUAAUUUAUAGUAGAUCUUUGGAGGAACACUUGGAUCAUUUGCGUGAUGUUUUUAUUGCUCUUCGUGAUGCACGUUUGUUUAGUAACCUAGGGAAGUGCACCUUUUGCACCAACCAAGUAUCUUUUCUUGGUAUUGUUACUCCACAGGGAAUUGAAGUUGAUAAAGCCAAGAUUGAAGCUAUUGAGAGUUGGCCGCAGCCCAAAACGGUCACAUAAGUGAGGAGUUUUCUUGGACUCGCCGGGUUUUAUAAGCGUUUUGUGAGAGAUUUCAGCACCAUUGUUGCACCUCUCAAUGAGCUUACAAAGAAGGAUGCGCCUUAUGCUUGGGGUACCGCACAGGAAGAAGCCUUCACGGUUUUAAAAGAUAAGUUAACACAUGCUCCUUUACUCCAACUUCUUGAUUUUAAUAAGACUUUCGAGCUUGAAUGUGAUGCUAGUGGAAUUGGAUGAGGAGGUGUGUUAUUACAAGAUGGUAAACCUGCUGCAUACUUUUCUAAAAAAUUGAGUGGGCCUAGUCUGAAUUAUUCUACUUAUGAUAAGGAAUUAUACGCUCUUGUUCGGACUUUGGAAACAUGGCAACAUUAUUUAUGGCCCAAAGAAUUUGUCAUACAUUCUGAUCAUGAAUAAUUGAAACAUAUUAAAAUUCAAGAAAAACUGAACCGUAGACAAUUCAUUGAGACUUUUUCGUAUGUCAUUAAACACAAGAAGGGUAAAGAAAAUGUUAUUACUGAUGCAUUGUCUCGUCGUUAUACUAUGCUUUCACAACUUGACUUUAAAAUAUUUGGUUUGGAGACCAUGGAAGAUCAAUAUGUGCAUGGUGCUGAUUUUAAAAAUGUCUUGUAGAAUUGUAAAGAAGGGAGAACAUGGAACAAGUUCGUCAUCAAUGAUGGAUUUGUGGUCCGUGCUAACAAGCUAUGCAUUCCAGCUAGCUCCGUUCAUCUUUUGUUGUUACAGGAGGCGCAUGGAGGAGGAUUGAUGGGAAACUUUGGCGUAAAGAAGAUGGGGGACGUACUUGUUACAUAUUUCUUUUGGACAAAGAUGCGACGAGAUGUUGAGUGUUUUGUUGCUCGCUGCACGACAUGUCAAAAAGCUAUGUCAUGACUCAAUCCUCAUGGUUUAUAUAUGCAUUUGCAUGUACCUGGUGUUCCAUGGGAGGAUAUAUCUAUGGACUUUGUUUUAGGUUUACCUGGAAAUAAGAAUGGGAGGGAUAUCCUAUUUGUUGUCGUGGAGAUAUUUUCAAAAAUGGCACACUUCAUACCAUGUCAUAAAAUUGAUGAUGCUGCUAAUGUGGCUGAUUUGUUCUUUCAUGAAAUUAUUCGGUUGCAUGGUGUGCCAAAUACGAUUGUUUCAGAUCAUGAUGCUAAAUUUCUUAGCCACUUUUGGAGAUGUUUAUGGGCUAAGUUGGGGACAAAAUAGCUUUUUAGUACUACAUGUCACCCCUAAACUGAUGGACAAACUAAAGUAGUCAAUAGAUUAUUGUCUACAAUGCUUAGGACUGUUUUGAAGAUAAACUUGAAAAUGUAGGAAGAAUGCUUGCCUCAUACUGAAUUUUCUUAUAUUCGUUCACUGCAUUCUACUACUAAGAUGUGCCCUUUUGAAGUUGUGUUUGGUUUCUUACCUCGUGCACCUAUUGAUUUGUUACCUCUUCCAUCUUCGAAACAGGUUAAUUUUGAUGCUAAAGAACAUGCUGAUUUGAUAUUAAAGAUGCAUGAGUUAACUAAGAAAAACACUGAGCUUAUGAAUGCUAAAUAUAAACUUGCUGGAGAUAAGGGUAGAAAACAUGUUGUUUUUGCACCUGGAGAUCUUGUUUGGUUGCAUUUGCGUAAGGAUAGAUCUCCUUAUUUGUGCAAGUCAAAGCUAAUGCCACGUGAUGAUGGUCCUUUCAACGUGUUAGAGAAAAAAAUGAUAAUGCAUAUAGACUUGAGUUGCAUGUAGAUUUUGGGGUUAGUCCCACUUUUAACAUUGCAGAUUUGAAGCCAUAUUUGGGUGAGGAAGAUGAGCUUCCGUCGAGGACGAAUUCAGUUCAAGAAGGGAGGAUGAUGAGGACAUCAAUACCAUUUUACACCCACAACCCAAGCUGCUAUACAUACUAGACUAGUUACUAGAGCUCGCGCACGCCAAUUGAAUUACCACGUACUUUCUUUUCUUGGAAAUCCUUCUAAUGUUCAUGAACAUAUGAUGCUGCCUAAGUUAGAUACGUUUGUUGUACUUAUGAAUGAAGGACCUAGCAUGGACAAGAAGGAAAUCCGUUGGAGCGGGAUCAAGCAUGGAGAAGAAGGUGCACGCGCCGGAAAGAACAACGGAGCUUCUCCUGGUGAUUUUCGCACUUUGAAGCGAGCGCAAGGAGAGCAUGAAGGCUUGGAUGAAAUAUUCAAGAUGACACUUUAUAAAUUUUGUCCAUAGGCUAUUAUAGGUGCCACGCCACCUUAUUUUUGGGCCAGGCCCCUGUAAUUUCGAAAUACCAUAUUAUAGGUUGUUUUUAGAGUCCGUAUGUGUGGGGAAACCGAGUUUAGGGUCGUUUUCGGACCCCUGCUCCAAGGGUAACGAAAACCCCUCUCCGUUCCCUCAUGUAUACAACCCUUAGGGCACGGUUUAGACUUGGGUUUUGUUUAGAUUACAAGUUCAACGUAGCUACAACUUCGCAUUCUUUGUUUAUGUUCCACGACCAGACAAAGGCAUCACAGAACCCAACCUUCAUCAAUAAAGCUUUCCUUUUAUUUUCGCAAUAUCCAGAUUGCAAUCUUAGUUUCUUGCUUGUUCUUCGUUUGCAUGCAGGAAACAUACCCUUGUGGUCACGUUGAUUGUGCUCCGGCGUGGUCAAUAACCUCUCUGAGUUGGUUUAGCGAUUGCUAAGGCGCGACAUCCUCACACGUUCGUAGUUGGAUCUCAAAGUCUACUCCACCAAAAUGAUAACCAUCAUCUUGUCGAAAGACAGAGACAACUUUUCCUCUAUCAGCUUGGGUGCAAUGUUAUUGAACUUCAUGAACCCAAGCAUGCUCGCAAGUGAUGGGAGCAUAAUUCCUCCGAGCGAGUAGUAACUUUUUAAUUAUUUAUUGUGUGCAAAUCCAUCACCUUGUAUCGGUUUGACCGUUUCGGAUAAUGUACAAAACGAGGUGAAAGUCUGUUUUAAGAAUUUUUUGUGUGUGGAGUUUGCAUUGUAAACAUACCUUUAAUGCAAAUGAGUGACUUAUAUUCCAUUCAUUUACAAGGAAUAUUUUUCGUACCAUACUUUGUGUGAUAAGUGAUUAAAAACAACAUAAAACGCGGGCUUGAUCAUGUUAUAAUUUUAGCAAGGUUUCAUGGGAAGUUGAAAAAAAUGUUAUUUCAUGUCUGCUAGUGUGGAGGCAUCCUAAACAUCACAUAAUUCAUUAAGAAGAACUUGACAUGUUUAAAAUACAUUUAGACGUUUGUUACCAUACUUUGUGCCAAAGAAGCCAAAAACACUGUAGAGCAGUGUGUUCUGUUGCCAUGGAAGUGUUUUUGACUACCAUGCACAAUCUGUUGGGUAACGUAGCAUAAAUUCAAAAAAUUUCCUACGCAUAUUCAAAUCUUCCUAUGGAGAGACCAGCAAUGAGAGAGGGGUGAGUGCAUCUUCAUACCUUUGAAGAUCGCUAAGCGGANNNNNNNNNNCAUCUCGCAUUAAGCAAGACCCUGAUUCAAUGUUCAUGCUUAAAGCUGGUACUAAAUAACAAUUAUUAAGGUUUAAAACUAAUCCCGACGGUAGAUGUAGAGGUAACGUGCCGACGGCGAUCACAUCGACCUUGGAUCCAUUCCCGACGCGCAUCGUCACCUCGUCCUUUGCCAGUCUCCGCUUAUUCCGCAGUUCCUGCUUUGAGUUGCAAAUGUGAGCAACAACACCGGUAUCAAAUACCUAGGAGCUACUAUGAGCGCUGGUAAGGUACACAUCAAUAACAUGUAUAUCACAUAUACCUUUAACGUUGCCGGCCUUCUUGUCCGCUAAGUAUUUGGGGCAGUUCCGCUUCGAGUGACCAUUUCCCUUGCAAUAGAAGCACUCAGUCUCAGGCUUGGGUCCAUUCUUUUUCUUCUUCCCGGCAUCUGGCUUACCGGGCGCGGCAACGGCUUUGCCGUAUUUCUUGAAGUUCUUCUUACCCUUGCCCUUCUUGAAACUAGUGGUCUUGUUGACCAUCAACACUUGAUGAUCUUUCUUGAUUUCUACUUCUGCAGACUUGAGCAUCGAGUACAACUCGGGAAUGGUCUUCUCCAUCCCUUGCAUGUUGUAGUUAAGCACAAAGUCUUUGUAGCUUGGUGGGAGAGACUGGAGGAUUUUGUCAAUUAUAGCAUCAUCUGGAAGUUCGACUCCAAGUGAAGUCACACGACCGUGUAACCCAGACAUUUUGAGUAUGUGCUCACUGACAGAACUAUUCUCCUCCAUCUUACAGCUAAAGAACUUGUCGGAGACUUCAUAUCUCUCAACACGGGCAUGAGCUUGAAAAACUAGCUUCAGCUCUUGGAACAUCUCAUAUGCACCGUGUUGCUCAAAACGCCUUUGGAGCCCCGUUUCUAAACUGUAUAACAUGCCACACCUAACCAGAGAGUAGUCAUCACUCCGCGUUUGCUAGACGUUCAUAAUGUCCUGGGCUGCCGCGGGAGUGGGAGGGUCACCUAGCGGCACAUCAAGGACAUAAGCCUUUUUAGCUGCUUCAAGGAUGAGCUUCAAGUUGCGAACCCAGUCCGCAUAGUUGCUACCAUCAUCUUUCAGCUUGUUUUUCUCUAGGAAUGCGUUGAAAUUGAGGUUGACGUUGGCCAUCUACAAUAUUUAUAAAGACAACUUUUAGACUAAGUUCAUGACAAUUAAGUUCAUUUAAUAAAAUUAAGUAUGAACUCCCACUUAAAUCGACAUCCCUCUAGUCAUCUAAGUGCUACAUGAUCCAUGUUGACUAACCCGUGUGCGAUCAUCACGUGAGACGGACUAGUCACCAUGGUGAGCAACUUCAUGCUGAUCGUAUUCAACCAUACGACUCAUGUUCGACCUUUCGGUCUCUUGUAUUCGAGGUCAUGUCUGUACAUACUAAGCUCGUCGAGUCAACCUAGGUGUUUUGCGUGUGUAAAUCUGGCUUACACCCGUUGUAUGCGAACGUUAGAAUCUAUCACACCCGAUCAUCACGUGGUGCUUCGAGACAACAAUCCUUCGCAACGGUGCACACUUAGGGUAAUACGUUCUCGAAAUUUUAAGAGGGAUCAUCUUAUUAUGCUACCGUCGUUCUAAGCAAUAAGAUGAAAAACAUGAUAAACAUCACAAUGCAAUCAUAUAGUGACAUGAUAUGGCCAUUAUCAUCUUUGCUCUUUCGAUCUCCAUCUUCAGGCAUCGCAUGAUCAUCAUCGUCACCGGCGUGACACCAUGAUCUCCAUCAUCGUGUCUCCCUGAAGUCGUCACGCCAACUACUACUAUCACUACUACUAUAGCUGAUCGUUAGCAAUGAAGUAAAAGUAGUAAGCACAUGGUGUUGCAUCUCAUACAAUAAAUUAAGACAACUCCUAUGGCCCCUGCCGGUUGUCAUACUCAUCGACAUGCAAGUCGUGAAACCUAUUACAAUAACAUGAUCAUCUCAUACAUCAUACAUGCAACAUCACAACUUUGGCCAUAUCACAUCACAUGUCAAACCCUGCAAAAACAAGUUAGACGUCCUCUAAUUGUUGUUGCAAGUUUUACGUGGCUGAUUUGGGUUUCUAGCAAGAACGCUUUCUUACCUACGUGACAACCACAAUGAUGAUAUGCCAAAGCUAUUUACCCUUAAUAAGUACCCUUUUCAUCAAAUCCAAUCCGACUAGAGUAGGAGAGACAGACACCCGCUAGACACCUUUAUGCACGGUGUGCAUGUCUAUCGGUGGAACCAGUCUCACGUAAGCGUACGUGUAAUGUCGGUCCGGGCCGCUUCAUCCCACAAUACCGCCGGAAAAGAAUAAGAAUAGUAGCUGCAAGCAAUUGACAAAUCAUCGCCCACAACCUUUUGUGUUCUACUCGUGCAUAGAAUCUACGCAUAGAAAACCUGGCUCAGAUGCCACUGUUGGGUAACGUAGCAUAAAUUAGAAAUUUUUCCUACGCAUAUUCAGAUCUUCCUAUGGAGAGACCAGAAACGAGAGAGGGGUGAGUGCAUCUUCAUACCUUUGAAGAUCGCUAAGCGGANNNNNNNNNNNNNNNNNNNNNNNNNNNNNNNNNNNNNNNNNNNNNNNNNNNNNNNNNNNNNNNNNNNNNNNNNNNNNNNNNNNNNNNNNNNNNNNNNNUACGGCACCUCCGCGUUCAACACACGUGCAGCCCGGUGACGUCUCCCGCACCUUGAUCCAGCAACGAGGAGGGAGAGGUUGGGGAAGAACUCCAGCAGCACGACGACAUGGUGUCGAUGGAGAGACGAGGUCUCCCGGCAGGGCUUCGCCAAGCACCGGCAGAGAGGAGGAGAAAGAAGGGCAGGGCUGCGCCGAGGGAGAGGGAAAAGUGUGUCCCCCAAUGGCCAAAACCCCUCUCUAUUUAUAGGAGGAGGGGGGAGGGCUGCGCCACCCCUAGGGUUCACUCCCUAGGGGCCGGCGGCCACCAGAUGGGAGAGGGGGGGGGGCGGCCAGGGUGGGAGAGGUGUGGCGCACCACCUAGUGGGCCUAUGGCCCACCUGCGCCUAGGGUUGCCCCCUCUCCCCACCACCUACGCCUUUGGCUUGGUGUGGGAGGCGCACCAGCCCACCUACGGGCUGGUUCCCUCCCGCACUUGGCCCAUCUAGCCUCUCGGGGCUGGUGGCCCCUCCCGGUGGACCCCGGGCCACUUCCGGUGGUGCCAGUGGUCCCGGUACGUUACCGGUGACGCCCGAAACACUUCCAGUGUCCAAAACAAUCCGUCCUAUAUAUCAAUAUUUACCUACGGACCAUUCCGGAGCUCCUCGUGACGGCCGAGAUCUCAUCCGGGACUCCGAACAACUUUCGGUAACCUCGUAUAACAAUUCCCUAUAACCCUAGCGUCAUCGAACCUUAAGUGUGUAGACCCUACGGGUUUGGGAGACAGGCAGACAUGACUGAGACACCUCUCCGGCCAAUAACCAUCAGCGGGGUCUGGAUACCCAUGGUGGCUCCCACUUGCUCCACGAUGAUCUCAUCGGAUGAACCACAAUGUCAAGGAUUCAAUCAAUCCCGUAUACAAUUCCCUUUGUCCGUCGGUAUAGAACUUGCCCGAGAUUCGAUCGUCGGUAUACCUAUACCUUGUUCAAUCUCGUUAUCGGUAAGUCUCUUUACUCGUUCCGUAGCACGUCAUCGUGUGACUAACUNNNNNNNNNNCUGUCUGUCGGUAUAGAACUUGCCCGAGAUUCGAUCGUCGAUACACCUAUACCUUGUUCAAUCUCGUUACCGGUAAGUCUCUUUACUCGUUCCGUAGCACGUCAUCGUGUGACUAACUCCUUAGUCACACUGAGCUCAUGAUGAUGUUCUACCGAGUGGGCCCAGAGAUACCUCUGCGUCACGUGGAGUGACAAAUCCCGAUCUUGAUUCGUACCAACCCAACAAACACUUUCAGAGGUACCCGUAGUAAACCUUUAUAGUCACCUAGUUACGUUGUGAUGUUUGAUACACCCAAAGCACUCCUACGGUAUCCGGGAGUUGCACAAUCUCANNNNNNNNNNAAUACUUUCGGAGGUACCCGUAGUGCACCUUUAUAGUCACCGAGUUACGUUGUGACAUUUGAUACACCCAAAGCACUCGUACGGUAUCCGGGAGUUGCACAAUCUCACGGUCGAAGGAAAAGACACUUGACAUUAGAAAAGCUUUAUCAUACGAACAAUACGAUCUAGUGCUAUACUUAGGAUUGGGUCUUGUCCAUCACAUCAUUUUCCCAAUGAUGUGAUCCCGUUAUCAAUGACAUCUAAUGCCUAUGACCAGGAAACCAUGAUCAUCUAUUGACUAACGAGCUAGCCAACUAGNNNNNNNNNNGCAUACGAAAAAUACGAUCUAGUGCUACGCUUACGAUUGGGUCUUGUCCAUCACAUCAUUCCCCCAAUGAUGUGAUCCCGUUAUCAAUGACAUCUAAUGCCCGUGACCAGGAAACCAUGAUCAUCUAUUGACUAACGAGCUAGCCAACUAGAGGCUUGCUAGGGACACAUUGUGAUCUAUUUAUUCACACAUGUAUUACUGUUUCCUGUUAAUACAAUUAUAGAAUGAACAAUAGACGAUUGUCAUGAACAAGGAAAUAUGAUAAUAACCAUUUUAUUAUUGCCUCUAGGGAAUGUUUCCAAUAGGAAUCACCCUCGAUGGUUCACGCUUGAGGGGGUUGCACGACAGUUUCAUUAUCGGAAGUGGUGAUGGAGGAAUCACCCUCCAUAAUCCACCUCCAGUUAACUAGACUACAGGGUUAACAUUAGGAGUACAUUGCGAGGUAUCACCCUUGGUACACGAUGGUAGCUCUACAGAGUCGUACAACUAAGGGGGGUGUAAAGUGAGGUGACGGGUCAUGACUUGUCAAUGGGCUGAUCGAGUCUUCGGAUCUGCGAGUCUUCAAGUCGUCGAGUCUUCGAUGAUGAAGUAGGGGCAACUAGGACUUAGUGGGGCCACUAGGGAUCACUAAUCCACCUAUACUAAGCAUUUGAUAUGCAGUAGGGUACAAUAGUAGUUUAACAAAAAUAGGCUAUGCAUCCGAAUAGGAGCUAUCUAUAACAGUAGCAAAAUCUAAUGCAAUCAUAAGGGAGAAAGAAUGGGUGAUAUAGGGAUGAUCAAGGGGGGUUUGCUUGCCUUGUUGCUCUGCUACAAAAGGCUAGUCAUCAGUGGUGUAGUCGUACCCGGCAGCAGCGUCACCUUCAGCCUCUAGUGGAGAGAAGAGGGAGGAACUAACAAUAAAUACAAGCAAGUAGAUGCAAUACGAUGCAUGACAUGGUAAUAUGCAGUGCUAGGGAUGAGCUAAUGCGGUACUACACGUUACUGAUGGAGUGGGAAAAUAUUUGACGAUAUUUCCCGAGUCUUUGGCUACUACCGCACAAAUGGUUCGGAGAGGAAAGUUCCAAGUUCAACAUUCUAGGAGCAUGUGACACAUGAACGUAAAGCGUAUUCACAUUCGUGGAAUUUUUGUGAGCAACCUUCAUAUAUAAAUUAUUUUCAUCUGACUUAUAGAUUAUUUUAUAUUAAUUUUCAAAGUUUUAAUAAUAUUCUAAAAUUAAUUUAUAUUUACUUUAAUUCAAAAAUUGUUUUAAUGCGCGAGUAUGACAUCACAGGUCAACCAACCAGUUUGACUAGUCAAACUAACCAGCGGGACCCACCUAUCAUAGAGAGUGGGGCUAAGACCAGCUCUAGCAGACCCUGUGUAAAGCCGCGACCCGCAAAAUAACCGCCAAAAUACGGGUGGACGCGGAAAAUGCUGCCCGACCAGACCCGCAAACGCGUCCGACCCGUAAAUAUUUUUCAGGUGUACGGCAAAAUCCCAUCCCCAACCGCGAAAACGCAGGUUUCCGACUCGCCCGUACGGUGCCCCAUAUCCUAGGAAAGCAGUUGGCGGGAGGGAAAUUUCAGCCCUUGCCAUUUCCCCACCCCCUUCCGCCGCCCCCCGCCAUUGGUUUCGCCCGUCCGCUGUUGGCGAUUCCGGCCAAAUCUACGGGCGAAAUCGCGCCGCGGGGGCGCCCCUACCCUCUUCCACCGAGCCGCUGCACCGGCUCCCCUGAUCCGUCGAUCCACCACCGGAGAGCCACCGCCCCCGUGCAGUCGGUGAGUUUGUACUUAUGCUUGUGCCAAGCGGUAUGCAUAGUUGGUUAACGCGGUGCGCGUAUUUGUGAAUUCAGAUGGAAUUGAGCCCGUGCGAGAAGCUUUUGCUUGACGAUUUGGACGACUCAGAUGUUGAGACGAUGCUUGUCAACUAUCGUCAUCAGACGUUGGUGAUGGACCUUGCCGUGAAGGAGCACGAAUAAGAGAACCGAAAGAGGCGGCAAGGAUCGACCGUUGACCGUCUUUGCAUUCCUCGAAAUCGCCAUGUCAAAAACGAGAUGUUGACGCAAGACUACUUUGUGGACAAUCCAACAUAUUCGUCGCACCUCUUCCGGAGAAGGUAUUGAAUGCGUCGAUCCCUCUUUGUGAAAAGUGUUCAAGCUUGCAAGGCCAAUUGUCGGUAAUUUGGAUGAUUAUUGUAUUGUAAUAUUGACAUUGUUCUUGUAUUGCAAAUUAAUAAUUCUGAAUAUGUGCAUAUGUGUCAAAUUCACAUAAAACCGCAUUUGAUAUGCACGCCGGCAUGGGCGCCGGCAAAACAGACACCGCCUAGCGGAACUGUAAAAUGGAAUAUUCGCAUUUUACAGUUCCGUUAUGCAGGGUUUGUUCGGCGAGCGCCCAUGCCGACCUGUAAAACUGUUUUCCGCGAGCUGUAUACGAGUUUUGCGGGUCGGCGAUAUACGGGGUGCGCUAGAGAUGCUCUAACAUGGUUUAAUUUAAUUAAAACAUCUAACUAACCUAAGAGGGCCCAACGUGUAAGUGGGUUAUUAUUUUUAAAUUAAUUAGAUUAAUUAAUUUCAUUUAAUUAACAUGUUAAUUAGGGGGGUCCACUAGUCACUCAAUUUGCUAAUUAACUUGAACAUUUUAAUUAGUCCUAAUCUAAUCGUAUGACAAACGACGCCCACGGGUGAGUGAGCCAGUCGAGCUGUUAGUUGCUCGGGACCCACUUGGCGACGGCGCGCCGGCGGUAGCACUCCGGUGGCCAAAAUAGCCGUCGGAGGGCUUAUGCCUCAUCGGAAUCUGGCGGUGGGCGGCUAUCUGGCGCACACUAGGGCAUGUUCGAUCGGGCGUAGGGCGUCGCAUUGACUGGGGUUGGUAGUCGGGCCGGGAGCGGCAGGAUUUUGCACCGGCAACGAGCCUAGGUGGAGGCUGUUGGUGGGGCUCAUCGGAAACGGUGAUGCGGGGCACGUUUAGCGGCACGGGAGGGCGUGGCGGUGCGCGUGCGUGGGUCAUGCGUGCACAUGUAGCAGAACCAGCUGCAAGCAGUGGAGGCACGGACCAACCGCGGACGAUGGCACGGCGGCGCGCGCGGGCAGCAGAGCAAAGGGUGUGGACAGAAGGGGAGGGGCGACUGUUCAUAGUGGAGCUCGAGGGAGUUCUCGGGGUAGCCGAGGGUUGCCGGAGGUGAGUGAAUCUACGGCGAGAAGCUUCGGUAACCGGCGGCACUAACGAGUCGAUUCCGAUGUUGCGGUGAUCUCCACCUUGAUCCGGUGCGUGGGUGAACGAAAGGGAGGCAUGCGGAGCUCCAUGAUGUGUCGGGGCGACGUGGCGUGGCCGGUGGUCUCGGGAACGGAGAGACACGGCGACGGUUGCUCUCGGAUGACUUUGAUGGAGAGCAAGCGUUGCGUGAGGGAGAGGGAGGAGUGGGGCUAGGGUUUGCCGGGGUGCUCUUGUAGCCAUGGCCACAUCCCCCCAUUGAGUAGUAGGAAGGAGAAGAGGGAUCAAGAUGGGUUGGGUGUGUCAUGGUGUUAGAUGGGCCAACAUGCACAAUAGAUUAGGCCCCUUUUAUUUUAUUUCCUCUAGUGUUUUACUAUUUCUGCUCUGUUUUGUACUAUUUUUACACAAAAUGAUUUUUGUAAAAAUGUGGAACUUGUCUCAAUAGAUUCUUUGUAAUAUUUUGUGCUGCCACAAAAAGUAUGAGAUUGAAAUAAAGUAGUUUGGCAUUUUUAUAAUUCAAAGGGCAUUUAAUUUAUUGUUUUGGCAUAUGUUGUGAUUGUUUUAGAGCUUUAAAUUGCUUUAGAAAAUGUUGGUUUCACCAAGACAAAUACUAUGUGAAUAUUUGCGACCCAACCAUGAGUUUAAUUUUCAUGUUUGCCAAAAUAUUUAAUCCACUUAUUAUCUGAAUUUUGAAUUUUAAAAGAAAUUAUAAAUGGGGUAUGAUUCCAAGAUUGAUCAUGCACUAUUUAGCAAAAUGUUGGUUUCACCAAGGCAAAUAGUAGGUGAUCAUUGUAACUUGAUUACACGGGUACUGUAGUUGGUAACCAGGGGUGUCACAGUGUGGCCCUAUCAUCCAAGAUGGCGGUGAUGUUGGUGGUGAUUUCUUUGACGAGGAUAGUGUUUGAGUUCAUGCAUACCUUCGGUUGGGAUCAAUAUACUGUUUAAUUGUUUGUAUUUAGUGCGGCUAGGCUGAAAGAAUUGAUAAAACAAUCAUCCUUCUCUAAAUAUAAGGGAUGUGUUCGGUUUGGACACCAUUAGAGGAGGAUAAUUACCCUCCUCUAAGGAUACUCAACCUUUUACUCCUCUAACGGACAGGGGACUGGUUUGAGUUUCUCUAAUAUCCAUAGAAGUUAUUAAAUUGUCUUCUGUUGGAAUAACAUAAUCCAAAUGUUUAAUUAGCUUUGGUGCAAAAAAAACCUUCUCCUUAAUUUGAUGGAAGGUACGGUAGUAGUGGUGGAGCUUCUUACAGCCAAAGUGGGCCACCCCCUCUCUCCACCCCAGCCCUUCUUGGCUCCCUAAAAAAUUUUGAAUGGAAGGUUUUUCCUUCAUUGUUAAAUAUUUCUGAGGGAAAAGAAGAUAAAUGAUGUCUCUUUUGGGAGCAAUCGCCCAUAUAUUACCCUUUUUUGUUUGUUGAUGAAAGUAUUGUGUUUCUAAAGGCCUCGUAUAAGAAUUUGUUGGGUCUGAAAAAGAUCAUGUAGGGAGUCCCUCGACUGAAGAUUAUAUUUGGUUGGCGUACCACUUAUGGAGUAAAAAAACUUGCAUUGGGAGUACCAUGAUCUUCUUGCUUGUCGGCCUCUCAUGAAGGAUGGCUGGCUCUUUGGGCUAUAGACUAUCCAGGCAAGAUUAAGGUGCACACAAAGAGCUUAUUCAAAAAGGCUUGGCACUAGGAGCAGAUAUUGCUCAAAAAGGAUCCAAGGCGGGUGUAAUGCAUAACAUGCGGGAGAGAUGAGACAAUACAUCCCAUCUUUUGUACUAUGGUUUCGCUCGUCAUUGCCACUCCUGCUACUGUACCUCUCCUCGUCCGAGAGGCAUUCAUUCUCUUUUGAUGCCACUUUUGGUUCCAUAUGUGCCCUAAUUCUGCAAACAUAUUGUGAGUGGUGGUGCGAGAACUGAUUGUGGGGGCAACGACCUCCAAAGUGUGAACCAAUCGAUAAUGACGAAAUAACUACUUGAGAAAAUGAUCUCCUCUCACUCGAUUUGGUGAACAAUUUGUAACAUAGUCGACCUUGGAUACACAAAAGACUAAGAGGAUGGUCUAUUGAGGAAGGCCAAUCUACAUAAAUAAAUAUACCUUGAUAUGUGGUGAGAUAUAUGUUUAUCCAUUUCUUUCACUAUGACUAAUGAGCUUGUUUUUACACAUUAUAUGCUUGAGUUCAUACAUAUUAUUCUAGAAAUUUGUCUCAAAUUUUCCAUUAGCCUUUUUAGUUUGUCCCUUUUCAUCUUGUAAGGUUUUUAAUUGGAUUAUAUCUUCUAUGGACUUACCAUGAUAGUCGAAACCAAUUCAGGAAUAGAGUGGAGAAGAUAUGGUAGUCUUAUUUGAAUAUUUAUGGGAGAGUCAUCAAGAUUAUCUCAAAUAGAGAAGUCAAAAAUGUAAAGUUAUUCGCCUAACCAAGAAGAACAACUUUAUUUUUUAGGUAAUCUCAAUAUGACCUUGUAUGCACUAAUUAUAGUUAUGUUACCGAACCAGCACCAGAGAGAACAAAUCACAAGACAAGCAACAAUACUUCCAUAUUAGGUGGUAGCAACAACCGUACCACGAGACGAUAGUGACGCAAAAGACCCAAACUACACGAUCUCAUUUUGGCCAAUUCUGGUGCAUUAGAGCGUUUCAAAAUUAGGUUAUAAUAAGGAACAAACUAAAUAUAUCUAACUAUAGCUCCCCGCCUUAUUGUGGUGCAAAAAUUCUAAAGAAUAUAUAAAAAACAUAUUUGAAAAUUUCAAACACAACGAGAAUGGUUUUUCUUGAAAAUUUCAACUCUGUUAAAAUUUUGAACACAUUUUAAAAACCAAAGUUUUUGUAUUUUGAACAAUUUAAAAAAUGAAACAUUUUCUUAAAUUAUGAAGAAAAUAUGAAAUCAUGAAUAUAUUUCAAAAAAUCGCAUAAUCAAUUUUGAAAACGCAAACUUUUUUGCAACAUCACAAAUGUUUUUCAAAAACACAAACUUUUGUUGAUUUUGUGAAAAACAAAAUCAAAAGAGCGACAUUUUGUGAAAAUGCUUAAAAUUAAUUUAAACACGAACAUUUUUAAAAUUUGUGAUAAAUAUUCGAAAGUGGGAGCAUUUUUUUCAAAUUUGGAACAACAUUUGAAAACUAUGUACAUUUUGGAAAUACUAAACAUCUUCCGGAACAGCAAACAAUUUUAAAAUUCCUAACCAUUUUAUUUAAAAGGUAAGGAAACAUGAUUUUUUCUUAUUUGUGAACAAAGUUAUAGAAUAUAAAUAAUCAAAAAAUAUGGAAUUGCGAAAUAAAAAGUAGAUGUUUUGUAACAAAAAUAUUUCUUUCAAUUUUGUGAAUAUUUUUAUUUUGGAAAAACUAUUUUGGAAAUAAAAUAGAAAUCCCAAUAAAACGAAUAAAUAUAAAAGAAAAAUUAUAAACCAACCAAAACCUUCUUGUUAGUUCCCAAAACCGGUGAAAACCCAGAAACAAUCAUUGAAAGAUUCGCAAAACCAAUGUGUACAAUAGCUGAACUUCGGCCGGCCAACUCGAGCUCUAGCAUUUCAUCUCCAAACAAAACCCUGCCAAUUUGGGGAUUCCCUAUUUGGCGCGGCAAGCACCCGUUACAGGCCAUUUUGCUAACGGGUGCCUGCAGAGCGCAUCCCCUCUUUGCGACUGGGUAUCCCCUCUCAGUCUGGCCUCUUUUUUUGUUAAUAUUUCAAAAAAUAUGGACUGGUAGCAACCGUCACCUAACUAACCCGUACACCAUCGCAAUCCAUGUGAUUGAUCAUCGUUUCCUCCCUUUUAUUCUUGUUUUCCUGGGUUUUUUGGUUCGCUACAGUUUUGGGCAUUUUAUUCCGUUUUUCUUGUAUUUUUCAUUGUUUUCGGAAAUGUGCAGACUAUUUUUUUAAAUCCUUAAAACAAUUUUUUCAGUUUUCUGAACUUUUUUUCAAAUUCGAUGAAUUUUUGUUCAAAAUCGAUGCACUCAUUUUUUAAUUCGAUGAACUUUUUUCUAAAAUUUGAUGGACUUUUUUUAAAUACGGUGGACUUGUUUAUAUUUAGAUGAACUUUUUUCAAAUUCGAUGAACUUUUUUUCAAAAUGAAUGAACUCUUUUUUAACUCGAUGAUUUCUUAAAAUUGGAUGAACUUUUUUGAAAUUCCAUGAACUUUUUUCAAAUUCUAUGAACUUUUUUUGGAAACCUAUUAACUUUUUUCCAAAUUUUAUGAACGUUUUUCAAAAUGACUGAAUGUUUUAUUAAAAUUAAUGAAACUUUGUCAAAUGUGAUAAACAUUUUUCAAAUUUUAUUAUUAUUAUUUUUUAAAUCUGUCAACAUUUUCACAUUUGAAGAUUUGUUUUUGCAAAAUCAGUGAACUUUAUUUUUUGAAAAAUCAAUGAACUUUUUGAGGGCCUGCAGGGGCGCUAGAGCUGUUUUAUGGGCCGGCCCAGCGUGGAGCGCUGCAGGCGCCAAUAACGCAAACGGGCGCCUGUAACACCGUAUAGGAGGUCUCGCCAAUUUGUCGGUUAUAAUUCGUUAAAUAGCGUUUCACCGGAAAUAUGUACCCACGCACUAAAAUAUAGUAUUGGUUUGUAAGAUAAUAUAGGAGUAGUAUAUUUUUUGACUGCGAACAUACCAGGACACGCGGGACUCACUUUCCGGAGCGGGCUCGCUUGCCGGAGCAACAAGGACUCUCCCUUUCUAGGGAGAUUAGAGAAUGUAAAGAUAUAAAAAUAAUAUUCCAGAAAAAAAUGUGUAUAUUACUAUGUAAAAUUGUUAAAUAGCUUCACAUAAUAAAGGUACUCGUAAGCUUUAUUCCGUGUUAUGCCUUACUAUCACUUUGCAGGUACUCCGCAAAAAAAUGCACUUUGCAGGUACGUCUAUGAAAAAGCAUCGCUCUUUUAGUACUCCCUCCGUUCCUAAAUAUAAGUCUUUUUAUAGAUCCCACAAAGACACUACUCCCUCUAUAAACUAAUAUAAGAGUGUUUAGAUAACUAGAAUAGUAAUUUAAACGCUCUUAUAUUAGUUUACGGAGGGAGUACAUACAAAACAAAAUGAGUAAAUCUAUACUACAAAUUGUGUCUAUAUACAUCUGUAUGUAGUCCCUUAGUAAAACCUUUAAAAAGACUUAUAUUUAGGAACGGAGGGAGUACUACACAGUAUGUAUGUGAGUGUUAUUCAUUAUCUGUGGAUUGUGUCCUAAAAUAUUAUACGAUGGAGCCCAUACUUGCAUAUACUAUUUAUCUAUCUUUAGAAGCCCAUGAUUGCUGGAAUUAAAAGGAUGAGCUAACAAAUACAGCAGAGACCCGUGUACAGUUGGAAAUUAAAUUCGUGGGCACAGAGCUCGUGGCUGUGAGCGAUCAGUGGGUCUGAUUAAUUACCGAAUGUAGGCCAUUUAAGCCGAGAAAACGAAAGCUGCAAGACCACCUAAUCCUAAUAACGCAGACAACUUCGUUUAAACAAAAUAAAAUAAAAACGCAGACAACUAUAGCACAUCCCAGCUAUACUACUCCACGAUGUAGGGUCUUGUCUCUCUGACUAAUGAGUUGUAGGUCGUCAGUUUGUGGUUUGCAAUCUACUCCCUCCGUAACCUAUUAUAAUAGUAUUUGGAUCAUUAGAAUAGUAAUUUAAAUGUUUUUAUGUUAAUUUACGGAGGGAGUACGUACUAAGUUUGUUUGCUUCCAUCUCAAAAGAAAACAGUUUAUGUGCUUCGACAGUUCGUAGAUGGACCUCACAUACUGUAGGAUCGAUAAUCUAAUUGGUUCAUUGCGCGCUUUCGCAUAGCCUGAAUUUCUGUCAAUGUUUCCGCAAAAGAAAAGGAAUUUCUUUCAGUGAUAGACGCGCAAACCAUGGACCAUUUCACAUGGGCAGGCACAUGUGCAUCGGUUUUGAACCGUUCAUCCGCAUCGUGGUCCGAACAAUGGUGUCGACAGAAAUUCGUUGAAAAUUAUAUUCAAAUUUGGUACUCUCUUAAUACGAGAUAAUAUACAUGUUUAUCUUGUACAAAUACUUCCUUUUUUAUUAGGAGGCCAUAAUUAUAGACAAAACUCCAACAAUUACAUGUCCAAUCACAAUAAGUUGCGUCAAACUAAUAAUUGAUCACGUGAACACUAACUUAAGUUCAUCUUCUAACCUUGAUGAUACAACUAUGCUUUCAUCCUUAUUGGUGUUAGUUAAUUUAGGUAUCACGCUCAAGAUAUCCGACAAUCUAUAAGCUCGUGAAGGAUCCGGUUUGGAGAAACAAGUUUCAAAUGAAUCUGAUGUUGUAGCGGCCCAGGUCGUCGUAAAUGAAUAUCUGAUCACCAGAAAUGAUUCAAAUGCGAAAUCUAACGGACAAAAUCUCCAAGGUCAUGAGAGAGCUCGGUUUUCGUGCAGUUUACUAUCCUAAAUAAAUAAAUGAAAAGAGUUUUUUUUCCAGCAAUUUCUGGUAUUGUAUAUUUGCUCCUAGUUAAGGCUUUUGUGGGAUGCUACUAACAAAUCCACCACAUUUUAUUUUUCGAAGUUCUCAUGUGACAUUAUAUUUCUUUUUAGAUGCCUCAAAAUUGAAGUAUAGAACUGUUUAUGCAACCAGAUUAUUUGCUUGUAUAUCCAUUGGUUUCACCUACACAUAUUAUUAUAGUCAUUCAUAGCAACGCGCGGAGUUUUACCUAGCUACAUAAUGAUUAGGAUGCCUCUACACGGUACAUAUGAAAUAAAUAUUUAUAAUAUUUUGCAAGUUCGCAUGAAAAAUGUGACAUGAGACUAUUUUUUGGGGUGCGUUUGGUUGCCUUGAGUGAGUAGUGCCUGCAUUUCAACCACAUCUCACUAGAGUCAGGUUUAGCAAAAACAUGCAACAAACCAACAUAUGCAUGUUGUUUGGUUACGUGCAUUGCAUCAAAGUCCACUUUAGGAUCGGCUGUUUGGUUGCCCGCAUUUGUUCUUAAGGGGUGAUCAGAGAAAACCACAAUUGUUUGACUGCAUACACGUUUGUAUUUUGCUCACCGCAUUCAAAUGUCAUGGCCUUACCACCACAUUAUGCACAACAACAUAGAAAUCACUAACAGAACGUAAACAAGCAGAUUAACAACAACAAACAACAUAAAACAAGAAGAUAAAUACCAGAUAAACCAUACUGCUAACUAGCUAGCAUCGACAAAAGUAAGUCAAGGGAAUCCCAUGCCCCUUACUUCAACACAGGGUGCUGAACCCCGUCAAAAUAUUAACAAGUUCCCAGCAAUGUCUCACACCACCACCUCAAACUAACUACUCCCUCUAUCCAUAUAUAUAGGGCCUAAUACGUUUUUUGAGGCUAACUUUGACCACAUGUUAGAGCAAGUAAUAUAUGACAUGCAAGUUACACAAAGCAUACCGUCAAAUUCGUACGUGAAAGGAGCUUACGAUGAUAUAAUUUUUAUAUUAUAUAUCUCAUAUAAUAUUAAUCUUAUCAAUAGUCAAACAUAGUCUCGGAAAAGGCAUUAGGCCCUAUAUAUAUGGAUGGAGGGAGUACAAGUUUAGAGGGACACGAUCAGAGGGCGAAAGCAACGUCAGUGAUGUAGUUGUCCCUGCCGCAGUGCACCCUGCACCCGUUGGAGCUGUCGUGGUUGUAUAUUUGAACCUUGAGGCCGAGGCCAGAGAUGUGCAGCCUAACGAGAUCACUAGGGGCAAUCCUGUGGCGGCGGCAGAAGUACUCCCAGCCCCUACCGAGGACCAUCCGGCCCUCGAAGUUCUAGACCUGGACCUAGAACUCGUACCACUUGUUGGUCGAGAGCCUCAUCACAUGCGGGAGCUUCACCGUCAGCCACUCCUUUACUACCUCCACAAACUUGGGAGGGAUGAUGACCAUGGCGAGGUCCUCCUCGUCCAUGAUUUGCAUGUACUCCCUCCGUUCCUAAAUAUAAGUCUUUUAAGAGGUUCCACUAGGGGGGACUACAUGCGGAUGUAUAUAGACAUAUUUUAGAGUAUACAUUCACUCAUUUUGCUCUGUAUGUAGCCCUCUAGUGAAAUUUCUAGAAAGACUUAUAUUUAGGAACGGAGGAAGUAGAAGCGAAGCGGCUCUCAGGACCACUCCUCGUGGCCGGUCUGAGGAGCUCAUCCGCUUGAACGCGGUUGACUCAUGAAGGAGACCCUGCGAGGCAGGUUCACCCUCUUCAUCUAGCAAUUCAUGGGUAUGAAGUCCACGCCAGCCUCGGCACCAGCGACGACAGCUGGUCCUCCUCCAACCUUGUCCCACCCCUUCUUCAUCACCUUGUCAGGUAAGAAGACAUCCAUUAGUAACAUGGACACUAGUACUACCUAAAGUAGCAACCACAUUGGUCCUACCUACCAUGAAUACCAUGCACGUAGCAAAAUCGGGCAACAUAGCACAUGAACCCUAAGUAUGAACAUCAAACACAUGAAGCAUAAGUAUGAACGUCAAACACAUGAACCCUAAGUAUGAACGUCAAACACAUGAACCCUAAGCAUGAACAUAAGAGACACUACCACAUGAACUCUAAGCAUGGACAUCAAAUAUAGCACCAAUAUAGCUAACUAGCACAUGAACCCUAAACAUGAAACCCAACACCUAACUAUCCUGCCUAUGAACACUACUAAGCAUGCAUAUCAAAGCAAGAACACUACUAUAAUGCCAAUGAAUAGUACCACAUAAGAAGGAAUCGAAUCCAAUCGAUUCAAUUCAAUUUGAAUUGAAUCGAGUCAAUUCGAAUCAGAUCCAAUGCAUGCUAGUAAUGAAAACCCAUAUCUACACUUCUACGGAAAGAGAGGGAUUAGGGUUCUUACCGGAGCGGCGCGAGCGUACGCUGGCCGGGGAGAAAACCCCGGCGGGAAGGAGAUGACUGGUGAAUAGGACGAGCCACCAAUGUCGACGAUCGUCGAGGAGGAGCCGCCAAUCCCGGUGCUCGUGGCCAUGCGUGCAAUCAAGGAGGAGGGCGCCAGCAUCCAUGGAACAAACCCUUGGAUGAGGGGGGGGCGAACCCCACCAACAGAGGGGGUUCCAACCAACGACAAGGUCACCGCCCCUUCCGGUGGCGCACCGAACCCAGGACCACGAGAUCCGGAUACGACGGCAGAGCUGGAGCAGCCGACACCGCAGUGGGCGGGUGUGGAGGCCUGGUGCACAGCGGAGACGACGCCCGCAAAACCCUCAUCUAGUCCACCCCGUAGUUCUCAAGCCAACAACCACCGCUCAUGGAUGCAGUUCUCGCCGGCGCUGAUGGGGGUCAGCGGACGGCACGGCUGCAGGCGACUCAUCAGAGUAGAGGAGAGGAGAGGAGAGCGAUGGGUGAUGUGGGGAGUGAGAGGCAGUGGUGUGAAUGCAGUACUGGACGGUGACAGGAGAUGGAGAGGUAGUUAUGAGACGUCUCGUCCGUCUCCCGCGCCUCGCGAGGCGUUCGGCCAAGAGCCAUGCGUGGGCGUGCUCCGCCAAGCUGCGGAGAAACUUCCGAUUCGGUAGUAGCUCCCAAUCCAGACCUCAAACUACUUUAAGUUCCAUGCGGCCCGAAACAUGGGUGCAACCUAGUUAACCAAACAUGCCGUUUUCUACCCGCGAGGGCUUGGUUGGCCCAAAUGCGAGCAACCAAACAUGUCCUUGGUGUUUUGACACAAAGUAUGAAAAUGAUGUGUUAAUUUAUUUGUAAACAUGUCAAAGUUCUUCUUACUAAAUUAUAUCUUGUUGGGGAUGACUCUGCAAUGGUACAUAUAAAAUAAAAAAAUUAGACACUCUAUUUUGACACAAAGAUUGUGUUGGAAAUAUGCCCUAGAGGCAAUAAUAAAAUGGUUAUUAUCAUAUNNNNNNNNNNNNNNNNNNNNNNNNNNNNNNNNNNNNNNNNNNNNNNNNNNNNNNNNNNNNNNNNNNNNNNNNNNNNNNNNNNNNNNNNNNNNNNNNNNNNCUUAAGGUAUCCUAUGAAUACACAUUUCUCCGCUUUGGGUUCGAGCUUCUCUAGUUGAAGUUUCUUCACAUAAGCAUCGCAUGCCCAAACUUUUAGAAACGACAACUUAGGUUUCUUGCCAAACCAUAGUUCAUACGGUGUCGUCUCAACAGAUUUAGACGGUGCCCUAUUUAAAGUGAAUGCUGCAGUUUCCAAUGCGUAUCCCCAAAAUGAUAGCGGUAAGUCGGUAAGAGACAUCAUAGAUCGUACCAUAUCCAAUAAAGUCUGAUUACGACGUUCAGACACUCCCUUACGUUGCGGUGUGCCAGGCGGCGUUAGUUGUGAAACAAUUCCACACUUCCUUAGGUGUGUGCCAAACUCGUGACUCAAAUAUUCUNNNNNNNNNNNNNNNNNNNNNNNNNNNNNNNNNNNNNNNNNNNNNNNNNNNNNNNNNNNNNNNNNNNNNNNNNNNNNNNNNNNNNNNNNNNNNNNNNNNNNNNNNNNNNNNNNNNNNNNNNNNNNNNNNNNNNNNNNNNNNNNNNNNNNNNNNNNNNNNNNNNNNNNNNNNCUGAAAUUCCUUGAACCUUUCAAACAUCUCAGAUUUGUGCUUCAUCAAGUAGAUAUACCCAUACCUACUUAAAUCAUCGGUGAGAGUGAGAACAUAACGAUAGCCACCGCGAGCUUCAACGUUCAUUGGACCACACACAUGAGUAUGUAUUAUUUCCAAUAAGUCGGUUGCUCUCUCCAUUAUUCCUGAAAAUGGAGUCUUAGUCAUCUUGCCCAUGAGGCACGGUUCGCAUGUGUCAAAUGAUUCAAAAUCCAGAGACUCUAAUAGUCCAUCAGUAUGGAGCUUCUUCAUGCGCUUAACACCGAUAUGACCAAGGCGGCAGUGCCACAAGUAUGUGGGACUAUAAUUAUCAACUUUACAUCUUUUGGUACUCACACUAUGAAUAUGUGUAACAUCACGAUCGAGAUUCAUCAAGAAUAAACCAUUCACCAGCGGANNNNNNNNNNNNNNNNNNNNNNNNNNNNNNNNNNNNNNNNNNNNNNNNNNNNNNNNNNNNNNNNNNNNNNNNNNNNNNNNNNNNNNNNNNNNNNNNNNNNGUUUUUAUUGCUUGGUUUGAGAGUCUGAUCUGUAGCAUAUACUGUCGUUAAUAUGUUUUAUGGCCCAUCUGCAGCUGUUUUGGGCCGUUUGCCUGGCACCACUGUGUACAGGAAUACAUUGCAGUACCCUGAGGCUUAUACAUACAAUGGGAUUGUUGUUGUCCGUGUUGAUGCACCAAUCUACUUUGCCAACAUAAGUUACAUAAAGGACAGGUCAAUAUCUUCAUCUGUUUAAGAACUUUGUUUCACUANNNNNNNNNNNNNNNNNNNNNNNNNNNNNNNNNNNNNNNNNNNNNNNNNNNNNNNNNNNNNNNNNNNNNNNNNNNNNNNNNNNNNNNNNNNNNNNNNNNNNNNNNNNNNNNNNNNNNNNNNNNNNNNNNNNNNNNNNNNNNNNNNNNNNNNNNNNNNNNNNNNNNNNNNNNNNUUUGUGAUCCUCGAGAUGUCUCGUAAGCCCUUCAAUUUUCUGUUGCAAUGUUUAUAUGGCGCAGACAACACUGCUGCCCGCAACUAUUAUUUCAUUUCCAUUCGAAAAAGAAUCUCAAUUGUACUCAUCAGACUACCUAGAUGAAUGGAUUAAAUGAUGGAAUUUGUUUGGCAUGCAGCUGUUACGUACAUUGACUCAAGCGCUGUUCAAGCUCUCAAGGAUCUGCACCAAGAAUACAAAGCACGCGACAUCCAGGUUCUUACUCUCAGCAGUUCUUCUAUUCACUAGUUAAGUACUCCAUGAUUUUUGUUGGUGAAGGUACCUGUGUGGAGCCAGCAUUUCAAAACGUUGGAGGCUUUUUGAUUGAUUGCAGAUCGCUAUAGCGAACCCUAACCGGCAGGUGCACCUACUGCUGUCAAGAGCGGGGAUCAUCGACAUGAUUGGCNNNNNNNNNNNNNNNNNNNNNNNNNNNNNNNNNNNNNNNNNNNNNNNNNNNNNNNNNNNNNNNNNNNNNNNNNNNNNNNNNNNNNNNNNNNNNNNNNNNNNGAGUUCAUCGUCGAAUGCCAUCAAGUUAUCCCCACAGGCGUCUGGGCACUUGACGGAGUCUCCCAAGGCGCAGCAGCGGUAUGGCUUCCUGAGGAACCUCUGGAAAGCACAAGAUGGGAAUGGGAGCGCCGGUGACGAGGCCCAGUCGUUGCUGCGCCAAAACCUUGUGUAGCCAACUGUCUCCCUCCCUCGGUGCCAAUCGGGAUGCAUGCAUUUGUAUUUGUGUUGUUGUGUGCAUGUAGAUUGUUCAGGGAAAAAAAUAAGGAUGCAAAUAGUCAACCCCCCCUCCUCCUGUUNNNNNNNNNNNNNNNNNNNNNNNNNNNNNNNNNNNNNNNNNNNNNNNNNNNNNNNNNNNNNNNNNNNNNNNNNNNNNNNNNNNNNNNNNNNNNNNNNNNNAAUCAGUGCUACUAACAUUUCGCACUCGGCUAUACCGAUUUUGCACAUAAACAGAUCCGAUGCCAAACACACCAUCUCGGUAGAACCAACAUUCUUAUCGGUGCUACCGAGAUUGGGUGACCAACAUUCUGUUGAGAUAACUUCAAGUUUUGGAAUUUCUGAGUUUGAAGUCGGUCUCACCGAGUUUGGGAACCAGUCUAGAUCAUCCUAUCGAUACCACUGAGAUUCAUAUAUCGACCUCACUGGGAAUUCAAAGUUGCCACAUUUAGUGCAACUCGGUACCACCGAGAAUGGCAUUUUGGUGUCACCGAGUUGGGAAAUAAUGUUGUAACAGUUGGAUUUUUGGAGAUGCCUAUAUAUACCCCUCCACCUACUUCUCAUUCGCACAGGAAGCACUCAGAACAUACUUACACUUGCCACAUCCAUUGUUCUGAGAGAGAGUGAAAGCACAAUUGCUCCCAAAGUUGGUCUUGGUAAUUAAUCACAACAUAUGCAUCAAUGGAUUACAGAGAUUAUCCAAGUAUUUUUCAGAAGAGUUCAAGCAUGCUUUGGCUAUAGAAUUGAGUGGAGACGCCCAUUUCAUGAAGGAAGGAUAAGAUUUGCUAAGGAAGAAGACUCUUCAUUUUACACUUUGUGAGAAAUCACAUUUGAGUUCAUAGGAAAGCCAAUGCUAUUAAAAGGGGAUGAGAUGUUAUGAUGAAUUGGUUGCUCAAGUGCUUAGAGAUAGCCAACAAAAAUACUCAGCCACUCUUCCACAAAAUAUAUCUGUCCCAAGCCAAAUAUCCAAAAUUGGUGCCACCAACAUUUAUCACUCGGCCAUACCGAUUUUAGACUUAGACAGAUCCCAGCCAAACCUACCUUUUCGGUGCAACCAAAUCUGCAUCGGUACUACCGAGUUUAGGUGACCAAACUUCUAUUGCCUCGGUACACUAAAUCAGAGUUUCUGAGUUUUUGUCUCGGUGUCACCGAGUUGUGUCAUCUAACCGUUAGUCACCUUUUCGGUUCUACCGAGUUGUGUAUAUUGGUUCCACCGAGAUUCAAAGUUGCUACCGUUUGAGCAAGUCGGUACCAUCGAAUUUGUAACUUUUGUGUCACCGAGUUGGUCAAUUAUGGUGUAACAGUCGGAUUUUGGAGGUUGCCUAUAUAUACCCCACCACCUACCUCCCACUCCUAGAGGAAGCACUCGGAACACACACUGCAUUGCUAGAUCCAUUUUUCUGAGAGAAAACCACCUACUCAUGUGUUGUGAUCAAGAGAUUCCAUUCCAACCAUUUGAACCUUGAUUUCUAGCUUCUCGGAGUUGCUUUCCACAAGAUCAAUCUCUCCUGCCCUUGCCAAAUCUGAAAGAGAGUAAUUGAGUGUUGCAGAUACUAUCUUGAGAAGCACAAGAGCAAGGAGUUCAUCAUUCUAACACAUAUAUUACCUUUCGGAGGAUGGUGCCUCCUAGAUUGGUUAGGUGUCGCUUGGGAGCCUCCUACCUCGUGUUGUGGAGUUGAACCAAGAUGUUUGUAAGGGCAAGGAGAUCGCCUACUUUGUGAAGAUAAACCGUGAGUGAGGCUAGUCCUGUGUGGAUGGAAGCCGUAGUGGAAUAGACAAGGCCGCUUCUUCAUGGACCCAUUGUGGGAGGAGACCUCCGUGCACUCUCGCAGUCGUUACCCUAUGUGGGUUGAAGUCUCCACGAACAUGGACGUACGAUAGCGCCACCUAUACUAACCAUGCCAAAAAAAAUUGUGUCAACCUCUUGCGUUUGAUCUCCCCAUCCUUCCUUACUUUACACCUGCAUGUUUUACUUUUCGUUGAUAUACUCUUAGAUGUGCAUGUGUAGGGUGUACUUGACUAGUCAUAGUUUCAAAAUCUGGCUUACGCUAAAAAUUGGGAAAAAGCUAAGUUUGUAUCUUGUCAAUUAGUCUAAUCACCCCCUUCUCUACACAUACUUUCAACCCUACAAGUGGUAUCAGAGCUUUGGUCUCCAUUGCAUUGGUUUCACAACCUAUGAGAGUAUGGCGUCUAGUGAGGGAAGUUAUCACAGUACAGGUCCAUACUUCGAUGGCACUAAUUUCUCUAAUUGUAAGGAUAAAAUAAAAUGCGUAUUCUUGGUUAUAAUCCUGCCGUUUGGGCUGUUGUUUGUGUNNNNNNNNNNNNNNNNNNNNNNNNNNNNNNNNNNNNNNNNNNNNNNNNNNNNNNNNNNNNNNNNNNNNNNNNNNNNNNNNNNNNNNNNNNNNNNNNNNNNCAUCAGCGGGAUUUGGAUACUCAUGGUGGCUCCCACAUGUUCCACGAUGACCUCAUCGGAUGAACCACGAUGUCAAGGAUUCAAUCAAUCCCGUAUACAAUUCCCUUUGUCUGUCGGUAUAGAACUUGCCCGAGAUUCGAUCGUCGGUAUACCCAUACCUUGUUCAAUCUCGUUACCUGUAAGUCUCUUUACUCGUUCCGUAGCACAUCAUCCCGUGACUAACUCGUUAGUCACACUGAGCUCAUUAUGAUGAUGUUCUACCGAGUGGGCCCAGAGAUACCUCUCCGUCACACGGAGUGACAAAUCCCGAUCUCGAUUCGUACCAACCCAACAGACACUUUCGGAGGUACCCGUAGUGCACCUUUAUAAUCACCCAAUUAUGUUGUGACGUUUGAUACACCCAAAGCACUCCUACGGUAUCCGGGAGUAGCACAAUCUCACGGUCGAAGGAAAAUACACUUGACAUUAGAAAAGCUUUAGCAUACGAACAAGACAAUCUAGUGCUAUACUUAGGAUUGGGUCUUGUCCAUCACAUCAUUCUCCCAAUGAUGUGAACACGUUAUCAAUGACAUCUAAUGUCCAUGAUUAGGAAACCAUGAUCAUCUAUUGAUCAACGAGCUAGCUAACUAGAGGCUUGCUAGGGACACAUUGUGAUCUAUUUAUUCACACAUAUAUUACUGUUUCCUGUUAAUACAAUUAUAGCAUGAACAACACACGAUUAUCAUGAACAAGGAAAUAUGAUAAUAACCAUUUUAUUAUUGCAUCUAGGGCAUAUUUCCAACNNNNNNNNNNNNNNNNNNNNNNNNNNNNNNNNNNNNNNNNNNNNNNNNNNNNNNNNNNNNNNNNNNNNNNNNNNNNNNNNNNNNNNNNNNNNNNNNNNNNGCAGUCAUUUCCUACUCUUGAAGGACUACUUCGAGACCCCCAACCGCUUUUCCACCCGACCAAUUUCAGCCCCAUUUUUGUAUGGCAAGACAUGUGUUCAACCGUAUCCAGGAGGGGGAUGGCGUGCGAUAAGUAUUUUGAGUGCAAGGAGGAUGCCCUUGAAAAGAUUGGCUUCUCCUCUUAUUAGAAAUGCACUGCAGCUAUUCCGAUGCUUGCAUAUAGAGUUCCCAGGCAUAUCAUUCAUGAGUAUGUCCAAAUGAGCGAGUCCACGUGUCUAAACUACAUUUAUAGGUUUUGAAAGGCUAUGAUAGCAAUGUUUGCCCCGGAGUACUUNNNNNNNNNNNNNNNNNNNNNNNNNNNNNNNNNNNNNCGGAGUACUUGAGAGAGCCAAAUGUUGCAGACACAACGCGGUUGUUGGCGAUGAAUGCCAGGAGGGGCUUUCCGGGAUGCUUGGUAGCAUAGAUUGUCUGCACUGGGAGUGAAAGAACUAUCCUCCUACUUGGCAAGGACAAUAUAGGAGACAUGUUAAAGCUUGCACUGUCAUACUCAAGGCCGCGGGUUCACAAGAUCUCUGAAUUUGGCACUUUUUUGGUAUGGCCGGAUCUCACAACAAUAUCAACGUGCUUUAACGCUCUCCGUUGUUUGCCACGCUUGCAGAAGGCAACUGCCCGGAGGUCAAUAUUGAAAUCAAUGACCACUACCACAACAAAGGAUACUAUCUACAUGACGGUAUCUAUCCUCAAUGAACUACUCUUGUGAAGACAAUCCUCAACCCUGUAGGAGAGAAGAGGAAGAGAUUUGUGCAAGAGAAAGAGAGUGCUAGAAAGGAUGUGGAACGUGCCUUUGGUGUUCUUCAAUCUCGAUGGGGCAUCGUUCGGUAUCCUCCUGGAACUUGGAGCAUCAAGAAAUUGUGGAUUGUGAUGAUUGCUUGCGUGAUCAUGCACAAUAUAAUCGUAGAGGAUGAACGCCUGGAACGUACCUUGUGACCAAUGAUUUUAAUUUCAAGAUGACAAUGUUGUGCCUGAGCAUGAAGGAGCGACAACAUUUGCACAGUUCAUCGAAUUUUAUCAUCAAAUGCGUGAUUGAAAAACUCAUAUUCAGCUGUAAAAUGAUUUGGUUGAAUAUAUGUUGGCUCACAUUAACAAUCAGUAGAUGUAGCACCUAUUUAAAAAAUGUAUUUGAGAUAAUUUAAGUUUUAUUUGACUUAUAGAAUAUGAGAUAUUUUAUUAACUUGUGGUACCAUGAUAUAUUUGUAUUUUGUUUGAAUUAUGUGAAGUAUGGAUAUAUUUUUUUCAUAUCAUUGNNNNNNNNNNNNNNNNNNNNNNNNNNNNNNNNNNNNNNNNNNNNNNNNNNNNNNNNNNNNNNNNNNNNNNNNNNNNNNNNNNNNNNNNNNNNNNNNNNNNAGCCACGUGCAUCGAGGUUUCUCCCUGCCCUGCACCCUUUCUUCAAAGGCAUAAUGAACCACUUUGGGGCGCAGCUCCACCACUUUCCCCUGAAUGCCAUCGCCCAUCUCUCUGCUUUCGUAGUCUUAUGCGAGUGCUUCAUCGGUUGUCCCCCCCAUUGGGGGCUUUUCAAACAUAUCUUCUCUGCUAGGUCCCAAAUCAUCAAACGACUUAAUCAGUCGGAUGAUAAGACUCACCUUCUUCAGCUCUGUGGGGGUUUAGGCUUCCAAAAGAAGAGCAAAAGUAAUUAUCCCGCUCUUCAGUUGAGUGAAUCGGUUAGGAACUGGCAGUCGACAUGGUUCUACUUCCAGGACGUCGCUUGCCCGAAUGCCACGACAGGGCUCCNNNNNNNNNNNNNNNNNNNNNNNNNNNNNNNNNNNNNNNNNNNNNNNNNNNNNNNNNNAGCUUAGAUCGACCAGCUCCGCCUAAGCAGCUCGCACUCACGAAGGCGGAGAAGAUCCGUAUCCAGCCCCUGGUCGACGCACUCGUAGAUGUCGUCAGAAAGGGAGUCACCGGCAUAGAUUUGCUGGAGGUUUUCCUCGGCCGGCGCAUCCAACCACUGCAGGCCCGAGACCACGCCAUGUGGCAUUACACGGGACCCGAAGGCUCCACUCGGACCAACAUCGAGUGCGUGACUGGGGAGACAGUGGCAUCAUGGGUGCUCCAGAUCACAGGCGCCUGCGAGAACCCCAGAGGGUCCUGGAGAGUGAAGGCUUUCCGCGCGGACAACCCUCCUCCGAACGAGGUGAGUACAACUUGUCGAGCGCACAUAACUGUCUUAGUUUAUCGCNNNNNNNNNNNNNNNNNAUAACUGUCUUAGUUUAUCGCUGUCUUGAGUCGCCGUCUGAUGUCAGAUGUCACCGACUGUAUUUUAUGCAGGAGUGGACCAACUGGUUCUCCCCUGUCUCGAAUGGGAACCCGGCCGAGGAGGAGGAAGAGGGCAGCCAGGAGGGCAGCGUGGGGAGCGUCGAGUACGUCUCCGACAGUGGGGAGACGGAGGAGGNNNNNNNNNNNNNNNNNNNNNNNNNNNNNNNNNNNNNNNNNNNNNNNNNNNNNNNNNNNNNNNNNNNNNNNNNNNNNNNNNNNNNNNNNNNNNNNNNNNNAUAAUCUGAUCACAAGUCCACAAUUCAUCGGAUCUCGAUAAACACACCGCCAAAGAAGAUUACAUCGGAUAGAUCUCCAUAAAGAUCAUGGAGAACAUUGUAUUGAAGAUCCAAUAGAGAGAAGAAGCCAUCUAGCUACUAACUACGGACCCGUAGGUCUCAAGUGAACUACCCACGAGUCACUUGAGGGGCGAUGAUGAUGAUGAAGAAGCCCUCCAACUCCAAAGUCCCCUCCGGUAGGGUGCCAGGAAGGGUCUUCAGAUGAGAUCUCGCGAAAACGGAAGCUUGCGGCGGCGGAAAAGUAUUUUCGAGGCUCCCCUUAUUUUUUGCUGUAUUUUAGGGAAUAUAUAGGCCAAAGAUCUAGGUCACGGGGCGGCCACGGAGGCCACAAGCCCUGUCACCGCUGCCUCCCCCUGGUGGCGGAGUGGGGGCUUGUGGGCUCCUUGGAGCCCUCCUGGCUUGGCCAACAGGGUGCAAGCUUGUUGGCUCCCUGGUGCCCACCUGGCCUGGCCCAAAGGCUCCCUGGUCUUCCUUCCUUCGGGAAAAAAUCAUUUCGGGGAUUUUAUUCCGUCUGGACUCCGUUCCAAAAUCACAUCUAAGAAGGGUCGAAAACACGGACAAAUGGGAACUGGCACUUGACACUGAAUCAAUAAGCUAGUCUCCAAAAAGAUAUAAAAAGGUACAUAAAACAUACAAAGAAGACAUGAUAACAGCGUGAAACCAUCAAAAAUUAUAGAUAUGUUUGAGACGUAUCAAGCAUCCCCAAGCUUAACUCCUGCUCGUCCUCGAGUAGGGAAGUGAUAAAGAAUGAAUUUUUGAUGCUUUCAUGCUACCUAGCAUAGGUGUGCUUUGUAAUUCCUCUUAUGUGACGUGAAUGUUCAGAUCCAUUAGAUUCAAAACAAUAUUUUUCUAUUGACGUGGAAACAAUAAUAAUUCAAGCAAACUAGCAAAGUAAUCAUGAACUUUCAAAAUAACAAGGACGAAAGNNAGCAAACUAGCAAAGUAAUCAUGAACUUUCAAAAUAACAAGGACAAAAGAAAGUUAUCCCUACAAAAGCAUAUAGUCUGGCUAUGCUCUAUCAUCAUUGCACAACGAAUUUAAAUCAUGCACAACCCCGGUAUUGGCCAAGUAAUUGUUUCACACCUUUACUUUCUCAAACAUUUUCAACUCUCACGCAAUACAUGAGCGUGAGCCAUGGUUAUAGCACUAUAUAUGGUGUGGAAUAUGGUGGAGAUUGCAAGACAAAAAGGAGAAGAUAGUCACAUUAACUAGGCAUAUCAAUGAGUUGUGGAGACGCUCAUCAAUAGAUAUCAAUGUGAGUGAGUAGGGAUUGCCAUACAAAUGAUGCCCUAGAACUACAAGUAUGUGAAAGCUCUUAAAGAAAACUAGUGGGUGUGCAUCCAACUUGCUUGCUCACGAAGACCUAAGGCAAUUUUGAGGAAGCCUAUCAUUGGAAUAUACAAUCCAAGUUAUAUAAUGAGAAUUUCCCACUAGCUAUAUGGUGGUGACAAAACGAGAGACUCUCAAUCAUGAAGAUCAUGGUGCUCAAAAUGCACAAGUGUGGAAAAAGUGGUAGCAUUGUCCCUUCUCUCUUUUUCUCUCAUUUUUAUAUUUAUUUUGGUGGGCUCUUUGGCCUCUUUUUUAUGGGCUUAUUUGGCCUCUUUUAUUUCCUCACAUGGGACAAUGCUCCAAUAAUGAUGAUCAUCACACUUUCAACUCAAAACUUAGAGCAAUUACAACUCUAUAUGGAAUGCCUUCGGUAGUGUACCGUGGCAACGAUCUAGCAAGGUAUAUACAUCAAUGGAAAAAUCAUGCUGGCUAUCUUACGAUCCUGCAAUGGCAAUGUAGACAUGGUGGCACAUAUCAUGGUGGUAGUUGCAUGGCAAUAUAUCUCGGAAUGACCUUGAAAAAGCCAUAGUAGGUAGGUAUGGUGGCUGUUUUGAGAGAGGCUAAUGGUGGGUUUUGUGCACCGGCGAAAGUUGCACGGCACUAAGAAGAUAGUGAUGGCGGAAGGUGAAAGUGCAUCUAAGCCAUGGACUCAACAUUAGUCAUGAAGAACUCAUAUACUUGUUUCAAAAGUUUUAUUAGUAAUCGAAACAAAGCAUUCAACGCAUACUCCUAGGGGAAGGGUUGGUAGGAAUAAACAAUCGCGCGAUCCCGACCGCCACGCAAAGGAUGACAAUCAAUAUAAUAAUCAUGCUCAGAUUUCGUCACAUAGCGGUUCACCAUAUGUGCAAGCUACGGGAAUCACUAACUUCAACACAAGUAUUUCUAGAUCCACAACNNNNNNNNNNNNNNNNNNNNNNNNNNNNNNNNNNNNNNNNNNNNNNNNNNNNNNNNNNNNNNNNNNNNNNNNNNNNNNNNNNNNNNNNNNNNNNNNNNNNGCUACUCAUUUAAGUCAGAGAAUAAUGGUUGUUCUAUUUAUAUGAGUGAUAUGUUUUAUUGUCAUGCUCCGCUGGUGAAUGGUUUAUUCUUGAUGAAUCUCGAUCGUGAUGUUACGCAUAUUCAUAGUGUGAGUACCAAAAUAUGUAAAGUUGAUAAUGAUAGUCCCACAUACUUGUGGCACUGCCGCCUUGGUCAUAUCGGCGUUAAGCGCAUGAAGAAGCUCCAUACUGAUGGACUAUUAGAGUCUCUUGACUCCGAAUCAUUUGACACAUGCGAACCGUGCCUCAUGGGCAAGAUGACUAAGACUCCAUUCUCAGGAAUAAUGGAGAGAGCAACCGACUUAUUGGAAAUAAUACAUACUGAUGUGUGUGGUCCAAUGAACGUUGAAGCUCGCAGUGGCUAUCGUUGUGUUCUCACUCUCACCGAUGAUUUGAGUAGGUAUGGGUAUAUCUACUUGAUGAAGCACAAAUCUGAGACAUUUGAAAAGUUCAAGGAAUUUCAGAGUGAGGUCGAGAAUCAAUGUUACAGAAAAAUUAAGUGUCUACGAUCUGAUCGUGUGAUCGUGGAGGAGAAUAUUUGAGUCACGAGUUUGGCACACACCUAAGGAAGUGUGGAAUCGUUUCACAACUGACGCCGACUGGCACACCGCAACGCAACGGAGUGUCUGAACGUCGUAAUCGCACUUUAUUAGAUAUGGUACGAUCUAUGAUGUCUCUUACCGACUUACCGCUAUCAUUUUGGGGAUACGCAUUAGAAACUGCAGCAUUCACUUUAAAUAGGGCACCUCUAAAUCCGUUGAGACGACACCGUAUGAACUAUGGUUUGGCAAGAAAGCCUAAGUUGUCGUUUCUUAAAGUUUGGGGCUGCGAUGCUUAUGUGAAGAAACUUCAACCAGAAAAGCUCGAACCCAAAGCGGAGAAAUGUGUAUUCAUAGGAUACCCUAAGGAAACUAUUGGGUAUACCUUCUAUCUUAGAUCCGAAGGUAAAACCUUUGUUGCCAAGAACGGAUCCUUUCUAGAGAAAGAGUUUCUCUCGAAAGAAGUAAGUGGGAGGAAGGUAGAACUUGAUGAGGUAAUUACACCCCCUCUUGAACAGGAUAGUAGCGCAGCGAAGGAAGUUGUUCCUGUGGCGCCUACACCAACUGAAGAGGAAGUUAAUGAUAAUGAUCAUGAAGCUUCGGAUCAAGUUACUACUGAACUGCGAAGGUCCACGAGGGCACGCUCCGCACCAGAGUGGUACAACAACCCUGUGAUGGAAAUCAUGUUGUUAGACAACGGUGAACCUUCGAACUAUGAAGAAGCGAUAGCGGGCCCGGAUUCCAACAAAUGGCUUGAAGCUAUGAAAUCCGAGAUAGGAUCCAUGUAUGAGAACAAAGUAUGGACUUUGGUGGACUUGCCCGAUGACCGGCGAGCCAUAGAAAAUAAAUGGAUGUUCAAGAAGAAGACUGAUGCAAACGGUAAUGUAACCGUUUAUAAAGCUCGACUUGUCUCAAAGGGUUUUCGACAAAUUCAAGGAGUUGACUACGAAGAGACUUUCUCUCCCGUAGCGAAGCUGAAAUCAGUCCGAAUCAUGUUAGAAAUUGCCACCUUUUAUGAUUAUGAAAUUUGGCAAAUGGACGUCAAAACAGCGUUCCUUAACGGGAACUUAAGGAAGAGUUCCAAAACAAAUUCAAGGAGUUCCAGAAGGUUUUGUCGACCCUAAGGGUGCUAACAAAGUGUGCAAGCUCCAGCGCUCCAUCUAUGGGCUGGUGCAAGCAUCUCGGAGUUGGAACAUUCACUUUAAUGAGGUGAUUAAAGCGUUUGGGUUCAUACAGGUUUAUGGAGAAGCUUGUCUAUACAAGAAAGUGAGUGGGAGCUCUUUAGCUUUCCUCAUACUGUAUGUGGAUGACAUAUUAUUGAUGGGGAAUAAUAUAGAGAUGUUGGAGAGCAUAAAGGCCUAUUUGAACAAGAGUUUUUCAAUGAAGGACCUUGGAGAAGCUGCAUAUAUAUUAGGCAUCAAGAUCUAUAGAGAUAGAUCGAGACGCCUCAUAGGUCUUUCGCAAAGUACAUACCUUGACAAGAUAUUGAAGAAGUUCAAUAUGGAAAACUCAAAGAAAGGGUUCUUUCCAGUUUUGCAAGGUAUGAUAUUGAGUAAGACUGAGUCGCCAACCACGGCAGCAGAUAGAGAGAAGAUGAGUUAUGUCCCCUACGCUUCAGCAGUAGGCUCUCUUAUGUAUGCCAUGCUGUGUACCAGACCUGAUAUAAACCUUGCCAUAAGUUUGGUAGGGAGGUACCAAAGUGAUCCCGGUUUGGAACACUGGACAGCGGUCAAGAAUAUCCUUAAGUACCUGAAAAGGACUAAGGAAAUGUUUCUCGUUUAUGGAGGUGACGAAGAGCUCGUCGUAAAGGGUUACGUCGACGCUAGCUUUGACACAGAUCCGGAUGACUCUAAGUCAGAGACUGGAUACGUAUAUGUUUUGAAUGGUGGGGCAGUGAGCUGGUGCAACAUCAAGCAAGAAGUCGUGGCAGCAUCUACAUGUGAAGCGGAGUACAUAGCUGCUUCAGAAGUGGCUCAUGAAGGAAUUUGGAUGAAGGAGCUCAUCACCGACCUUGGAGUGGUUCCAAGCGCGUCGGGUCCAAUGACACUCUUCUGUGAUAACACUGGGGUCAUUGCCAUAGCCAAGGAGCCCAGGUUUCACCAGAAGACGAAGCACAUCGAACGCCGCUACAACUCCAUCCAGGACCAUGUCCAGAGUGGAGUGAUAGAUAUUUUCAAAGUACACACGGAUCUGAAUGUUGCAGACCCGUUGACUAAACCUCUUCCACGAGCAAAACAUGAUCAACACCAUAAUGUUAUGGGUGUUCGAAACAUCACAAUGUAACUAGAUUAUUGACUCUAGUGCAAGUGGGAGACUGUUGGAAAUAUGCCCUAGAUGCAAUAAUAAAAUGGUUAUUAUCAUAUUUCCUUGUUCAUGAUAAUCGUGUGUUGUUCAUGCUAUAAUUGUAUUAACAGGAAACAGUAAUAUAUGUGUGAAUAAAUAGAUCACAAUGUGUCCCUAGCAAGCCUCUAGUUAGCUAGCUCGUUGAUCAAUAGAUGAUCAUGGUUUCCUAAUCAUGGACAUUAGAUGUCAUUGAUAACGUGUUCACAUCAUUGGGAGAAUGAUGUGAUGGACAAGACCCAAUCCUAAGUAUAGCACUAGAUUGUCUUGUUCGUAUGCUAAAGCUUUUCUAAUGUCAAGUGUAUUUUCCUUCGACCGUGAGAUUGUGCUACUCCCGGAUACCGUAGGAGUGCUUUGGGUGUAUCAAACGUCACAACAUAAUUGGGUGAUUAUAAAGGUGCACUACGGGUACCUCCGAAAGUGUCUGUUGGGUUGGUACGAAUCGAGAUCGGGAUUUGUCACUUCGUGUGACGGAGAGGUAUCUCUGGGCCCACUCGGUAGAACAUCAUCAUAAUGAGCUCAGUGUGACUAACGAGUUAGUCACGGGAUGAUGUGCUACGGAACGAGUAAAGAGACUUACAGGUAACGAGAUUGAACAAGGUAUGGGUAUACCGACGAUCGAAUCUCGGGCAAGUUCUAUACCGACAGACAANNNNNNNNNNNNNNNNNNNNNNNNNNNNNNNNNNNNNNNNNNNNNNNNNNNNNNNNNNNNNNNNNNNNNNNNNNNNNNNNNNNNNNNNNNNNNNNNNNNNACGACGCUAUAUUUUCGUCGCUACUGUGAGAUCCUCAACUUUUGCUACAGUAAUGUAUGUAAUUAAGCUAAAGUGAUCCCACGCUAAUGAUGCCACAUCAUCGUAAUUUUUAUCGUUGUUCUCGUGUUAAUCGAAAUCGAGUCAAAUUCAAAUUUUAAAAAUAAAUCGAACUGGAAAAGUUUUCGAAUGUUAAAAUAAAAAUAUCGGGGGAGUUAUAAGAAUUCCCUAAUAAAUUAUAAAAGUAAAUCGGGCAUUUUUAAAAUUAGUUAAAACCCUAUAUAUUUAAAACAGAAACUAAAGAAAUAAAAUAAAAGUAAUAAUAACUAAAAGAAAGUAAUUUUAAAAAAGAAACAACAAAAAAAAAGAAACACAAAAGAGCCCCUCGCCCAACUGGGCCAAAGUGGCCAGCCAGCCAACCCCUUCCCCACCGGCCCAUCCACUCGGGGUAUUUAACCCCCAAGGCAACCCUAGCGAGCCCCUCCUCCCACUCCUCCUGCCGCCGCCAGAAGCAACGAGGGAACCGGUUCCCUCCCCGUCGCCACCUACCACCCUCGCGAGGGCUCCCACUCCUUUCGUCACUCCCCCUGGCUCCCCGAGCCCUCCCCAUCCCGCACCCCACGGCGCCCCCAGCGCCCUGGAUCCCAUCGCCCCUGCGCCACCACCCCGCGAACCCCUGCUCCCUCCUCUCCCCGCGCCUCCCCACGCCCUCGUGGCUCCCUGGGCGCGCCUCGCCUCGUCACCCCUCUCUCCUCUCAUGCGCCGGCGCCCUCGGUCGGCCCUCCUGGAGCGACCGGCCGGCCCUCCGGCAACCCUCCACCGCGACGCCCCGGCGCCGCGCACCACCACCUCGACCUCCUCCUCGCCGGAACCACGACCACCGACCUCCUCGACAUCCUACACAACCGGUUCGCCGCCUCCUCUGCCCCUUCCACAAAACUCCGGCUACACCGGGCCUACCUGUCAACGCCGGUGAGCCCUCCAUUCGGGCUCCUCCCACCACCCCUUUCUUCCUUUCCCCGCCCCAGUUCCGUUCCGGCGAAUACCGCCGCGUUCCGACGCCGUUGAGCUCCUGUAGGUGGAGGUUGCCUCCUCUCUCUCUGUUAAGAGAGAUGUCUGUGAGCAGAGAGUUAUGUUGGGGAACGUUGCAUGGUAAACUAAAAUUUUACUACGCACACGAAGACCUAUCAUGGUGAUGUCCAUCUACGAGUGGAGAUUAGAUCUACAUACCCUUGUAGAUCGCUCAGCGGGAAGCGUUAAGAAAAGUGGUUGAUGUAGUGGAACAUCUUCACGUCCCUCGAACCGUCCCACGAACCGCCCCUCGAUCCGUCUCAUGAACCGUCGAGCGAUCCUCCCACGAUCCGUUUCGAUCUAGUGACGAACGGACGACACCUCCGCGUUCAGCACACGUACAGCUCGACGAUGAUCUCCGCCUUCUUGAUGCAGCAAGCAAGACAGAGAAGUAGAUGAGUUCUCCGGCAGCGUGAUGGCGCUCCGGUGGUGGUGAUGAUCUACUCCUGCAGGGCUCCGCCCGAGCUCCGCAGAAAUCCGAUCUAGAGGUAAAACUACGUGGUAUAGGUUUGAGUUGCACGUGGCAAAGUUGUCUCAAAUCAGCCCUAAAACACCACUAUAUAUAGGAGGGAGGGGGAGGGCUAGCCUUGAGAGACAAGCCCUCAAGGUGCGCCGGCCAAGGGGAGGAGGAGGACUCCUCCUCCAAUUCGGUUUGGGAANNNNNNNNNNNNNNNNNNNNNNNNNNNNNNNNNNNNNNNNNNNNNNNNNNNNNNNNNNNNNNNNNNNNNNNNNNNNNNNNNNNNNNNNNNNNNNNNNNNNGAUCCUACUAGAUACCCAUGGUCACCACGUAAAACAUGCAACAACAAGAUUAGAGGACGUCUAACUUUUUUUGCAGGGUAUGCUUGUGAUGUGAUAUGGCCAACGAUGUGAUGUCAUAUAUUGGAUGUAUGAGAUGAUCAUGUUGUAAUAGAUAAUAUCGACUUGCACGUCGAUGGUACGGCAACCGGCAAGAGCCAUAGGGUUGUCUUUAAACUAACGUUUGUGCUUGCAGAUGCGUUUACUAUUUUGCUUGGAUGUAGCUUUAGUAGUAAUAGCAUGAGUAGCACGACAACCCCGAUGGCAACACGUUGAUGGAUGAUCAUGGUGUGGCGCCGGUGACAAGAAGAUCGUGCCGGUGCAUUGGUGAUGGAUAUCAAGAAGCACGUGAUGAUGGCCAUAUCAUGUCACUUAUGAAUUGCAUGUGAUGUUAAUCCUUUUAUGCACCUUAUUUUGCUUAGAAUGACGGUAGCAUUAUAAGGUGAUCUCUCACUAAAAUUUCAAGAUGAAAUUGUGUUCUCCCCGGUUGUGCACCGUUGCUACAAAUCAUCGUUUCGAGACACCACGUGAUGAUCGGGUGUGAUAGACUCAACGUUCACAUACAACGGGUGCAAAACAGUUGCACACGCGGAACACUCGGGUUAAGCUUGACGAGCCUAGCAUGUGCAGACAUGGCCUCGGAACACAUGAGACCGAAAGGUCGAUCAUGAAUCAUAUAGAUGAUAUGAUUAGCAUAGGGAUGCUUACCACUGAAACUAUACUCAACUCACGUGAUGAUCGGACUUGGGAUAGUGUAAGUGGAUCAUGAACCACUCAAAUGACUAGAGAGAUGUACUUUUUGAGUGGGAGUUUAGCAUAUAAUUUGAUUAAGUUAAACUCUAAUUAUCUUGAACAUAGUCUAAAUCCACUUUGAAUAUAUUUGUGUUGUAGAUCAUGGCUCACGCGACAGUCACCCUGAAUUUUAAUACGUUCCUAGAGAAAGCUAAGUUGAAAGAUGAUGGAAGCCACUUUGUAGACUGGGCUCAUAAUCUUAAGCUAAUCUUACAAGCUGGGAAGAAGGAUUAUGUCCUUAAUGGUGCGCUAGGAGAUGAACCACCCGCUACGGCUGACCAGGAUGUUAAGAACGCUUGGUUAACACGUAAGGAGGACUACUCAGUAGUUCAAUGUGCAGUCUUGUAUGGCUUAGAACCAGGACUUCAACGUCNNNNNNNNNNNNNNNNNNNNNNNNNNNNNNNNNNNNNNNNNNNNNNNNNNNNNNNNNNNNNNNNNNNNNNNNNNNNNNNNNNNNNNNNNNNNNNNNNNNNUUGCACAGAAAUGCCUCAUACACCAUCGAUGAUGCAAAGGAGCAUGGCCGGGAAUGACAAUGUCAACCGCGUUAAGUAUGCCUUGAUGGCGAUCCGAUAUGACACAUAUUUCCCUCUCAAACGGUAAUACUUUGGUUCUCAAAAUAUGCAAGAACCAUUCCCAGUUAACAUUGUUCUCUGCCUCAACCAAAGCAAAAGCCAAAGGCAUCAACCGGUUAUUGGCAUCACUUGCUAUUGCAACCAACAAAGUGCCCUUGAAUUGUCCGGUCAGAAACGUGCCAUCGAUGGAGAUGACAGGACGACAGUGCUGAAAAGCCCUCACACAUUGCUCAAAUACCCAAAAUGCACGACCAAAUACGCGGACCCUAUUUCCAUUGAGAAUCCUUGUUUUCUCCCCAUACGGCUCGACCACAUGAACCAUGCCCGGGUUAGUGGCGGCAAUAGCUCCCAACAACCUAGGUAGGCGGUUGUAUGCUUGCUCCCAAUCACCAUACGACAUCUUGAAUGCGGCUUGCUUUGCUUUCCAUGCCUUACCAUAUUUUCACCUCGUAGUGAAAGAGGGGUUUCACAAGGUCUUGUACGCUUUUUAUGCUCAUUGUAGGAAGAGAGGAGAUGGAGUUGGAAAGCCUAUAAGCGAUGAACUCGGAGGUGAGUUGUCUAUGGCUUUGCGACGAAAGGGCACCAUCAACCCUCUUGCCUCGACACAUGUGAGGCAUACAACUGACAAUGUUCCAUCCUGGCCCUCCUUUCCAUGGUCUUGCACGGACAAUCCAAGUACACCCUCUAUCCUCACAUGCAACCGUGUAACGCAGCUUCAUGUUUGAAUGAAUAACUUUGUGUGGCCUAUAAUGCGUAACAGAAUAUUCAUCCAACCACAUCUUCAGUUCAAGGAAUGCUUGGAACUUUGACCCCGACAAAAUAAUAUUCUUCCCAUGUUUGUCCCGAUGAGAAGGUGGCCUAACUCCAAACAAUACGCAUUCGCCUCCGUCAACCACGGCUUCAUCCGCAAGGCUAAGAUCCUCGAACAAUGGUGUCCGGUGAUCCCGCUUUAAUACCUUCGUGAAAGCUUCAGCCUCCUUUGCCGUGAACCCUUCCUCAUCAACUUCUUCAUCGGGACCCUCAUCGUCAGACUCAGAUGCAUAGCCACGUGAGUACGGAAUAGAAUGGUCCAUUGUCUCUUGCAAAUUAUAUUUGUCCAAAUCACCAAGAUUGUUGUCAUGAAGAACAGUACCAUCAUUCUCAUCAUCAUCGUGCUCAUCAUUAGCCUCUAGCAAUGGUUCAUGUUGGACACAAGAAAGAGGUUCAAUGUUGGCCUNNNNNNNNNNNNNNNNNNNNNNNNNNNNNNNNNNNNNNNNNNNNNNNNNNNNNNNNNNNNNNNNNNNNNNNNNNNNNNNNNNNNNNNNNNNNNNNNNNNNUGGAGGUUGGUGGUGAUCUUAUCUCAGCAGGGCUCCGCCCGAGCUCCGCAGAAACGCGAUCUAGAGGAAAAACCGUGGAGGUAUGUGGUCGGGCUGCCGUGGAAAAGUCGUCUCAAAUCAGCCCUAGAACCUCCGUAUAUAUAGGUGGGAGAGGGGGAGCCUUGCCUCGGGGCUCAAGGAGCCCCAAGGGGGUCGGCCGAGCCAAAGGGGGGAAGGACUCCCCCCCAAACCGAGUCCUACUUGGUUUGGUGGGUGGAGUCCUUCUUUCCUUUCCCACCUCCUCCUUUUUUUUAUUUUUUCUUUGAUUCUUCUUCCAAUGCGCAUAGGGCCCUUUUGGGCUGUCCCACCAGCCCACUAAGGGCUGGUGCGCCACCCUCAAGGCCUAUGCGCUUCCCCGGGGUGGGUUGCCCCCCCCCCCCCCCGGGCCACCCCGAACCCCGUGAUCUCAUCCGGGACUCCGAACAACAUUCGGUAACCAACCAUAUAACUCAAAUACGCAUAAAACAACGUCGAACCUUAAGUGUGCAGACCUUGCGGGUUCGAGAACUAUGUAGACCUGACCCGAGAGACUCCUCGGUCAAUAUCCAAUAGCGGGACCUGGAUGCCCAUACUGGAUCCUAAAUAUUCUACGAAGAUCUUAUCGUUUGAACCUCAGUGCCAAGGAUUCAUAUAAUCCCGUAUGUCAUUCCCUUUGUCCUUCGGUAUGUUACUUGCCCGAGAUUCGAUCGUCAGUAUCCGCAUACCUAUUUCAAUCUCGUUUACAGACAAGUCUCUUUACUCGNNNNNNNNNNNNNNNNNNNNNNNNNNNNNNNNNNNNNNNNNNNNNNNNNNNNNNNNNNNNNNNNNNNNNNNNNNNNNNNNNNNNNNNNNNNNNNNNNNNNACUCAAAAGUGGGAAGGGUUUAAAUAGGCAAUCGGACUGGAUCACACCAAGAUGGCGUAGAUCCUUCUCGUGUCGGGUAAAAGAUAUACCGGCACGGCCGACAACUGGGUAGGGUCACGUCUAAUCUAGAGUGGCUGGGGGGGGGGGNNNNNNNNNNNNNNNNNNNNNNNNNNNNNGGGGGUGAGGUAGUAAAAUGAACUGAUUUAUCAAAUGCUCAAAGUUAUCCACGAAAACACUUAGUCAUUUUCCCCACAUAUCCACUCUAUCAAGUUCCACAUUCACAAAUUUGGUGUCACCAACAUUCCCACAUCAGACCCACCAAGUUUGAACCUCAAACAAAACCAUAUCCAUGUGGCACCCCGAUAGAGGGCCGACACACGUCCGUCCCCAGGAUAAGACCGGACGCACGUCAUGAGCAUGAUACAGAAAUUCCAAGCAAAUAUGGCUUUAUUAAUAUGAUGGAGUGCUACAAUACUGUUGCAUACAACAAUAUUACAUGACUCCAAGGCUAGCUAAAUGGUAGCGGAGGUCUAGAUACGACGGCUUCCACGAUCCUGGCUGGGCUCCAUAACUCGCAGGCCUGGCUUGGUUACGAUCUAGCACCAUGAGUCUUCUCCUGCAACUGGCCACGUGCAAGGCCAGGUGAGUACUUUGAAUGUACUCGCAAGACAGCCAAAUACAUAGCAUCCAAACAGCGGAUAAGAGAGCAAACACUGUGAUUAUAAGAUAACUACUCUAUGGCAUGGAAUCAACAGGAAGAAUAUCAAUCAAGCAUAUCAGGUUAUGAACUCAAUAUGUAAUCCACCUCACUAGCAUGACAAAGAUCACCACACGUGUUUAACUAGUUUACCAUUACCGAAUAUCAACUUACUCUCUUCGGGGUUGUCCCACAACCCUAGUUUACCGUUACCGAAUAUCAACUUACUCUCUUCGGGGUUUUCCCACAACCCUCGACAUACUCACGAUCCAAACGAAUCUCAUUCUCAUCACAUAGUCACGAGACCAUUCAUCGUAUAACAUUCCUUUGGCGAGCGUCCUAAUCUUGUGUGCGAGCGAAGGAACAGUCUUCGCAGCACACCUACGCGCAGCAUCACCUGGCUUUGUUCACUGACGAAGCCACACUUGGUCUUACUCCUACUGCGGAUCUCCUGGGUCCAUUACCGUGGACACGGCUAUUCGAAUAGAUUUGACCCACUCUGCAGAGGUUGCACACUGAACCCACACUCUGGAGUACUGACCUCGUGAUCCCAUUCGGGUGGAUUAGCAUUACUCCACUAGACUUUCCUGAACUGCGAUCCUCUCAUCGUACUUCCGGCAACCACUCCCUCUAUGGAGUCCUGCCCUGGGUGGCCCUGUGUCCUCAUGACACCUGGCACCGUCAUGACAACAUAUCAAAAUACCGAACGAAUACCAAAGCGAAGGUGGUACUGAGCCUGGCAAUAGGGACCGGGUUGACUGGGGCUCUACUGGACGGGCCGCACGGUAUGCUUCUGUAACAACCCGCGUGGCGUUCUGAUCCACGCUCUUGAGCUCCUUAAGGAUACCGAAGAGCAAUAGUCCCUGGGCAGCAGCAAACUGGGUCAGCCAAGCUAUUGCUGGAUUCGCAUCUUUGGCUUUGCCGGAGGAACUACAACCCGUGUCCGAUGCAGGNNNNNNNNNNNNNNNNNNNNNNNNNNNNNNNNNNNNNNNNNNNNNNNNNNNNNNNNNNNNNNNNNNNNNNNNNNCUGCAUCUCCGCCACUUGCGGAAACUGAAGCCGAAGACGGGUGAUAGCUUCCGCCGCGGCUAUCUGGACUGCCAACUCAAGAGUGGGCAUAGGAUGGCCACGAAUAUUCGUGGGUUUCCUAUCUGCCGCUGGCCCUGGGUUGAUAUGCACCUUUUCAUAAAACCGGCAAAGAUGGGGGAUGGGUUCCGACUGGAACACCAAAUACACUCGGGGCUUACCAAGGCCAAAGGCUUGGGAGAGCAUCCUAGAAAGNNNNNNNNNNNNNNNNNNNNNNNNNNNNNNNNNNNNNNNNNNNNNNNNNNNNNNNNNNNNNNNNNNNNNNNNNNNNNNNNNNNNNNNNNNNNNNNNNNNNAUGAUAUGGCCAUCAUCAUGCGCUUCUUGAUCUCCAUCACCAAAGCACCGGCACGAUCUUCUUGUCACCGGCAUCACACCAUGAUCUCCAUCAUCAUGAUCUCCAUCAACGUUUCGCCAUCGGGGUUGUCGUGCUACUCAUACUAUUACUACUAAAGCUACGUCCUAGCAAUAUAGUAAACGCAUCUGCAAGCACAAACGUUAGUUUAAAGACAACCCUAUGGCUCCUGCCGGUUGCCGUACCAUCGACGUGCAAGUCGAUAUUAACUAUUACAACAUGAUCAUCUCAUACAUCCAAUAUAUCACAUCACAUCGUUGGCCAUAUAACAUCACAAGCAUACCCUGCAAAAACAAGUUAGACGUCCUCUAAUUUUGUUGUUGCAUGUUUUACGUAGUGACCAUGGGUAUCUAGUAGGAUCGCAUCUUACUUAUGUAAACGUCACAACGGAGAUAUAUGAAUUUCUAUUUAACCUCAUCCAAGGACCUCCUCGGUCAAUUCCGAUUCAACUAAAGUUGGAGAAACUGACACCCGCCAGUCAUCUUUGAGCAACGGAGUUACUCGUAGCGAUGAAACCAGUCUCUCGUAAGCGUACGAGUAAUGUCGGUCCGAGCCGCUUCGAUCCAACAAUACCGCAGAAUCAAGAAAAGACUAAGGAGGGCAGCAAAACGCACAUCACCGCCCACAAAAACUUUUGUGUUCUACUCGAGAAAACAUCUACGCAUGAACCUAUCUCAUGAUGCCACUGUUGGGGAACGUCGCAUGGGAAACAAAAAUUUUCCUACGCGCAUGAAGACCUAUCAUGGUGAUGUCCAUCUACGAGAGGGGAUGUUCGCUCUACGUACCCUUGUAGACCGCACAGCAGAAGCGUUAGUGAACGCGGUUGAUGUAGUGGAACUUCCUCACGUCCCUCGAUCCGCCCCAGGAACCGUCCCGCGAUCAGUCCCACGAUCUAGUGCCGAACGGACAGCACCUCCGCGUUCAGCACACGUACAGCUUGACGAUGAUCUUGGCCUUCUUGAUCCAGCAAGAGAGACGGAGAGGUAGAUGAGUUCUCCGGCAGCGGACGGCCCUCCGGAGGUUGGUGGUUCUCUUAUCUCAGCAGGGCUCUGCCCGAGCUCCGCAGAAACGCGAUCUAGAGGAAAAACCGUGGAGGUAUGUGGUCGGGCUGCCGUGGAAAAGUCAUCUCAAAUCAGCCAUAAACCUCUGUAUAUAUAGGUGGGAGAGGGGUAGCCUUGCCUUGGGGCUCAAGGAGCCCCAAGGGGGUCGGCCAAGCCAAAGGGGGGAAGGACUCCCCCCCCAAACCGAGUCCUACUUGGUUUGGUGGGUGGAGUCCUUCUUUCCUUUCCCACCUUCUCCUUUUUUUCUCUUUGAUUUUUCUUCCAAUGCGCAUAGGGCCCUUUUGGGCUGUCCCACCAGCCCACCAAGGGCUGGUGCGCCACCCUCAAGGCCUAUGGGCUUCCCCGGGGUGGGUUCCCCCCCCCCCCGGUGAACUCCCAGAACCCAUUCGUCAUUCCCGGUACAUUCCCGGUAACUCCGAAAACCUUCCGGUAAUUAAAUGAGGUCAUCCUAUAUAUCAAUCUUCAUUUUCGGACCAUUCCAGAAACCCUCGUGACGUCCGUGAUCUCAUCCGGGACUCCAAACAACAUUCGGUAACCAACCAUAUAACUCAAAUACGCAUAAAACAACGUCGAACCUUAAGUGUGCAGACCUUGCGGGUUCGAGAACUAUGUAGACCUGACCCGAGAGACUCCUCGGUCAAUAUCCAAUAGCAGGACCUGGAUGCCCAUAUUGGAUCCUACAUAUUCUACGAAGAUCUUANNNNNNNNNNNNNNNNNNNNNNNNNNNNNNNNNNNNNNNNNNNNNNNNNNNNNNNNNNNNNNNNNNNNNNNNNNNNNNNNNNNNNNNNNNNNNNNNNNNNCAGAUCCACUCGGGGACUCAGCAGACUCUCAUUGAGUCUCAUGUGGAUGUCAAGACCACUGACAAUUACAUGAGUAGCAGACCCUCAUUGAGGCUCAUGUGGAUGUCAAGACAACAGACAAUUACAUGAGUAACGACUCGCUCCGAGUGCAGCAUGUCCGUCGCACUCGAAGACUUAGCCGCGAUCAUGAAUCGCCUAAGUACUCUAUUACCUUCGAGUGUAUCCUACAGAUCCACUCGGGGACUCAGCAGACCCUCAUUGAGGCUCAUGUGGAUGUCAAGACCACUGAAAAUUACAUGAGUAACAACUCGCUCUGAGUGCGGCAUAUCCGUCGCACUCGAAGACUUAGCCGCGAUCAUGAACCGCCUAAGUACUCUAUUACCCUCGAGUGUAUCCUACAGAUCCACUCGGCGACUUGGCAGACCCUCAGAGAGGCUCACACAGAUGUCAAGGAAAUUGACAAUUACAUGCUCCGCAUGUUUGCCAUUGGCUUCAACAAGAAAAGCCAAACAAAAACUCGAGCCAAAAUGGUGUCAACAACUCAUUGGCCACAGAAGAGCAAAAGAUUUGAUUUAAAUUCGAAGUUCACCUAAGGAUAGUUGACUCGGUGCGGAUCAAGCUUAACCGCACCGAACCAAGAAUGUGACGGCCAACAGAAGUGGCCAAGGUUUCUUACAACCAACACUCGGCAUACCGAGGUAAAAGUUUUCUUAAGCGUCGUCCGGAUUGGCGCCAGGACUGGAGGGUUCCACGAAUGUGUCCAGGUCGAUCCCGUCGGCGAUGCGGGGGGCACUCUCAAGGAAGGUUUCCAAGAAGUCUUCGAAUCGAAGUUUCUUCGUGUUGGCGACCUUCAACGCUUUCAGCUUCUCUUCGCGCACCUCCUUGCAAUGCACUCGGACCAGGGACAGCGCAACGUCUGCACCACAGCGAGCCGCAGAUUUCUUCCAUGACUGCACUCGGUUUGGGACCUCCUCNNNNNNNNNNNNNNNNNNNNNCAUGACUGCCCUCGGUUUGGGACCUCCUCCAGCCGAGCCAUCAAGCCUUCCAUCUCAUACCGAGACUUGUCUUCAGGCCAAAGCUCCUUGUCGAUCCGGCCGACGACUUCUCUCAGUCGACCGAUGAAAGGCCCAACUUUUCCCAGGCGAAUGUGCGCUCAGAGCAGAUCUCGAUUGGCGUCCUCCCCGAGUGGAAUGUUCUCGCGAAUCGACCGCUCCACGUCAGCUGCUUCAGCCUCCGCAUCCAUGCAAAAAUCUGCAAACACAGGACAAGCAAACAAUAAGCGCCGAGUGUAACGCACAUACCACAAGCACUCGGAAAAACAGGACUUACCACCCAGACGCGUUAUCAUCUGCCGGCCCAAGUCACUGACGUAUUUUUCCUGCGCUAUACACCGCUUGUACAGCACAUUCAUUUGCCCCAUCAGAUCAGACCUUUGCGCCUUCAUCUUCUCAACUUCAGCAGUCAGUGCCUUGUUUGCUUCACGGGCCUGCUCCAACGACUUCUCUCGUUCCACCAGAACAUCCUUCAUGCCAGCCAUUGCAACCAGUGCCGCAUCCAGCUCACCAGCAAACUGAACCUUUUCAACCCUAAGAGUCUCGUACGCUGCCCCCAUCUUGCAAGUUUUCUGCUAGCCAGCGCCAAGAGACGAUCAGACAAAUCCAACAAUAAAAAGUCUAAGUUCUUCAGACCCCUGCCGACGCAAGCAGUCGACAGCGGUCUCGGGGACUACACCCAGUGNNNNNNNNNNNNNNNNNNNNNNNNNNNNNNNNNNNNNNNNNNNNNNNNNNNNNNNNNNNNNNNNNNNNNNNNNNNNNNNNNNNNNNNNNNNNNNNNNNNNUGAUAUGAAUACAUUUUUCUCUCUUACAUUUUGUUGUCGGUGGACUUGAGUCGUAGGAAAAGUCAUACUAUUAAGAGGUGAUCCGCUUCGGAAAAGUCUGGGUGGAAUCAUCACGUACACUUUCCUCUCACCCUCUUUUCCUCUUCAAUGGAGCUUUCUUCUUUUCCAAAAUCUCUGCCCAUAAAGUACCAUGUGGUAGUACCGCUCCUUGGAGCGGGGAGCGAUACUACCUCUUAUCAUUGGUAGUACCACCCCGGCCGACAGUAGUACUGCUCUAGGGCGGUAGUGGUCCUGCUGGUACCUCUGGCUAGUACCGCUGCCCUUAAGUCUGACAUUUCUUGGUCGGACUUUGCGGUAGUGCUGGGCGGUAGUACUGCCCAUAUGGCGGUACUACCGCUUGUUACUACCGCUUCUGGCGGUACUAUCGGCCCUGCCCCCUCUCUGUUCGGCCUCUCUCUGCUUGAGCAUGUUGGGGAACGUUGCAUGGGAAACAAAAAAAUUCCUACGCAUACGAAGACCUAUCAUGGUGAUGUCCAUCUAUGAGAGGAGAUUUGGAUCUACGUACCCUUGUAGAUCGCACAACAAGAAGCGUUAAGAAAUGCGGUUGAUGUAGUGGAACAUCCUCACGUCCCUCGAUCCGCCCCAUGAACCGUCCCAUGAACCGUCCCGCGAUCCGUCCCACGAUCCGUUCCGAUCUAGUAUCGAACGGACGACACCUCCGCGUUCAGCACACGUAUAGCUCGACGAUGAUCUCGGCCUUCUUGAUCCAGCAAGCAAGACGGAGAAGUAGACGAGUUCUACGGCAGCGUGACGAUGCUCCGGUGGUGGUGAUGAUCUACUCCUGCAGGGCUCCGCCCGAGCUCCGCAGAAAUCCAAUCUAGAGGUAAAACUAUGUGGUAUAGGUUUGACUUGCACGUGGCAAAAUUGUCUCAAAUCAGCCCCAAAACACCACUAUAUAUAGGAGGGAGGGGGAGGGCUAGACUUGAGGGACAAGCCCUCAAGGUGCACCGGCCAGGGGAGGAGGCUUGCCUUGAGGGCCAAGCCCUCAAGGGGUGCGCCGGCCAAGGGGGAGGUGGACUCCCACCCCAAUUCGGUUUGGGGGAAGGAGUCCACUCCUUCCUUCUCACCUCCCCUUUUCCUUUACCCUUUUUCUUUUCUUUGGUAUUUUCUUAUGUAGAGCCAUGGGCCCCUUGGGCUGACUCCACCAGCCUACUAGGGAGUUGUGGCGCCACCCUAUGGCCUUGGGCUCACUCCCGGGUGGGUGGGCCCCUCCCNNNNNNNNNNNNNNNNNNNNNNNNNNNNNNNNNNNNNNNNNNNNNNNNNNNNNNNNNNNNNNNNNNNNNNNNNNNNNNNNNNNNNNNNNNNNNNNNNNNNGCACGUAUGGUGAACCGCUAUGUUAGGAAGUCGGAGCAUAAUUGAUUAAUUGAUUGUCAACCUUUGUGUUGCGGUCGGGAUCGCGCGAUGGUUAACACCUACCAACCCUUCCCCUAGGAGUAUGCGUUUAGCACUUUGUUUCGAUUGCUAAUAAAAACUUUCGCAUUAAGUAUGUGAGUUCUUCAUGACUAAUGUGAGUCCAUGGUAUAGAUGCACUUUCACCUUCCACCGUUGCUAGCCUCUCUAGUGCCGCGCAACUUUUGCCGGUACACAAAACCACCAUAGACCUUCCUCAAAACAGCCAACAUACCUACCUAUCAUGGCCUUUUCAUAACCAUUCUGAGAUAUAUUGCCAUGCAACUCCCACCAUUCCGUCUCAUGACUUGUGUCGUCACUUACAUAUUGCCAUUGCAUGACGUAAGAUAGCUAGCCAGUCAUACGCUAAGCUAGAUCGUUGCACAUCCCGAUACACUGCCGGAGGCAUUUCCUAUAAGAGUCAUCAUUGUUUUAAGCUUUGAGCUAUGAGUAAAUAAAAGUGUGAUGAUCAUCAUUAUUAGAGCAUUGUACCAUGUGAGGAAUAGAAAAAAGAGGCCAAAGAUGCCCACCAAAAAAACAUGCCAAAGAGCCCAAAAAAAUGAGAGAAAAACAGAGAAGGGACAAUGCUACUAUCCCUUUCCACACUUGUGCUUCAAAAUAACACCAUGUUCUUCAUGAUAGAGAGUCUCUUGUUUUGACACUUCCUUAUACUAGUGGGAAUUUUCAUUAUAUAACUUCGCUUGUAUAUUCCAGUGAUGGGCUUCCUCAAAAUUGCCCUAGGUCUUCAUGAGCAAGCAAGUUGGGUGCACACCCACUAGUUUUCUUUUUGAGCUUUCACAUGAGCAAGCAAGUUGGAUGCACACCCACUAGUUCUCCUUUUGAGCUUUCACAUACUUAUAGCUCUAGUGCAUCCUUUGUAUGGCAAUCCUACUCAUUCACAUUGAUAUCUAUUAAUGGGCAUCUCCAUAACCCUUUNNNNNNNNNNNNNNNNNNNNNNNNNNNNNNNNNNNNNNNNNNNNNNNNNNNNNNNNNNNNNNNNNNNNNNNNNNNNNNNNNNNNNNNNNNNNNNNNNNNNUAAGUGCUCUGGAAGUCCACCACUUCGAACGUCAGUUUGUCCUUGCGGAAGUUCUUGUCGGAGCCGAAAAGGAAGUCCAACGCGAUCUGGCCGAGUGACUUGGCCUUCUGUCCAGGGACGACUCCAUGGAACUGCAUGCUGCUCUCGCUGAGUUUGGACAUCGGAAUGCCCAUCCCCUUGAGAGUGUCAGCGUACAUGAUGUUCAAGCCACUGCCACCGUCCAUGAGGACUUUGCGCAGUCGGACUCCCUCCACCACCGGGUGAACGACCAGAGCUUGUCUCCCUGGGGUGGGUACGUGUGCUGGAUGAUCCGACUGGUCAAAGGUGAUCGCAGUCUGAGACCAUUUGAGGAACUUGGGGUUGGUAGGGGUGGCCAUGUUCACCUCCCUGUUCACCAGCUUCAGUCGACUCUUGCUCUCAACGUUAGCAAAAAUCAUCAGUGUUGCAUGGACUUGGGGGAACGGAUCCUCCUUCUCCUCCUCAUCCUGUUCAUUGUCCUUUUCACUCGGUUGCCCUUCGCUGAACCCCUGGAUUAGGAGGCGACACUGUCGAGUGGUAUGCUUCGCAUAUAUGGGGUUGCCCUCUUCAUCCAUCUUCGUAUGAACCGGACACGGCUGGUCCAGGAUGGGGUUAUUGAACUGCUUCUUCUUGGGGGUGAAAUGAGCUUUCCCUUUGCCCUUGAACUUGGCAUUGGUUACGGCUGCAGCUUCUGCCUGCGGAGUGCACGGAGCUUUCUGCUUCUGCUUCCGAGUGUUACUCCCAUCUCCAUCGGCGACUGUUUUCUGCUUGCCACUUCGGAAGCGGUCCUCUUCUUCGCCAUUUGCAUAGCGUGCUGCUAUUUCCAUCAUAUUGCUCAUGGAGAUGUCACCUGUUCGGCCGAACUUGAGGUACAGAUCCCUGUACCGCACGCCUGCCUUGAAGGCGCAGACUGCUUGAUGCUCUGUGACAUUCUACACCGUGUGGUAGAGAGUUGUCCAACGCUGAAUGAAAUCACGCAGGGGCUCAUUCUGCUUCUGGACGCAGUGCUGGAGCUCCAUGAGGCCAGCAGGGCGCUUGCACGUCCCUUCGUAGGUCUUGAUGAACACUCGGGCCAGAUCUGCCCAGCUGUAGAUGCUUGAGGGGGCCAACUGGUUCAGCCACGCUCGCGCCGAGCCGUCGAGCAUCAGAGGGAGGUGCUUCAUGGCGACAUGGUCGUCUCCUCCUCNNNNNNNNNNNNNNNNNNNNNNNNNNNNNNNNNNNNNNNNNNNNNNNNNNNNNNNNNNNNNNNNNNNNNNNNNNNNNNNNNNNNNNNNNNNNNNNNNNNNCCUUAGUCACAUUGAGCUCAUGAUGAUGUUCUACCGAGUGGUCCCAGAGAUACCUCUCCGUCACACGGAGUGACAAAUCCCGAUCUCGAUUCGUGCCAACCCAACAAAUACUUUCGGAGGUACCCGUAGUGCACCUUUAUAGUCACCGAGUUACGUUGUGACAUUUGAUACACCCAAAGCACUCGUACGGUAUCCGGGAGUUGCACAAUCUCACGGUCGAAGGAAAAGACACUUGACAUUAGAAAAGCUUUAGCAUACGAAAAAUACGAUCUAGUGCUACGCUUACGAUUGGGUCUUGUCCAUCACAUCAUUCCCCCAAUGAUGUGAUCCCGUUAUCAAUGACAUCUAAUGCCCGUGACCAGGAAACCAUGAUCAUCUAUUGACUAACGAGCUAGCCAACUAGAGGCUUGCUAGGGACACAUUGUGAUCUAUUUAUUCACACAUGUAUUACUGUUUCCUGUUAAUACAAUUAUAGAAUGAACAAUAGACGUUUAUCAUGAACAAGGAANNNNNNNNNNNNNNNNNNNNNNNNNNNNNNNNNNNNNNNNNNNNNNNNNNNNNNNNNNNNNNNNNNNNNNNNNNNNNNNNNNNNNNNNNNNNNNNNNNNNGCCGUCACGCUGCCAGAGAACUCUUCUACCUCUCCGUCUCUCUUGCUGGAUCAAGAAGGCCGAGAUCAUCGUCGAGCUGUACGUGUGCUGAACGCGGAGGUGCCGUCCGUUCGGUACUAGAUCAUGGGACUGAUCGCGGGAUUGUUCGCGGGGCGGAUCGAGGGACGUGAGGACAUUCCACUACAUCAACCGCGUUCACUAACACUUCUUCUGUACGGUCUACAAGGGUACGUAGAUCACUCAUCCCCUCUCGUAGAUGGACAUCACCAUGAUAGGUCUUCGUGCGCGUAGGAAAAUUUUUGUUUCCCAUGCGACGUUCCCCAACAGUGGCAUCAUGAGCUAGGUUCAUGCGUAGAUGUCUUCUCGAGUAGAACACAAAAGUUUUUGUGGGCGGUGAUGUGCGUUUUGAUGCCCUCCUUAGUCUUUUCUUGAUUCCGCGGUAUUGUUGGAUUGAAGCGGCUUGGACCGACAUUACUCGUACGCUUACGAGAGACUAGUUUCAUCGUUACGAGUAACCCCCUUUGCUCAAAGAUGAAUGGCAAGUGUCGGUUUCUCCAACUUUAGUUGAAUCGGAUUUGACCGAGGAGGUCCUUGUAUGAGGUUAAAUAGCAACUCAUAUAUCUCCGUUGUGGUGUUUGCGUAAGUAAGAUGCGAUCCUACUAGAUACCCAUGGUCACCACGUAAAACAUGCAACAACAAAAUUAGAGGACGUCUAACUUGUUUUUGCAGGGUAUGAUUGUGAUGUGAUAUGGCCAACGAUGUGAUGUGAUAUAUUGGAUGUAUGAGAUGAUCAUGUUGUAAUAGAAAUAUCGACUUGCACGUCGAUGGUACGGCAACCGGCAGGAGCCAUAGGGUUGUCUUUAUACUAACGUUUGUGCUUGCAGAUGCGUUUACUAUUUUGCUAGGAUGUAGCUUUAGUAGUAAUAGCAUGAGUAGCACGACAACCCCGAUGGCAACACGUUGAUGGAUGAUCAUGGUGUGGCGCCGGUGACAAGAAGAUCGUGCCGGUGCAUUGGUGAUGGAUAUCAAGAAGCACGUGAUGAUGGCCAUAUCAUGUCACUUAUGAAUUGCAUGUGAUGUUAUUACUUUUAUGCACCUUAUUUUGCUUAGAACGACGGUAGCAUUAUGAGGUGAUCUCUCACUAAAAUUUCAAGACGAAAUUGUGUUCUCCCCGACUGUGCACCGUUGCUACAGUUCGUCGUUUCGAGACACCACGUGAUGAUCGGGUGUGAUAGACUCAACGUUCACAUACAACGGGUGACAAAACAGUUGCACACGCGGAACACUCGGGUUAAGCUUGACGAUCCUAGCAUGUGCAGACAUGGCCUCGGAACACAUGAGACCGAAAGGUCGAGCAUGAAUCGUAUAGUUGAUAUGAUUAGCAUAGAGAUGCUUACCACUGAAACUAUUCUCGCCUCACGUGAUGAUCGGACUUGAGAUAGUGGAUUUGGAUCAUGUACCACGCAAAUGACUAGAGAGAUGUACUUUUUGAGUGGGAGUUCUUAAGUAAUAUGAUUAAUUGAACUAAUUGUCAUGAACAUAGUCUAAUGGUCUUUGCGAAUUACGAUGUAGCUUGCGCUAUAGCUCUACUGUUUUUAUAUGUUCCUAGAGAAAAUUUAGUUGAAAGUUGAUAGUAGCAAACUUUGAAGAGGAUUGUCCUCGUUGCUGUGUAGAAGGCUUAUGUCCUUAAUGCACCACUCGGUGUGCUGCACCUCGAGCGUCGUCUGUGGAUGCUGUGAACAUCCGACAUACACGUUUCUGAUGACUACACGAUAGUUCAGUGCUAAAUACUUAAUGGCUUAAAAGCAAGGCACCGAAGACGUUUUUAAACGUCACGGAACAUAAGUGAUGUUCUAAAGAGAUGAAAUUGUGAUUUCGUGCUCGUGCCCUUGUUGAGAGGUACGAGACCUCCGACAAGAUUCUUUGUCCACAAAGUAAAGGAGAAAAGCUCAAUCGUUGAGCGUGUGCUCAGAUUGUCUGAGUACGACAAUCACUUGAAUCAAGUGGGAGUUAAUCUUCUAGAUGAGAUAGUGAUGGUUCUCCAAUGUCACUGCCAGCAAGCUGUGAGAGCUUCGUGAUGAACUAUAACAUAUCAAGGAUAGAUACAAUGAUCCUUGAGCGAUUCACGAUGUUUGACACUGCGAAAGUAGAAAUCAAGAAGUAGCAUCAAUAGUUGAUGGUUUGUAAAACCACUAAGUUUCAAGAAAGGCAAGGGCUAGAAGGGAUACUUUAUGAAACGGCAAAACAGUUGCUGCACUAAUGAAGAGACCCAAGAUUAAACCCAAACCCGAGACUAAGUGCUUCUGUAAUGAGGGGAACAGUCACUAAGGUGGAGCAACUCUAGAUACUUGGUAGAUAAGAAGGCUGGCAAAAGUCGAAAGAAGUAUAUUUGAUAUACAUGAUGUUGAUGUGUACUUUACUAGUACUCCUAGUAGCAUGAGGGUAUUGGAUACAGGUUCGGUUGCUAACUGAUUAGUAACACGAAAUGAAAGCUACAGCAUAAACGGAGACUAGCUAAAGGCGAGGUGACGAUACGUGUUGGAAGUGUUUCCAAGGUUGAUAUGAUCAAACGUCGCACGCUCCCUCUACCAUCGGGAUUGGUGUUAAACCUAAAUAAUUGUUGUUUGGUGCUUGCGUUAAGCAUGAACAUGAUUGGAUCGUGUUUAUUGAAAUACGAUUAUUCAUUUAAAGAGAAUAAUGGUUACUCUAUUUUCUUGAAUAAUCACCUUCAAUGGUUUAUUGAAUCUCGAUCGUAGUGUUACACAUGUUCAUGAUAUUGGUGCCAAAAGAUACGAGGUAAUGAUGAUAGUACCACUUACUUGUGGCACUGCCGCUUGAGUCGUGUUGGUAUAAAUUGCAUGAAGAGGCUCCAUGCUGAUGGAUCUUUAUACUCACUUGAUUUUGAAUCACUAGCGACAUGCAAAUCAUACCACAUGAGCAAGGCCUUGUUUUCAUUGAGAUGAAAUAAGAUAGUAACUUGUUGGAAGUGAUACAUUUUGAUGUAUGCAGUCCAAUGGAUGCUGAGGCACGCAGUGGAUAUCAUUAUGUUCUUACUUCAAUGACGAUUUGAGUAGAUACUAGAGUAUUUGCUUAAUGAGUCACAAGUCUGAAAUAUUGAAAAGUUCAAUUCUGUUUCAGAGUGAAGUUCAUCGUACAAGAGGAUAAACUGUCUACGAUAUGAUCAUAGAAAUGAAUAUCUGAGUUACGAGUUUUGGUACGCAGUUAAGACAAUGUGGAAAUUGUUUCGCGGUUCAUGCCACCUAGAACAUCAUAGUGUGAUGAUGUGUCUAAACGUUAUAGCCACGCACUAUUUGGUAUGGUACAUGCUAUGAUGUCUCUUAUCGAAUUACCACUAUCGUUUAUGGGUUAUGCAUUAGAGACAACCGCAUUCACUUUAAAUAGGGCACCACGUAUUUCCGUUGAGAUGACACAGUAUAGACUGAGGUCUAGAGAAAUCUAAACUGUCGUUUCUUGAAAGUUUGGGGUUUCGACACUUAUGUGAAAAAGUUUCAGUCUGAUAAGCUCGAACCCAAAGCGGAUAAAUGCAUCUUCAUAGGAUAUCCAAAACAGUUGGGUACAUCUCCUAUCUCAGAUCCGAAAGCAAAGUGUUUGUUUCUAGAAACGGAUCCUUUCUCGAGGAAAGGUUUCUCUCGAAAGAAUUGAGUGGGAGGGUGGUAGAACUUGAUGAGGUUAUUGAACCAUCACUUCGACUAGUGUGUAGCAGGGCGCAGGAAGUUGUUCCUGUGGCGCCUACACCAAUUGAAGUGAAAGCUGAUGAUGGUGAUCAUCGAGCAUCGGAUCAAGUUACUACAAGACUCGUAGGUUGACAAGGUCGCGUACUACUACAGAGUGGUAUGGUAACCCUGUCUUGGAGGUCAUGUUGUUGAGCAACAGUGAACCUACGAGUUAUGGAGAAAGCAAUGGUGGGCCCAGAUUCCGACAAAUGGCCAGAAGCCAUGAAAUCCGAGAGAGGAUCGAUGUAUGAAAACAAAGUGUAGACUUUGGAAGAACUACUUGAUGGUCAUAGGACUAUUGAGUAAAGAUGGAUCUUUAAAAGGAAGACAGACGAUGAUAGUGAUAAGUCACUAUUAAGAAAAGCUCGACUUGUCGCAAAGAUGUUUCCGACAAGAUCAAACCGUUGACUAUGAUGAGACUUUCUCACUCGUAGCGAUGCUAAAAGUCUGUUAGAAUUAUGUUAGUAGUUGAUGCAUUAUUUAUGAAAUAUUGCAUGUAGGAUGUCAAAACAUUGUUUCCUCGACAGUUUCCUUGAGAAAACAUUGUAUGAGAUACAACCAUGAGGUUUUGUCGAUCCUAAAGAUACUAGCAAGUAUGCAAGCUACAGCGAUCCUUAAAUGGACUGGUGCAAGCAUCUCGGAGUUGGAAUAUACACUUUGAUGAGAUGAUCAAGGAUUUUGGGUUUGUACAAGGUUUAUGAGAAACUUGUAUUUCCAAAGAAGUGAGUGGGAGCACUAUAGAAUUUCUGAUAAGUAUAUGUGGUUGACAUAUUGUGGAUCAGAAGUAAUGUAGAAUUUCUGUAAAGCAUACAAGGUUGUUUGAAAGGAGUUUUCAAAGGAAUACCUGGAUUAAGCUACUUGAACGUUGAGCAUCAAAGAUCUAUGGAGAUAGAUCAAAAGCGCUUAAUGGAAGUUUCAAGAAGAUGCAUGCCUUGACAAAUUUUUGAAAGAGUUCAAAAUAGAUCAGCAAAGAAGGAGUUCUUGGUUGCGUUGUAAGGUGUGAAUUUGAGUAAGACUCAAAACCCGACCACGGCAGAAUAAAGAGAAUAGACGAAGGUCGUCUUCUAUGCCUUAGCCGUAGAAUCUAAAGUAUGCCAUGCUGUGUACCGCACCUGAUGUGUGCCUUGACUCAAAGUCUGUUGAGAGGUACAGAGAGUGAUCCAUGAUUGAAUCACUAGCAGCGGUCGAAAUUUAUCCUUAGUAACUAAUGGACUAAGGAAUUUUUCUCGAUUAUGGAGGUGGUUAAAGAGUUCGUCGUAAAGGGUUACGUCGAUGCAAGCUUUGACACUAAUCCGAAUAACUAUGAGUAGUGAAAAGGAUUCGUAUAGUAGAGUAGAUAUUUGGAGCAUUUCUGAAUAGCACGUAGUAGCAUCAUCUAUAAGAUGACAUAAAGAUUUGUAAAGAACACACGGAUCUGAAAGUUUCAGAACCGUUGACUAAAACCUCUCUCACGAGCAAGACGUGAUCAGACCCCAUAACUAUAUGGGUGUUGGAUUCGUUGGAAUCACAUGGUGAUGUGAACUAGAUUAUUGACUCUAGUGCAAGUGGGAGACUGUUGGAAAUAUGCCCUAGAGGCAAUAAUAAAUUAGUUAUUAUUAUAUUUCUUAGUUCAUGAUAAUCGUUUAUUAUCCAUGCUAUAAUUGUAUUGAUUGGAAACACAAUACUUGUGUGGAUACAUAGACAAAACACUGUCCCUAGUAAGCCUCUAGUUGACUAGCUCCUUGAUCAAAGAUGGUCAAGGUUUCCUGGCCAUGGGCAAGUGUUGUCACUUGAUAACGGGAUCACAUCAUUAGGAGAAUCAUGUGAUGGACUAGACCCAAACUAAUAGACGUAGCAUGUUGAUCGUGUCAUUUUGUUGCUACUGUUUUCUGCGUGUCAAGUAUUUAUUCCUGUGACCAUGAGAUCAUAUAACUCACAGACACCGGAGGAAUGCUUUAUGUGUAUCAAACGUCGCAACGUAACUAGGUGACUAUAAAGAUGCUCCACAGGUAUCUCCGAAGGUGUUAGUUGAGUUAGUAUGGAUCAAGACUGGGAUUUGUCACUCCGUGUGACGGAGAGGUAUCUCGGCGCCCACUCGGUAAUACAACAUCACGCACAAGCCUUGCAAGCAAUGUAACUUAGUGUAAGUUGCGGGAUCUUGUAUUACGGAACGAGUAAAGAGACUUGCCGGUAAACGAGAUUGAAAUAGGUAUACUGAUUCUGACGAUCGAAUCUCGGGCAAGUAACAUACCGAAGGACAAAGGGAAUGACAUACGGGAUUAUAUGAAUCCUUGGCACUGAGGUUCAAACGAUAAGAUCUUCGUAGAAUAUGUAGGAUCCAAUAUGGGCAUCCAGGUCCCGCUAUUGGAUAUUGACCGAGGAGUCUCUCGGGUCAUGUCUACAUAGUUCUCGAACCCGCAGGGUCUGCACACUUAAGGUUCGACGUUGUUUUAUGCGUAUUUGAGUUAUAUGGUUGGUUACCGAAUGUUGUUCGGAGUCCCGGAUGAGAUCACGGACGUCACGAGGGUUUCCAGAAUGGUCCGGAAACAAAGAUUGAUAUAUAGGAUGACCACAUUUGAUUACCGGAAGGUUUUCGGAGUUACCGGGAAUGUACCGGGAAUGACGAAUGGGUUCCGGGAGUUCACGGGGGGUGGGGGGGGGCAACCCACCCCGGGGAAGCCCAUAGGCCUUGAGGGUGGCACACCAGCCCUUAGUGGGCUGGUGGGACAGCCCAAAAGGCUCUAUGCGCCAAGGAGAAGAAAAUCAAGAGAGAAAAAAAGGGAGGAGGUGGGAAGGAAGGGGGACUCCCUCCCACCAAACCUAGUCCAACUCGGUUUGGGUGGAGAGAGUCCUCCCCCUUGGACUCGGCCGACCCCCUUGGGGCUCCUUGAGCCCCAAGGCAAGGUCCCCUCCCUCCCACCUAUAUAUACGGAGGUUUUAGGGCUGAUUUGAGACGAUUUUUCCACGGCAGCCCGACCACAUACCUCCACGGUUUUUCCUCUAGAUCGCGUUUCUGCGGAGCUCGGGCGGAGCCCUGCUGAGACAAGGUCAUCACCAACCUCCGGAGCACUGUCACGCAGCCGGAGAACUCUUCUACCUCUCCGUCUCUCUUGCUGGAUCAAGAAGGCCGAGAUCAUCGUCGAGCUAUACGUGUGUUGAACACGGAGGUGCCGUCCGUUCGGUACUAGAUCGUGGGACUGAUCGCGGGAUUGUUCGCGGGGCAGAUCGAGGGACGUGAGGACGUUCCACUACAUCAACCGCGUUCUCUAACGCUUCUGCUGUACGGUCUAAAAGGGUACAUAGAUCACUCAUCCCCUCUCGUAGAUGAACAUCACCAUGAUAGGUCUUCGUGUGCGUAGGAAAUUUUUUGUUUCCCAUGCGACGUUCUCCUACAGUGGCAUCAUGAGCUAGGUUCAUGCGUAGAUGUCUUCUCAAGUAGAACGCAAAAGUUUUUUGUGGGCGGUGAUGUGCGUUUUGAUGCCCUCCUUAGUCUUUUCUUGAUUCCGCGGUAUUGUUGGAUUGAAGCGGCUUGAACCGACAUUACUCGUACGCUUACGAGAGACUGGUUUCAUCGUUACGAGUAACUCCGUUGCUCAAAGAUGACUGGCAAGUGUCGGUUUCUCCAAAUUUAGUUGAAUCGGAUUUGACCGAGGAGGUCCUUGGAUGAGGUUAAAUAGCAACUCAUAUAUCUCCGUUGUGGUGUUUGCGUAAGUAAGAUGCGAUCCUACUAGAUACCCGUAGUCACCACGUAAAACAUGCAACAACAAAAUUAGAGGACGUCUAACUUGUUUUUGCAAGGUAUGCUUGUGAUGUGAUAUGGCCAACGAUGUGAUGUGAUAUAUUGGAUGUAUGAGAUGAUCAUGUUGUAAUAGUUAAUAUCGACUUGCACGUCGAUGGUACGGCAACCGGCAGGAGCCAUAGGGUUGUCUUUAAACUAACGUUUGUGCUUGCAGAUGCGUUUACUAUAUUGCUAGGACGUAGCUUUAGUAGUAAUAGUAUGAGUAGCACGACAACCCCGAUGGCGAAACGUUGAUGGAGAUCAUGAUGAUGGAGAUCAUGGUGUGAUGCCGGUGACAAGAAGAUCGUGCCGGUGCUUUGGUGAUGGAGAUCAAGAAGCGCAUGAUGAUGGCCAUAUCAUGUCACUUAUGAAUUGCAUGUGAUGUUAAUCCUUUUAUGCACCUUAUCUUGCUUAGAACGACGGUAGCAUUAUGAGGUGAUCUCUCACUAAAAUUUCAAGACGAAAUUGUGUUCUCCCCGACUGUGCACCGUUGCUACAGUUCGUCGUUUCGAGACACCACGUGAUGAUCGGGUGUGAUAGACUCAACGUUCACCUACAACGGGUGGAAAAUAGUUGCGCACGCGGAACACUCGGGUUAAGCUUGACGAGCCUAGCAUGUGCAGACAUGGCCUCGGAACACAUGAGACCGAAAGGUCGAUCAUGAAUCAUAUAGAUGAUAUGAUUAGCAUAGGGAUGCUUACCACUGAAACUAUACUCAACUCACGUGAUGAUCGGACUUGGGAUAGUGUAAGUGGAUCAUGAACCACUCAAAUGACUAGAGAGAUGUACUUUUUGAGUGGGAGUUUAGCAUAUAAUUUGAUUAAGUUAAACUCUAAUUAUCUUGAACAUAGUCUAAGUCCACUUUGAAUAUAUUUGUGUUGCAGAUCAUGGCUCACGCGACAGUCAUCCUGAAUUUUAGUACGUUCCUAGAGAAAGCUAAGUUGAAAGAUGAUGGAAGCAACUUUGUAGACUGGGCUCGUAAUCUUAAGCUAAUCUUACAAGCUGGGAAGAAGGAUUAUGUCCUUAAUGGUGCGCUAGGAGAUGAACCACCCGCUACGGCUGAUCAGGAUGUUAAGAAUGCUUGGUUAGCACGUAAGGAGGACUACUCAAUAGUUCAAUGUGCAGUCUUGUAUGCCUUAGAACCGGGACUUCAACGUCGCUUUGAGCGUCAUGGAGCAUUUGAGAUGUUCCAGGAGUUGAAUUUUAUCUUUCAGAAGAACGCCCGGAUCGAGAGGUAUGAGACCUCCGAUAAAUUCUAUGCUUGCAAGAUGGAGGAAAACUCAUCUGUCAGUGAACAUGUGCUCAAAAUGUCUGGGUACUCAAACCGUCUAGCUGAGCUGGGGAUUGAACUCCCGCAAGAGGCUAUCACUGACAGAAUCCUUCAAUCACUGCCGCCAAGUUAUAAAGGAUUUGUGUUGAACUACAACAUGCAAGGGAUGAACAAGUCUCCCGGCGAGUUGUUUGCGAUGCUGAAAGUCGCAGAGUCUGAACUCCAUAAAGAGCAUCAAGUGUUGAUGGUGAAUAAGACCACUAGUUUCAAGAGAAACGGCAAAGGCAAGAAGGGCAAUUCGAAGAAGAGCGGCAAGCCUAUUGCCAAUCCGCCGAAGAAACCGAAAGCUGGACCUAAGCCUGAAACGGAGUGUUACUAUUGCAAGGGUAUGGGUCACUGGAAGCGCAAUUGCCCCAAGUAUCUGGCAGAUAAGAAGGCGGGCAAAGAAAAAUUAGGUAUAUUUGAUAUACAUGUUAUUGAUGUGUACUUAACCGGCUCUCGUAGUAGUGCCUGGGUAUUCGAUACCGGUUCUGUUGCUCAUAUUUGCAACUCGAAACAGGAACUGCGGAAUAGACGAGGGCUGGUGAAAGAUGAAGUGACGAUGCGCAUAGGAAAUGGUUCCAAGGUUGAUGCAAUCGCCGUCGGCACAGUGUCACUUCAGCUACCGUCAGGAUUAGUGAUGAACUUAAAUCAUUGUUAUUUAGUGCCUGCGUUGAGCAUGAACAUUAUAUCUGGAUCUUGUUUAUUGCGAGACGGUUACUCUUUUAAGUCAGAGAAUAAUGGUUGUUCUAUUUCUAUGAGUAACAUCUUUUAUGGUCAUGCACCGAAUGUGAGAGGAUUGUUCAUAUUGAAUCUUGAUAGCGAUACGCAUAUACAUAACAUUGAGACCAAAAGAGUUAGAGUAAACAAUGAUAGCGCCAUAUUUUUGUGGCACUGCCGCUUAGGUCAUAUUGGUGUAAAGCGCAUGAAGAAACUCCAUGCUGAUGGACUUUUGGAGUCACUUGACUUUGAUUCACUUGACACGUGCGAACCAUGCCUCAUGGGCAAGAUGACUAAGACUCCGUUCUCCGGAACAAUCGAGCGUGCAAGUGACUUAUUCGAAAUCAUACAUACCGAUGUGUGUGGUCCGAUGAGCGUGGAGGCACGCGGCGGAUAUCGUUAUUUUCUCACCUUCACUGCCGAUUUGAGUAGGUAUGGCUAUGUCUACUUGAUGAAGCACAAGUCUGAAACAUUUGAAAAGUUCAAGCAAUUUCAGAGUGAAGUGGAAAAUCAUCGUAACAAGAAGAUCAAAUUCCUACGGUCUGAUCGUGGGGGUGAAUAUCUGAGUUUCGAGUUUGGUGAUGACUUAAGAAAAUGUGGAAUUGUUUCACAGUUGACACCGCCUGGAACACCACAGCGUAAUGGUGUGUCCGAACGUCGUAAUCGUACUUUGUUAGAGAUGGUGCGAUCUAUGAUGUCUCUUACUGAUUUGCCGUUAUCAUUUUGGGAUUAUGCAUUAGAAACAGCUGCAUUCACUUUAAAUAGGGCACCAUCAAAAUCCGUUGAGACGACACCAUACGAACUGUGGUAUGGCAAAAGGCCAAAGUUGUCGUUUCUUAAAGUUUGGGGAUGUGAUGCUUAUGUCAAAAAGCUUCAGCCUGAAAAGCUGGAACCCAAAGCGGAAAAGUGCGUCUUCAUAGGUUACCCAAAAGAGAGAGUUGGGUACACCUUCUAUCUCAAAUCCGAGGGCAAAGUGUUUGUUGCUAAGAACAGAGCUUUUCUCGAGAAGGAGUUUCUCUCGAGAGAAUUGAGUGGGAGGAAGAUAGAACUUGACGAGGUUGUCGAACCUCUCAUCCCUCUGGAUGGUGGCGCAGGGCAAGGGGAAACCUCUGUCGUUGCGACGCUGGUUGAGGAGGAAGUUAAUGAUGAUGAUCAUGAAACUCCAGUUCAAGUUUCUGUUGAACCACGCAGGUCGACGAGAUCACGUGCUGCUCCAGAGUGGUACGGUAAUCCCGUCUUAUCAAUCAUGUUGUUAGACAACAAUGAACCUGCAAAUUAUGAAGAAGCAAUGGUGGGCCCAGAUUCCAACAAAUGGCUAGAAGCCAUGAAGUCCGAGAUAGGAUCCAUGUAUGAGAACAAAGUGUGGACUUUGGAGAUACUACCUGAGGGCCGCAAGGCUAUUCAGAACAAAUGGAUCUUUAAGAAGAAGACGGACGCUGAUGGCAAUGUGACCAUUCAUAAAGCUCGACUUGUGGCAAAGGGUUUUUCACAAGUUCCAGGAGUUGACUACGAUGAGACUUUCUCACCCGUAGCGAUGCUUAAGUCCAUCAGAAUCAUGUUAGCAAUAGCUGCAUUUUUCGAUUAUGAAAUCUGGCAGAUGGAUGUCAAAACGGCGUUCCUUAACGGUUUCCUUAAGGAAGAGUUGUAUAUGAUGCAACCCGAAGGUUUUGUCGAUCCUAAGAAUGGUAACAAGGUGUGCAAGCUCCAGCGAUCCAUUUAUGGACUGGUGCAAGCAUCUCGGAGUUGGAACAAAUGCUUUGAUGAGGUGAUCAAAGCAUUUGGGUUUAUACAAGUGGUUGGAGAAUCUUGUAUUUACAAGAAAGUGAGUGGGAGCUCUGUGGCGUUUCUAAUAUUAUAUGUGGAUGACAUAUUACUGAUUGGAAACAAAGUAGAGCUUUUGGAGAGCACAAAAGGUUACUUGAAUAAAAGUUUCUCUAUGAAGGACCUAGGAGAAGCUGCUUACAUUCUAGGCAUUAAGAUCUAUAGGGAUAGAUCAAAACGCCUGAUAGGACUUUCACAAAGCACAUACCUUGAUAAAGUUUUGAAGAGGUUCAAAAUGGAACAGUCCAAGAAAGGGUUCUUGCCAGUUUUACAAGGUACGAGAUUGAGUAAGACUCAGUGCCCAGCAACUGAUGAACAUAGAGAGCAUAUGCGCUCCGUCCCCUAUGCUUCAGCCAUAGGUUCUAUCAUGUAUGUGAUGCUGUGCACUAGACCGGAUGUUAGCCUGGCCAUAAGUAUGGCAGGUAGGUUCCAGAGUAAUCCAGGAGUGGAUCACUGGACAGCGGUCAAGAAUAUCCUGAAGUACCUGAAAAGGACUAAGGAGAUGUUUCUCAUAUAUGGAGGUGACGAAGAGCUCGCCGUAAAAGGUUACGUCGAUGCAAGCUUUGACACAGAUCCGGACGACUCUAAGUCGCGAACCGGAUACGUAUUUAUUCUUAAUGGGGGUGCAGUAAGCUGGUGCAGUUCCAAGCAAAGCGUCGUAGCAGAUUCUACAUGUGAAGCGGAGUACAUGGCUGCCUCGGAGGCGGCUAAGGAGGGUGUCUGGAUGAAGCAGUUCAUGACGGAUCUUGGAGUGGUGCCAAGCGCAGUGAAUCCAAUAACCUUGUUCUGUGACAACACGGGUGCCAUUGCCUUAGCAAAGGAACCACGGUUUCACAAGAAGACCAGACACAUCAAACGACGCUUCAACCUCAUCCGCGACUACGUCGAGGAAGAGGACGUAAAUAUAUGCAAAGUGCACACGGAUCUGAAUGUAGCAGACCCACUGACUAAACCUCUUCCACGGACAAAACAUGAUCGACACCAGAACUGUAUGGGUGUUAGAUUUAUUACAAUGUAAUUCACAUGGUGAUGUGAGGGCUAGAUUAUUGACUCUAGUGCAAGUGGGAGACUGUUGGAAUUAUGCCCUAGAGGCAAUAAUAAAUAUAGUUAUUAUUAUAAUUCCUGUAUCAAGAUAAUCGUUUAUUAUCCAUGCUAUAAUUGUAUUGAAUGAAGACUCAUUUACAUGUGUGGAUACAUAGACAAAACACCGUCCCUAGCAUGCCUCUAGUUGGCUAGCCAGUUGAUCGAUGAUAGUCAGUGUCUUCUGAUUAUGAACAAGGUGUUGUUGCUUGAUAACUGGAUCACGUCAUUAGGAGAAUCACGUGAUGGACUAGACCCAAACUAAUAGACGUAGCAUGUUGAUCGUGUCAUUUUGUUGCUACUGUUUUCUGCGUGUCAAGUAUUUGUUCCUAUGACCAUGAGAUCAUAUAACUCACUGACACCGGAGGAAUGCUUUGUGUGUAUCAAACGUCGCAACGUAACUGGGUGACUAUAAAGGUGCUCUACAGGUAUCUCCGAAGGUGUUAGUUGAGUUAGUAUGGAUCAAGACUGGGAUUUGUCACUCCGUGUGACGGAGAGGUAUCUCGGGGCCCACUCGGUAAUACAACAUCACACACAAGCCUUGCAAGAAAUGUAACUUAGUGUAAGUUGCGGGAUCUUGUAUUACGGAACGAGUAAAGAGACUUGCCGGUAAACGAGAUUGAAAUAGGUAUGCGGAUACUGACGAUCGAAUCUCGGGCAAGUAACAUACCGAAGGACAAAGGGAAUGACAUACGAGAUUAUAUGAAUCCUUGGCACUGAGGUUCAAACGAUAAGAUCUUCGUAGAAUAUGUAGGAUCCAAUAUGGGCAUCCAGGUCCCGCUAUUGGAUAUUGACCGAGGAGUCUCUCGGGUCAUGUCUACAUAGUUCUCGAACCCGCAGGAUCUGCACACUUAAGGUUCGACGUUGUUUUAUGCGUAUUUGAGUUAUAUGGUUGGUUACCGAAUGUUGUUCGGAGUCCCGGAUGAGAUCACGGACGUCACGAGGGUUUCCGGAAUGGUCCGGAAACGAAGAUUGAUAUAUAGGAUGACUUCAUUUGAUUACCGGAAGGUUUUCGGAGUUACCGGGAAUGUACCGGGAAUGACGAAUGGGUUCCGGGAGUUCACCGGGGGGGGGGGGGGCAACCCACCCCGGGGAAGCGCAUAGGCCUUGAGGGUGGCGCACCAGCCCUUAGUGGGCUGGUGGGACAGCCCAAAAGGGCCCUAUGCGCAUUGGAAGAAGAAUCAAAGAAAAAUAAAAAAAAGGAGGAGGUGGGAAAGGAAAGAAGGACUCCACCCACCAAACCAAGUAGGACUCGGUUUGGGGGGGAGUCCUUCCCCCCUUUGGCUCGGCCGACCCCCUUGGGGCUCCUUGAGCCCCGAGGCAAGGCUCCCCCUCUCCCACCUAUAUAUACGGAGGUUCUAGGGCUGAUUUGAGACGACUUUUCCACGGCAGCCCGACCACAUACCUCCACGGUUUUUCCUCUAGAUCGCGUUUCUGCGGAGCUCGGGCGGAGCCCUGCUGAGAUAAGAUCACCACCAACCUCCANNNNNNNNNNNNNNNNNNNNNNNNNNNNNNNNNNNNNNNNNNNNNNNNNNNNNNNNNNNNNNNNNNNNNNNNNNNNNNNNNNNNNNNNNNNNNNNNNNNNACAGUGGCAUCAUGAGAUAGGUUCAUGCGUAGAUGUUUUCUCGAGUAGAACACAAAAGUUUUUGUGGGCGGUGAUGUGCGUUUUGCUGCCCUCCUUAGUCUUUUCUUGAUUCCGCGGUAUUGUUGGAUCUAAGCGGCUCGGGCCGACAUUACUCGUACGCUUACGAGAGACUGGUUUCAUCGCUACGAGUAACUCCGUUGCUCAAAGAUGACUGGCGGGUGUCAGUUUCUCCAACUUUAGUUGAAUCGGAAUUGACCGAGGAGGUCCUUGGAUGAGGUUAAAUAGAAAUUCAUAUAUCUCCGUUGUGACGUUUACAUAAGUAAGAUGCGAUCCUACUAGAUACCCAUGGUCACUACGUAAAACAUGCAACAACAAAAUUAGAGGACGUCUAACUUGUUUUUGCAGGGUAUGCUUGUGAUGUGAUAUGGCCAACGAUGUGAUGUGAUAUAUUGGAUGUAUGAGAUGAUCAUGUUGUAAUAGUUAAUAUCGACUUGCACGUCGAUGGUACGGCAACCGGCAGGAGCCAUAGGGUUNNNNNNNNNNNNNNNNNNNNNNNNNNNNNNNNNNNNNNNNNNNNNNNNNNNNNNNNNNNNNNNNNNNNNNNNNNNNNNNNNNNNNNNNNNNNNNNNNNNNGGAAUACCCCUAGUGGAACAUCAGGCAAAGUAGUAUCUCUAGCAGUAUCAAGCAUAGCAUCAUCAGGCAGAAUAGCAUCUCUAGCAUCAUCAGGCAAAUAAGUAUCAAGCAUAGCAUCUCUAGCAGUAUCAGGCAAAGAAGUAUCAGGCAUAGUAUCAAACAUAGCAUCUCUCACAGUAUCAAGCAUAGCAUCUCUAGCAGUAGCAUCAUAAGCAUCAUCAAGCACAUGCGACAUAUCAAGAUUUCUAGCAGGAGGUAAUGUCACAAACUUACUCAUAACUGACGGUGAAUCAAGUGCAGAGCUAGAUGGCAAUUCCUUACCUCCUUCAGAUUCUUCAUAGUGAUCAGCAGAUAUAAAUCCCAAGUAACUCAGAGAAUAUGGCAAUACCUCCCCGGCAACGGCGCCAGAAAAAUGCUGACUGGCACUCUCUGGCAAUAGCUAGACGAAUGCUGAUUUUGUGACAACAAACCUUCCCUUGCAAUGGCACCAGAAGAAUGCUACUAGCACUCCCCAGCAAUGAAACUAGAAGAAUAUUGUUGACGGCCCACCAAUGUGUGGGUUCGCAACAGUUUUCGAGGGUAGAGUAUUCGACCCAAACUUGUUGGUUAGCCAGACAGGAGGUGAGAGAAUACUCUCGAGUAUUAGCAGUUGAAUGCGUCAGAUUCAACCACACCUGAAAGAUUAGUAUCUGAAAGCAAAGUAGUAACAACAAAGUAGUAUGAUAACAACGGUGUCAGAAACGAUCUAUUGACGGCAGACUAUUCCUAACGAUUGUAUCAAUGGCGCCAAGUUGCCUCGUUGACGGAAAUUGUCAGUUCCCGUCAACGACCAGCAAACCAAAAUUGUAGCAGGUAGCAGCAGUGUAACGAGUAAUAGCAGCGGCAAGGAAUAGUAGUAGUGACAACAGUAGCAAGUAGCAACAGUAGCAAGCGACAGUAGUAGCAACAGUAGCAGCAGAGCAAGACAAGUAACAGCAGCAAAGCAAGAUAAGUAACAACAGCAGUAGGACAAACUCGUAGGCAAUGGGUCGGUGAUUUGUUUGGAUGAUAUUCAUCAUGCAACAGUUAUAACACGGAGAGAUAUGUGGCUAGCUCCCGUUCGUCAAUGUGAUGUAGGGAUGCAUUCCGUGCGUCGUCAUACGUGCUUAGGGAAAAGAACUUGCAUGACAUCUAUUGUCCAUCCCUCCCGUGGCAGCGGGGUCCAAAAGGAAACUACGGGAUAUUAAGGUUCUCCUUUUAAUAAAGAACCGGACCAACGCAUUAGCAUUUGAUGAACAUAUGAACUCCUCAAACUAUGGUCAUCACCGGGAGUGGUUCCGGUUAUUGUCACUCCGGGGUUGCCGGAUCAUAACACAUAGUAGGUAACUACAACUUGCAAGAUCGGAUCUAAAACACACAUAUAUUGGUGACAAUAUAAUAAUUUCAGNNNNNNNNNNNNNNNNNNNNNNNNNNNNNNNNNNNNNNNNNNNNNNNNNNNNNNNNNNNNNNNNNNNNNNNNNNNNNNNNNNNNNNNNNNNNNNNNNNNNAAGCUUGGGGAUGCCCCCGUGCAUCCCCUUCUCCAUCAACAAUCAUCAGUUUGCCUUCUCCAUGCUAUAUUGUUAUCACUUCAUAUGUUAUGUGCUAUGCUUGGAGCGUCCCGCUCUUUACUUGUUAGUUUGUUUUACUUUUGCUUGAUGUUCAUAACAAGUUGAAACCUAGCCUUAUUUGUUUGGGAGAGAAACACGCUCCACUCCACCCUAGAACACAACAUAGGUUUUCAUGCUUAUCUUUUUUGUGUGUUCUUUAUCUUUUCAUAGUUGAUGCCAUGCUUAGCUCUUAGUUUUCAUGCUUUAUAUUUUUAAGAGCUUUUAUUUAAGUUGCUUUUGGAACUCUCUUGAGUUAUCAUGCUUAUCUUGUUUAGAGAGUUGGUUGUUGCACUGAGUUGUGUGUCUUGCAUGAGUAGGUAAUUGAGGUUGCUAUUUAAGUAUAGUAGUAACUUGCAAUAGUUUUGAGGUAUUGAUUUGAGUAAUGUUUGGACCAUUGGUGUCAAGGGCUUGAGCCUAUUAGUGAUAGGUGUCGUAUUUUGGGAAAUCCAUGUGUAUUUUCAAAAACAAAAAAAAAUUAGUUGAGAACUCUAGUUACUAGAUGGAUCGCUAACCUCUAGAGGGGUUGGGAUAUAUAGAGUACCCUCACGUUAUCAUAGGCCGGGAAUGCGCAAGGAUAACCAAACCCCCAAACAUUCCUCCUCGGGGUACUUGUCUCUUUGUGAAUCUCCUAACUAGAUAGAGAGUUACCGAUAAUAAGUGCAUGAGUUCUUCGGACUAAUGCGAGUAUUCGAUUGUUGGUACUUCCACCAUCCAUAUUUUGCUAGCAUCUUCGGUACCGUGCAUUGCCCUUUCUCAUCUUGAGAAUUGGUGCAAACUUCGCCGGUGCAUCCAAACCCUUGGCAUGAUACGCUCUGUCAUCAUAAGCCUCAUUAUAUCCUUCGUCAAAACAACCACCAUACCUACCUAUUAAGGCAUUUCCAUAGCCUUUCCGAUAUACAUUGCCAUGCAACAUCCAGCAUCUCAUGACUUGAUCUUCAUGUCAUACAUGCUAUUGCUUGAUCGAGGAGCCGCAUGCUAGUUGGGCCUUUCCCUUAUUAUUGCUACAUGACGUGCUAGUUUCAUUGGAUAUCAUGCUACACUGAUAGAGAUAUACAUUUGCAUACAUCAUGAUAGUUUUCAUUUGUCUUUAUGUUGAGUACUUCUUAUAAAGUGUGAAGAUCUUCUUUUAUUCUUGUAGAACAUAGAGUGUUGCCCUUAAGUGAGGAAAAGAUCCCAAAGAGGACAAAUUAAAAGAUCCCAAAAGAGGACACAUGAAAAGAUUCCAAAGAGGACAAAUGAGAGAUAAAUAGAGAGAGCCAAAGAGGCCACAAAAAUAAAUAAAAAGUAAAAGAAAAAAGAAAAAAGAAAAGAAAAGGGAAGGGAANNNNNNNNNNNNNNNNNNNNNNNNNNNNNNNNNNNNNNNNNNNNNNNNNNNNNNNNNNNNNNNNNNNNNNNNNNNNNNNNNNNNNNNNNNNNNNNNNNNNCGGACGGCACCUCCGCGUUCAGCACACGUACAGCUCGACGAUGAUCUCGGCCUUCUUGAUCCAGCAAGAGAGACAGAGAGGUAGAAGAGUUCUCCGGCAGCGUGACGGUGCUCCGGAGGUUGGUGAUGACCUUGUCUCAGCAGGGCUCCGGCCGAGCUCCGCAGAAACGCGAUCUAGAGGAAAAACCGUGGAGGUAUGUGGUCGGGCUGCCGUGGAAAAAUCGUCUCAAAUCAUCCCUAAAACCUCCGUAUAUAUAGGUGGGAGGGAGGGGACCUUGCCUUGGGUCUCAAGGAGCCCCAAGGGGGUCGGCCGAGUCCAAGGGGGAGGACUCUCUCCCCCCAAACCGAGUUGGACUAGGUUUGGUGGGAGGGAGUCCCCCUUCAUUCCCACCUCCUCCCUUUUUUUUCUUUCUCUCUUGAUUUUCUUCUCCUUGGCGCAUAGAGCCUUUUGGGCUGUCCCACCAGACCACUAAGGGCUGGUGUGCCACCCUCAAGGCCUAUGGGCUUCCCUGGGGUGGGUUGCCCCCCCCGGUGAACUUCCGGAACCCAUUCGUCAUUCCCGGUACAUUCCCGGUAACUCCGAAAAACCAUCCGGUAAUCAAAUGAGGUCAUCCUAUAUAUCAAUCUUCGUUUCCGGACCAUUCCGGAAACCCUCGUGACGUCCGUGAUCUCAUCCNNNNNNNNNNNNNNNNNNNNNNNNNNNNNNNNNNNNNNNNNNNNNNNNNNNNNNNNNNNNNNNNNNNNNNNNNNNNNNNNNNNNNNNNNNNNNNNNNNNNUGCAGCGUGACGGCGCUCCGGAGGUUGGUGAUGACCUUGUCUCAGCAGGGCUCCGCCCGAGCUCUGCAGAAACGCGAUCUAGAGGAAAAACCGUGGAGGUAUGUGGUCGGGCUGCCGUGGAAAAGUCGUUUUAAAUCAUCCCUAAAACCAACGUAUAUAUAGGUGGGAGGGAGGGGACCUUGCCUUGGGGCUCAAGGAGCCCCAAGGCGGUCGGCCGAGUCCAAGGGGGAAGGUUCCCCCCCCCAAACCGAGUUGGACUUGGUUUGGUGGGAGGGAGUCCUUCCUUCCCUUCCCACCUCCUCCUUUUUUUUUCUUUUCUCCUUGAUUUUCUUCUCUAGGCGCAUAGGGCCCUCUUGGGCUGUCCCACCAGCCCACUAAGGGCUGGUGUGCCACCCUCAAGGCCUAUGGGCUUCCCCGGGGUGGGUUGCCCCCCCGGUGAACUCCCGGAACCCAUUCGUCAUUCCCGGUACAUUCCCGGUAACUCCGAAAACCUUCCGGUAAUCAAAUGAGGUCAUCUANNNNNNNNNNNNNNNNNNNNNNNNNNNNNNNNNNNNNNNNNNNNNNNNNNNNNNNNNNNNNNNNNNNNNNNNNNNNNNNNNNNNNNNNNNNNNNNNNNNNCAACAACAAAAUUAGAGGACGUCUAACUUGUUUUUGCAAGGUAUGCUUGUGAUGUGAUAUGGCCAACGAUGUGAUGUGAUAUAUUGGAUGUAUGAGAUGAUCAUGUUGUAAUAGUUAAUAUCGACUUGCACGUCGAUGGUACGACAACCGGCAGGAGCCAUAGGGUUGUCUUUAUACUAACGUUUGUGCUUGCAGAUGCGUUUACUAUUUUGCUAGGAUGUAGCUUUAGUAGUAAUAGCAUGAGUAGCACGGCAACCCCGAUGGCGACACAUUGAUGGAGAUCAUGAUGAUGGAGAUUAUGGUGUGACGCCGGUGACAAGAAGAUCGUGUCGGUGCUUUGGUGAUGGAGAUCAAGAAGCGCAUGAUGAUGGCCAUAUCAUGUCACUUAUGAAUUGCAUGUGAUGUUAAUCCUUUUAUGCACCUUAUUUUGCUUAGAACGACGGUAGCAUUAUGAGGUGAUCUCUCACUAAGAUUUCAAGACGAAAUUGUGUUCUCCCCGACUGUGCACCGUUGCUACAGUUCGUCGUUUCGAGACACCACGUGAUGAUCGGGUGUGAUAGACUCAANNNNNNNNNNNNNNNNNNNNNNNNNNNNNNNNNNNNNNNNNNNNNNNNNNNNNNNNNNNNNNNNNNNNNNNNNNNNNNNNNNNNNNNNNNNNNNNNNNNNCACAAACAAAUUUUCGAAAACUUGAACAUUUUUUAAAUUCUUGAAUAUUUAUCCUAAAUAUUUAAAAUUAUUCGAAUUUGCUAACAUUUGUAAAUCUGCACAAUUGGCCAUUGGUCGGACAAGGGGGGUGGGAUGGGGAGGAAGCGGCAGCGGCGUUACCUCGAGGAGGGGGGUCGGGGUCGGGGACGGCGGCGGAUCUUGCGGUGGGGGAGGUUGGGUGGAGAUUGGAAGGGUGCGGCGCCUGGAGGGGUGCGGGGGCGCCUGGAGGUCUCAGGCGGGCGGCGGCAGCGAAACUGCAGGAGCGUUGGAGAGGGGGGAUCGGAGGGGGAGUUAGGAAAAUUUUGAGCGAGGUUAACUAAACAUAGUAGUAGCGCUGGAUUAGUACCAACACUACUGCUAACUUAGGAGGAGCGCUGGUACUAAUCCAGCGCUACUACUAACUGCUAUAGUAGUAGCGCUGGUUUAGUACCAGCGCUAGUGCUAAAUAGCAGUAGCGCUUGUACCAAUCCAGCGCUACUGCUAACUUUCUUNNNNNNNNNNNNNNNNNNNNNNNNNNNNNNNNNNNNNNNNNNNNNNNNNNNNNNNNNNNNNNNNNNNNNNNNNNNNNNNNNNNNNNNNNNNNNNNNNNNNUGUGAUGGACUACGACCCAAACUAAUAGACGUAGCAUGUUGAUCGUGUCAUUUUGUUGCUACUAUUUUCUGCGUGGCAAGUAUUUGUUCCUAUGACCAUGAGAUCAUAUAACUCACUGACACCGGAGGAAUGCUUUGUGUGUAUCAAACGUCGCAACGUAACUGGGUGACUAUAAAGAUGCUCUACAGGUAUCUCCGAAGGUGUUAGUUGAGUUAGUAUGGAUCGAAACUGGGAUUUGUCACUCCGUGUGACGGAGAGGUAUCUCGGGGCCCACUCAGUAAUACAACAUCACACACAAGCCUUGCAAGCAAUGUGACUUAGUGUAAGUUGCGGGAUCUUGUAUUACGGAACGAGUAAAGAGACUUGCCGGUAAACGAGAUUGAAAUAGGUAUGCAGAUACUGACGAUCGAAUCUCGGGCAAGUAACAUACCGAAGGACAAAGGGAAUGACAUACGGGAUUAUAUGAAUCCUUGGCACUGAGGUUCAAACGAUAAGAUCUUCGUAGAAUAUGUAGGAUCCAAUAUGGGCAUCCAGGUCCUGCUAUUGGAUAUUGACCGAGGAGUCUCUCGGGUCAGGUCUACAUAGUUCUCGAACCCGCAAGGUCUGCACACUUAAGGUUCGACGUUGUUUUAUGCGUAUUUGAGUUAUAUGGUUGGUUACCGAAUGUUGUUCGGAGUCCCGGAUGAGAUCACGGACGUCACGAGGGUUUCCGGAAUGGUCCGGAAACGAAGAUUGAUAUAUAGGAUGACUUCAUUUGAUUACCGGAAGGUUUUCGGANNNNNNNNNNNNNNNNNNNNNNNNNNNNNNNNNNNNNNNNNNNNNNNNNNNNNNNNNNNNNNNNNNNNNNNNNNNNNNNNNNNNNNNNNNNNNNNNNNNNACCGUCUCGCAAUAAACAAGAUCCAGAUAUAAUGUUCAUGCUCAACGCAGGCACUAAAUAACAAUGAUUUAAGUUCAUCACUAAUCCUGACGGUAGCUGAAGUGACACUGUGCCGACGGCGAUUGCAUCAACCUUGGAACCAUUUCCUAUGCGCAUCGUCACUUCAUCUUUCACCAGCCCUCGUCUAUUCCGCAGUUCCUGUUUCGAGUUGCAAAUAUGAGCAACAGAACCGGUAUCGAAUACCCAGGCACUACUACGAGAGCCGGUUAAGUACACAUCAAUAACAUGUAUAUCAAAUAUACCUAAUUUUUCUUUGCCCGCCUUCUUAUCUGCCAGAUACUUGGGGCAAUUGCGCUUCCAGUGACCCAUACCCUUGCAAUAGUAACACUCCGUUUCAGGCUUAGGUCCAGCUUUCGGUUUCUUCGGCGGAUUGGCAAUAGGCUUGCCGCUCUUCUUCGAAUUGCCCUUCUUGCCUUUGCCGUUUCUCUUGAAACUAGUGGUCUUAUUCACCAUCAACACUUGAUGCUCUUUAUGGAGUUCAGACUCUGCGACUUUCAGCAUCGCAAACAACUCGCCGGGAGACUUGUUCAUCCCUUGCAUGUUGUAGUUCAACACAAAUCCUUUAUAACUUGGCGGCAGUGAUUGAAGGAUUCUGUCAGUGAUAGCCUCUUGCGGGAGUUCAAUCCCCAGCUCAGCUAGACGGUUUGAGUACCCAGACAUUUUGAGCACAUGUUCACUGACAGAUGAGUUUUCCUCCAUCUUGCAAGCAUAGAAUUUAUCGGAGGUCUCAUACCUCUCGAUCCGGGCGUUCUUCUGAAAGAUAAAAUUCAACUCCUGGAACAUCUCAAAUGCUCCAUGACGCUCAAAGCGACGUUGAAGUCCCGGUUCUAAGGCAUACAAGACUGCACAUUGAACUAUUGAGUAGUCCUCCUUACGUGCUAACCAAGCAUUCUUAACAUCCUGAUCAGCCGUAGCGGGUGGUUCAUCUCCUAGCGCACCAUUAAGGACAUAAUCCUUCUUCCCAGCUUGUAAGAUUAGCUUAAGAUUACGAGCCCAGUCUACAAAGUUGCUUCCAUCAUCUUUCAACUUAGCUUUCUCUAGGAACGUACUAAAAUUCAGGAUGACUGUCGCGUGAGCCAUGAUCUGCAACACAAAUAUAUUCAAAGUGGACUUAGACUAUGUUCAAGAUAAUUAGAGUUUAACUUAAUCAAAUUAUAUGCUAAACUCCCACUCAAAAAGUACAUCUCUCUAGUCAUUUGAGUGGUUCAUGAUCCACUUACACUAUCCCAAGUCCGAUCAUCACGUGAGUUGAGUAUAGUUUCAGUGGUAAGCAUCCCUAUGAUAAUCAUAUCAUCUAUAUGAUUCAUGAUGGACCUUUCGGUCUCAUGUAUUCCGAGGCCAUGUCUGCACAUGCUAGGCUCGUCAAGCUUAACCCGAGUGUUCCGCGUGUGCAACUGUUUUGCACCCGUUGUAUGUGAACGUUGAGUCUAUCACACCCGAUCAUCACGUGGUGUCUCGAAACGACGAACUGUAGCAACGGUGCACAGUCGGGGAGAACACAAUUUCGUCUUGAAAUUUUAGUGAGAGAUCACCUCAUAAUGCUACCGUCGUUCUAAGCAAAAUAAGGUGCAUAAAAGUAAUAACAUCACAUGCAAUUCAUAAGUGACAUGAUAUGGCCAUCAUCACGUGCUCCUUGAUCUCCAUCACCAAAGCGCCAGCACGAUCUUCUUGUCACCGGCUCCACACCAUGAUCUCCAUCAACGUGUCGCCAUCGGGGUUGUCGUGCUACUCAUGCUAUUACUACUAAAGCUACAUCCUAGCAAAAUAGUAAACGCAUCUGCAAGCACAAACGUUAGUAUAAAGACAACCCUAUGGCUCCUGCCGGUUGUCGUACCAUCGACGUGCAAGUCGAUAUUAACUAUUACAACAUGAUCAUCUCAUACAUCCAAUAUAUCACAUCACAUCGUUGGCCAUAUCACAUCACAAUCAUACCCUGCAAAAACAAGUUAGACGUCCUCUAAUUUUGUUGUUGCAUGUUUUACGUGGUGACCAUGGGUAUCUAGUAGGAUCGCAUCUUACCUAUGCAAACACCACAACGGAGAUAUAUGAAUUGCUAUUUAACCUUAUACAAGGACCUCCUCGGUCAAAUCCGAUUCAACUAAAUUUGGAGAAACCGACACUUGCCAGUCAUCUUUGAGCAACGGAGUUACUCGUAACGAUGAAACCAGUCUCUCGUAAGCGUACGAGUAAUGUCGGNNNNNNNNNNNNNNNNNNNNNNNNNNNNNNNNNNNNNNNNNNNNNNNNNNNNNNNNNNNNNNNNNNNNNNNNNNNNNNNNNNNNNNNNNNNNNNNNNNNNCAAAUGACUAGAGAGAUGUACUUUUUGAGUGGGAGUUCUUAAGUAAUAUGAUUAAUUGAACUAAUUGUCAUGAACAUAGUCUAAUGGUCUUUGCGAAUUACGAUGUAGCUUGCGCUAUAGCUCUACUGUUUUUAUAUGUUCCUAGAGAAAAUUUAGUUGAAAGUUGAUAGUAGCAAACUUUGCAGACUGAGUCUGUAAAACCGAGGAUUGUCCUCGUUGCUACGCAGAAGGCUUAUGUCCUUAAUGCACCACUCGGUGUGCUGCACCUCGAGCGUCGUCUGUGGAUGCUAUGAACAUCCGACAUACACGUUUCUGAUGACUACACGAUAGUUCAGUGCUAAAUACUUAAUGGCUUAAAAGCAAGGCACCGAAGACGUUUUUAAACGUCACGGAACAUAAGUGAUGUUCUAAAGAGAUGAAAUUGUGAUUUCGUGCUCGUGCCCUUGUUGAGAGGUACGAGACCUCCGACAAGAUUCUUUGUCCACAAAGUAAAGGAGAAAAGNNNNNNNNNNNNNNNNNNNNNNNNNNNNNNNNNNNNNNNNNNNNNNNNNNNNNNNNNNNNNNNNNNNNNNNNNNNNNNNNNNNNNNNNNNNNNNNNNNNNAUCUGAAAUCAUGGCACUCGGGCCCUAGUGACAAGCAUUAAGCAUGGAAAAGUAGUAGCAACAUCAAACUCAUAACAUAGUGGAUACUAGGGAUCAAUCCCCAUCAAAACUAACUCGAUUACAUGAUAGAUCUCAUCCUACUCAUCACCGCCCAGCGAGUCUACGAAUAGAUUACUCACGAACGACGAAGAGCUUCAUGGAAUUGGAGAGGGAAGAAGAUUGAUGAUGUCGAUGGCGAUGGCGACGAUUUCCCCUCUACGGAGCCCAAAAUGGACUCCAGAUCUGCCCUCCGGAUGAAGAACAGGUUGUGGCGGCGCCUCCGUAUCGCAAACACGACGAAAUCUUCUCUUUUUAUUUUUUCUGGGACGAAAGUGAACUUAUAGACCUGAGGUUGGGGGCGGCGGAGCCGUGUGGGCCCCACAAGCUUGCCCACCGCCACCAAGGGGUGGUGGAGGCAGGGCUUGUGGCCCACUGGCCUACCCCCUUAGGUGGAACUUGGCGCAGGUAUUUUUCAUAUUUUCCAAAAAUGGUCCCCGUAAAUUUUCAGGACGUUUGGAGAACUUUGAUUUCUGCACAAAAAUAACACCAAGGCAAUUCUGCUGAAAACAGCGUCAGUCCAGGUUAGUUCCAUUCAAAUCAUGCAAAUUAGAGUCCAAAACAAGGGCAAAAGAGUUUGGAAAAGUAGAUACGAUGGAGACGUAUCAGCGGCCGACACCGGCGUCCCCAAGCAGAGGGGGCACCAGAGGCCACUAGGCCGGGGAGGCUGAUCUGGGGCCCAACCCACUCACCUCGCGGCGGGUCUCUGUGGGGUUAAGACGGGUGGGAGGGCGCCCCUGGGCUGCUGGACAUAAGGGAGCCCAGCCAUGGGCGUCAAAAUCCCACCUGUCACCGAGGGUGCACCACCAUACCCGAUCUCUCUAUGACCAGGUACGGAGUGCAUCGGGGGUGCAGGGGGAUCUGCCCGUGCAGCGAGGAUACGGGCUUCCGCCAGAGCCCCCUCAAGCCUCUCUUUCGCACACAAGGCGGAGAUCUGUUCAAGAGGGGAUACUUUCUCCCCUCGGAACACAAUACCACUAUCCGCAACCACUUCCGCCAAAUGGGGCACCAUAUCGCUAGUAAGCACACAGAAUCGAGAGCCGGAAUGAGAGGGAGGGAGGGGGAGGACGUACCCGGAAACAGAUCACGGGCCGCAGCACGGCGAGCUGCCAGAUCAGGGAUCGUCGGGAUGCGGCCAUCCUGAAGGAUCCGGGACUUGCUGAUCCGCGCGCUCUGUCGCGCCGCCACCACGAGGGAGGCGCCCUCACGGGGCCUAGAGCGGGGCGCAGGAGGUGUCUGAGACACCUAGUCGGGGUCAACGGCUGCAGGAUGGCCCGUGUCCGGGGACCCCAAGGUUGGGGAAGGAGGGGACCCCGGAGAACGCGAGUAGCAGACCACCCCGGGCGAGCGUGGGGACGAGGCAGGGCACACCUCCAUACCCACACUCACCUCCUCCUCGACAUCGACCACCGGGCCAGCAGAGCCAGGGAGAGGAAGCCGAGUGGCUACCACCGCCACUGGCACUAGAGCUACCACAGGGGUACCCCCUGCGAGCCCUCAUAGUCCAGCGGCUGAGGUGUCGGGGUUGCGCCGACCAUCAGACGAAUCGGGCGGAGCCCCUCCAUCAUCAUUAUCUCCCUCAGAAGACGAACCCUCCUCCGAAGAGCCCCCCUCGUUGUCAAGCCCCCCGUCGCCAGGCUCUGGACCAGCCAUGGCCGGGUCCAGCGGGACCAUUGGAGCUGGUGACUCGAGCUCGAAGGUGAGGCGCCUGUCCUUGGCACCGAAGUAGAAGACCAAGGACAGGCCAUCGAUCUCAGCAGGGGUCGGGCAAAGGAUCUCAAUGUGGGCAGGACCAUCAUCCUCAAAUGAUGCCAGGUCGGCGGUGAUCAGCUUGCCCACCGGCUCGGAGAUCACUUUCAGGAUGUGUUUAAGCUUGCGACCCCUCGGAGCCGCACUGCCUCCCCUCGGGAGGCCAUAGAAGAGGACCCACACCUUCUCCACGGGCGGGACGGGGUCAGGCUCCGCUUCCGCCGCCUGGACGGAAAUCAUGAACUUGUUGAUGGGACAGCGAAUGAGGUCAUGUGAGCAGACCCGGAGGAGCUCGGCCGAGGGGAAAGGGACCGAGAAGACGAGAGGAGCCGUCUCAGUCACCUCCAAGGCGAAGUCGGAGUCUCGAAAUUCGCCAAUGUAAGCCGCAAACUCGGCCCGGAUGAGGUUGGCCGAGAUCAACACCCCAUCCGGGGUGGCCUGCUCGGGAGCCAGGGUGACCGUAGCCAGGUGAGGCCGAGCCACCUCCUCCUCAACCUCUGCAUCCACGGAGUAGAAACUCCCCCGCUCAGUGUCGUACCCAAGGUAGGCAAGGGUCGUGGGGCACCGCGGGGGGGGGGGGGGGGGNNNNNNNNNNGCGGGGGCGGGGGGGGGGGGGGGGGGGGGGGGCUCACACUCCGAGCGGAAGUGCCCGGCGCAUCCACAGUGGAUGCACAUCGUGUCCUCACUGGAGCGCUGACGACUAACCCGAGCAGGGGGUUCCGGAGCCUCCUGCUCAAGAGCCCCCGGCGGGGUCAGGCAACCAGCACCCCCGGGAGUAGCAGCAGCGGCCUUCUUCUUCUUUGACUUCUUCUUCUUCUUUGCCGGAGUCGGGGCGGGCAGGGGAGCCACAGGCGGGAUCUCUCGGGACACGCGCCUAGAAGGCCCGUCGUCCCGGCGCCAGCCCGCACCCUCCGCCCGGGAGGAGCGCCAGUCGGAACGGCGGUCCCAUCACCGCGCCGCAUAUGCGGAGCGCCUCGCCGCUCCUCCCGGCGAUGGUCCUGGUGAUCCCGCCGCCAUGUUGACGCCGAGGUCUUGUGAGCAGGGGCUCGAGCCAGGGGAGCACGAGGAGCAGGCGCGUCCCGAGGCCGAGACAUCGGAGGGGGACGCGCCACCAACUCCGCCCAUAGGGCCGCUUCCCGGUCUACGUCAGAGACGGAUGACCGGGUGGCCUCCCGGCGGCGAGUGUCCCCCGACGAGCCCGGCAGGGGCAGGCGGGGAUCCCGUCCGGGUCCCGAGGAGGCUGGGGGCGGUGGAGGGAGGUUCCGGAGUAGUAUUCCGGGGACCUCCCUGGCCGAUUGGUACCCACGCGGCCGGAACGAGAGGAGCCAGUGCCCGCACCCCCAUCCGGGGCGAGGUCACGGGCCGCCGUCGCGGGAUGGGGGCCCUGGUCGGUCGGGAGAGGGCGUUUCGGCCGGGACUGGCCAUCCCCAACUUGACGGGUCAUCAGGGCCUCCUUGUAGGAGCGCCUCGGGGAGGGGAGGCCGAGAGGAGAAGACGGCCGAACGGGGGCAGAGGGGACGGUCGCGACACCUACAGCCGAGCGCACAGGGGCUGGGUCGAUGCGUCGGGCAAAUGAGUGCCGGCCGGUCGCCGGGAGGAGUCGGCAUGGACUGGGGCGCGUCACGAGCGAGACCACGAGAGGGAGGAGGAGCGCACAUGGGAAAUAGGGACGAGCCGAGGCCACGAGGUGGCGACGGCACGUGGUUAGGAGGGGGAACCCUAGCCCCGUGCCUGCCCGACCGUCUCGGGCCUGGGCCGCGUUGCACCAGCUGGGGAGGGCCCUGGUGGGCCGAAGCCCACCGUUGGUUUACCCACGCCAGCACGCGCGUCGCGCGUCGAGAGGCCCAGGCCACCUCGCUAGCUGAGAUGGGCCCCGACCCCGUCCGCAUCGGCCCAGAGGGGGGCUGACGGCCCACCCGCCUGCAAGCCUGCCCGGAGCGCUAGGGCAUGGGGUAGGUCGCGUCGCCCGGGAGCCUCCCGCCGCUGGCACCGGUGCCGCCGACGUCCAAGGAGGCAGGGCACCAGCGCCAGGCCGGGCCUCGCAGGCGCCCUCACCGACGGCCGCCAUGUGGGAUAACCCGGGCAGCACAUCGGCUCGGGCUGAGGAAGCACGAGAGAACACCACGGGGAGAGGCCUCCAGGACCUGGGCGCCGGAGACCGCCGCCCGACCACCUUCACCGGCCGCCGGCGGGCAGGGCGCGCCACGGCCAGGAAUAGGCCGAGUUGCGGUGGCGCCAGAGAUCUUCAAGCCUAACCUAUGUGAUGUCUCCAAACACGACAAUAAUUUAGUCACGUUCAUCUCCGCACUAUGACAACAAUAACAAUAAUAAACUCCAUCAUCCUACGACCACAAGCAAUCCCCGCACAAUUAAUGCAUCGCCCGAAAUGAAAAAUGUAUUUUUUUGCCUUGAUGGCAUUCCAUCGACCACUUGGCCGCCACAACACUUGUACCCAACAACGGCGGCCGGAUACGCCGGAACAGUGGACCUACGGGUGUCCAUAGAUGAUGCCCUAGGCGCCGCACAAGGACAAGGCACCAUAACUACCUGGUUGGUCAUCUUCUUUGACACGUCCUUGGUAAGAGCCGACACGCUGGCUGUCGGCUUCCUUUCCCGCUUGCCGGUGGUAGGAGCAGCGAGAGGGAAGCCUGUCAUCGCCGGAGAUGAACUGGCCUUGCCACCAACCAAGCUGUUGGCGUUGGUUGUUUGUGAGGGGGGCAAAUGAGGUUUUUUGUGCCCAAUCUUUUUUUGCGUGCGGGCGGCGGUGCGGGCUUCGUUUCUUGUGGUGACGCGUCGGGGCGUUGGAGGGCGGGGUGGUAGAAGAGUUUUGGCUAUCCAUCCCAACUAAAAUCGGGGGCAUCAUUGUUGGCUGCGGUGACUAGGGGCAGCGCCGGUGAUAAGGGGUGAAUGCCUACUGAAGGCACAGAAAUGGGAACAUUCCAUAAGUUUAUGGAGCAUAAAUUUUUAGUCGACACGGCCUUGGUUGAGUAUUUUAGGGAGAGUUGGGGAAGUUCUCGGGCCGAGGAGGAUAAAUUUUACUCCGCUAAAUGUUUGAGAGUUUGGUUAGGUCUUUUUGCACGGGUGGGCUAGGUCAGGUUAGCCACGUAUUUUUUUUCUCCUCUAAUCAAUUGUAGGGGAUCGGUUAAAGUUGUUUUUGGCCCAAUGUUCUGUAGCAAACUCUUCUAUUUUCAACAAAAAAGGAAAAAAAUGUUUUAAAAAUGCAUAUAUUUUGUCCCGUUAAGCAAAGAGUCAUGCUACACGUCGACUGGCGGAUCUUUCUAAAAUUCCGUCGGACGUCAACCGUCAGAUGUAUAGCUAUCCAGCGUUCAACAUCUUUUUAAUUUUUGCAAUAAGGGUAAUUUUACUGAAAUACUAUGCAACAAAAAUAAUGUAGUAGAAAUACUAUGCGACAUAAAUGAUGUUGCAGAUUUAUUUUCUUUAUCAUUUUUGCAACAUGACUGUUGUUGUGGGAAACAAAUUGCAACAUAAACAAUGUUGCAGAAAAUAUUUACGGUUUAUUCAGUCUUCAUUUUUUUUCAACACAUAUGUUGCUGCGAAAGAGAAUUUUACAACACACAUGAUGUUGCAGACAAAGAGAUGAACGGCGAGCGGUCAUGUCGAGGAGGUGGUGGAUUGCAGGCGAGCGAUCCGCCGGCUGAAGGCAAGAGUUUUCGUUAAGAAAAAGAACUAUGCAUGAUUGUUAGUUAAUAUUCUUCACUUGGUAUUUGAUGAUAUUUUAAUAUAGUCUAACGCUGUUGCAAAAACCAGUGUGAGUACAUGCGCUGGAAAACCACCCUGUAUUGCAGUGCUCGAUGGAUGCACUUCACUCUGAAUUCCCAUAACCCGCACUCUUAAAUUAAUCGCGAGUGCAUAUAACAUAUGCACAUUUAUCUCCCAUGGGGAUGCAGAGCCGCUCCGUAGUGAAAAUUUGUCAGUUUAAUUAGUUGUACUAUCUGUCUAGCGAUUUAGUUCAGUUCGUAUUUGCCCCUGCUUUAGCAAGCUUAUUGAAAGAUGCAGCUAUGUCUGGCUUGUAUUUAAAUAGCAGGUAGCACAUGGUGAAGAAAACAUAAAGAGAGAGUGAUCAAUGGAUCAAGGAUGUAAGAAGAAGAAAAUGAAAAAAAGGAAAAACUUAAAAAACUAGGAAUCUUUCACGGUGGCUCCCCAAAGGGGUGCUCCAAUGAAACUGCGUCUGCCUCGCGCCACAACCUAAGAGUUUUGUUGAUUUCCUCUUUUAUGUCUUGAACUUGUGCCUCCUUGUUCCUGAAGGUGCAUUCGUUUCGCUCCUUCCAAAUCUCAGCAAGUAUUAGGAUGAUCAUGGUUUUGAUUGCCUUGUUGUGCUCCGCCGUUGCGUUGCUUAUCAUUUUGGAUAUGAUUGUUGUUGGCUUGUUUUUGCAAGGCCAUUUGCUUGGGUGAAGGGAGCUGCAACCGACAUAAGAUGCAGCCUGUGUCCAAACUGAUAUUGCUCUCGAACACUGCCAGAACAAAUGAACUGAUGAUUCAAGGUUUCUGAGGCACAGUUGGCAGAAGUAGCUGUUUGUCCAUCCUCUUCUCUGGAGGCGAUCAUUACACCACAACCUAUCCUUGAGGAGCAGCCAUGUGAAGAACUUAAGCUUUGCAGGUGCCCAGGAGGCCCAUACUAGCUUUCUGAAGUCUGAAUUAAAACCCCCCUGGAAUUGGGCUUUAUACGCAGAGCUGGCAGUGUAUACUCCUGAAGCUUCGUGUUUCCAGUUGAUAGUGUCGCUUACUUGCUCUUGUAGCUGAAUACUUCUCUUUUGAAUCCAUCUAUUCAGCUUGACCGCCUCUUCCCAUAUGUUUGCGGUGUCUCCGUGGGCCAGGUCUACAAUCCAGUUGUGGUUCUGUAGUGCCUCCUUCACCGAUCUAUUUUUUCUACGGGUAUGCUUGAAAAGUUUUGGGAAGGCUGUCUUUAGGUUUCCUGAGCCUGUCCAAGAGCAAUUCCAAAAUGAAGCCCGUUCGCCAUUCCCUAGUGUAACUAUCGUAGAGGCAUUGAACAAAGCUCUGUCGUUGUCAUCACAUGGUAGCUGCAUGCCAUUCCAUGGCCUAUCCUCGCUUGUCCAGGACAGCCAUAGCCAACGUAGUCGUAGAGCUCUGGUGAAACAUGUCAUGUCAAGAAUUCCCAGACCUCCGUUUCUACCGGGGAACAUGCUACUUGCCAACCUACUUUGCAUUUUCCCCCACUGACUUCUUCCUCUUGUGCCCAUAGAAAACGGCGUCGGACCUUGUCAAUCUCUAGAAGAAAUUUCUUUGGUACCUGCAGCACCGAUACGGCAAAAGUGGGCAAUGAUGUCAGAACAUUCCUAAUCAAAACCCUUCUAUCGGUUAUGGUGAGCAGUCUCCCUUUCCAUCCAGCUAGCCUGACUCGAAUCCUAUCUAAGAUGAACUGGAUAUGGACGAGGCGCAACCGCGAUAGCGUGAGAGGGAGGCCUAGGUAUCUCACAGGGAAAUCUACUAUCUCUCCCCCAAAGUUUGUAGAACUUCCUGAAGGUUGAUUCCUUCGUAGCGGAUGGCCGAUGCAGUUGAUUUCGCUGGGUUAAUACGAAGUUCAGUCGUGUUCCCAAAAUCUCGUAGAAUGCCGANNNNNNNNNNNNNNNNNNNNNNNNAUGCCGAGUAGCGUGUCUAACUCUUGUCUAUUUGGGGUAGCAAAAAUAACAGCAUCAUCGGUGUAAAGGCUAACCCGGAGUGGGAUUUGCCUACCCGGCAGCGGGGCUAGCAUCUGUAUAUCAGUCGCCCGUGCUAGUAGUCUGUGUAGGGGGUCAAUGGCGAUGAUGAAAAGCAGGGGCGAU
Molecule: long non-coding RNA, 94789 nt
Filed under: Hordeum vulgare
Lineage: Eukaryota; Viridiplantae; Streptophyta; Magnoliopsida; Poales; Poaceae
Description: long non-coding RNA (HVUL_LNC012717)
Rfam family: MIR1120/MIR1122 microRNA precursor family (bases 28209-28295)
Source: RNAcentral